UGAAUUGGAACUGUGGACUAAGAACAGGUUGGGGUACUAGUUCGAAGAGAGGGGUUAGAUCGGCUGACCUACGAGUCACUCUGAAUUGGGUUAAAAAUUGAUUAACCAAGUUUUUAAUAUAUGUUUUUAAUUUUAAAAUAAUCUAUUUAAUUAAACCGGAUUAAUUGAGAAUUGGUGGUCUAAUCGGGUUCGAUUCUAAAAAUCUUGGGUUGAACUUAAAAUGAGUUUGGGCUAGCCAUUUAUAAAUAUAGCAAGCUUGAACAACAUUUUAGCCUUUUUUUAGGUUAGAUUUGAGGAAACAUAAAAUGUGUUAAUAUUACACUUAAGCUUGGGUCGACUUGAUCCAUGAAUUCUUCUAUAAUUUUUUUUAAAACAAUUAUUGUUAAGAAUCAUUAAUGAGUAUUUUUUAACUUAAUGGUUUAAUUUGUGAUCCUUCAGAAUGUGCUCUAUUCUAAUGUUACGAGAAAAUGAGAUAUUGAUUUCAAGUUGCAUAUUUUGCGUAAAAUGAUAUAAAUAUUGAAAAUUGAAUUAUAAAUUAGUUUUAAGGAGUUAAAAUGUAUACUAUCGUUACGUUAACAUACAAGUUACAAUUUUAUAAUUUUUGGAAAGACCAAACUAUAACUCCACCAUUUUUAUGGGGGAAGGGCAGGCGCCGCCCGCUGAUGCUUUUGUUUUUGGAGCUAAGCCUAAGAUAGCAAAUCAGAAAAUUUUCUACAACAUUUGUUUUUCCAAGUAGUUAUAAUAAGAAGAUGCAAAUUGAAAGACACAUUACAAAACGAAUGAUGAUAUUGUCAGUGUUGUUGAUUAAUGAAACUAAGUUAAUUCAAUAUGUAAAUAUAGAUAUAAUCGAUGUUGAUCUUGAAGCAGAAUCUUAGUGUCACCAAAAUUCGGAGGGAAGGAGGAUGACAGCAAGGGGCAUAUAUAUCUAAAUUUGUACCCAAUCCAGCACUUGUUUUACUUUCUUUCUUUUCUUCGACCACGUGACUCACUAUUCCAUAUUCUUUUCCUUUUUCCUGAUGUGAAAACGAUGGACUUCGCCUUUGGCCUGGCACUGCUCUGCACCUGUUCUUUUGUUUCACCCUUUUCUAACUCUAUCGCUCCUUCUGUUAUCUGCUUAUCGCUCUACGCUCCGCUUUGCAUGCUUUCUACUGGGCUGCUUUUGGGCUAAAACUUGUAGAUAGGUAAAUUAGGAAGACUAGCCCAAAAGCUGGCUCUGCUAGGCUCCAUUUUGCUGUCUUCCAUCCAAUUUUAACAUUUUUUUGUACUGUUCCACCGCAUGCAUGCUUGCUCAACUCGACCUGAUUCCCUCUAGCCCAUUUGAGAAGCUUUAUUUUCCUUUUUCAGAUGAUAAUAUCAUCGUAGAAUUGCUUAAAGAACCUUUUCAUGUAUGUAUGUAUGUAUGAUCAGAGCUUUGUAUUUUGAUCCCAAUGCUAUAAAAUGAUAAUUUUAUGCUAAAACGCGAUGAUAAAACUGCAAAUAAAGUCAGAGGGGCACCGAAAUUGGUACUCUGAAACGUGUAAGCCAGCAAACUUGAAGAGGACAAUAAGUUAGAAAAUAAACAUACGCUGAAAGAAAAUAAAACCCAAGUUGGGUUGAGUGUUCUUAUUUCAAUCUUGUCUGGUGGCUGGGCUUGAUUUGGACCUCGAGCCCAUUUGGUUGAAGGCACAACAAAUAUAUAUAUUUAGAUUGAAUGUACGUAUGUAUGAGAAUCAAUGCACGUAUUUUAGCAUGUUGGUGAUGUAAACGUAUCGGAUGGAUGGAAUGCAAGAAUCGGAGCGUGAAGUGGGAGAGGAGAUGUCACAUGCUGAGACUGAGAACAUAAAGACAAGGCUAGCAUUCUUGCCUGCUAAAGCUAAAGCCUAAAGAAAUGACGUAGUGGGAGAAGAUGCACCAACUCAUACUGCUGCCUAUUGUGUAAAGCCAAAGUGGAGAUUCGGAUGGUUAUGGAGGGGCCAAAGUAGGUAUCUUAGCUUAGCUAGUUUUGUUCUCCUUAGCUUUUUUCAUUCCAACUGUGGCUAAAGCAUAUUGGCCUUUGCCAUUUUUGCAAGGACAAUUCCAUUUAUCCUCCAAUUUUAUAGGCAUGGAUAAGCCUCAAAAUAUUCCCCCCUCCUAACUCACACCACAAGCCUAAUCCAUUUAUGGUUUUUUUCCCUAAAAAUAAUGUAUUAUGGAAGCUGAUAAAAUGAAUUACAAGAAUGUAAUGUCAUAAAUUUCUUGAAGUUUUAACUGAUUCAUUUGAGAAUCUUUCAAAAGUACAAAAUAUAUUGAGAGAGUUAAUCAAGAGAUUUUGCUUUUUUCACAAAUUCAGCUUCAUCUAAUUUCUAGAUGUUGUAUAUUAUUGGUGCUACAAGUUGUAGUACUCAAUUGUAACUUAGUAAUUAAGCUGAUAGAAAUUUAUCUAUUUUGUUGGCAUCUUUUAACUGGUCUUAUAUGACUAUUUUUUUGCAUUUUAAAAAGAUUUUAUGGAGUAAAUUUCAUGAUUAAUUUGAGGAAGAAAUCCAAUUAAUUAAAGACAACUCGAAGUGAUCUAGUGUGAUUGUCUUUCUUUAAUUAAGAUAUACGAUAAAAAACAAAACAAAUUAAUUCAAGGAGAUCUUUACUUUAUCUCAUUUCAUAAUGAAAGGUUUAACUGUGGCAAAAUUUUAGUAAUGGAGACUUGCCUUUUGUGUGUUAUGUGUGCAAAAAUUAGAGAACACAAACUGUUCAUUACUAGGAACAUUUGUGUAUGAACUUAUAUUGUAAUCAAAUUGGUGUAACAGUUUGAGCUAAGUCUUCACAAGGGAAAUCUUUAUGGGAAAGUUCAAUCAUUAUAAUUGUAUGGGAGUGAGGUUGCAAUGAGCGUGAGUGAGGUUGAACUUAAAUAAUCUAUUGUACUGGAGAAAUUAUAAUGAAUUCUUCUCUAGGAAAGGCUCUAUAGACACAUGAUUGGAUUUAAACUACAUAACUAAUUGCAUGUGUUCUUCGAUUUACUUUUUCAGUUUUAAAUUGUUUCUUUAGUUACAACUUAUGUAAUAACUUAACCAACAAUUUAACACUUACAAUUGAUAUUAGUGCUAGACACUAGACAAAUUUGUUGAAGUCCAAACUAUUGAUUUGCUAAAUCAUGGAAAGAUGUUUGGUCUCUAAAUUACCGAUGCUCAAUGGGUUGAAUUCUACCUACUAGAAGGACAUUUGAGGGCUUUUAUAAAGUCCAUAGAUGAGAAAGCAUGAAGAGCAACCCAACAUGGAGAGCAAUCCUAACAAGUUGGGAACUUCCACUGAAUGAAGUUGAUGGUGUUUGUAUUCCUAAACCUAAGAUCAUUGGACUACUGAAGAGGAAAAAGUUGUUAACUACAACUCCAAGGCCUUAAAAUCAAUCUUUAAUGGCAUGGAUAUCAGAAAUUCAAGUGAAUCUUCAAGUGCACCACUGCUCGAGAAGCAUGGACCAUUCUUGAACUUGUUCAUGAAUGGACAUUUAUUAUAAAAUAGUCAAAAAUAUAGAUGUUAACAUUAGGUUUUAGAAUUUGAGAAUGUUAGAUGAAGAAACACUUUGAUUGUUAUGUUAAAUUAUGAGACACUUUUAACUAAGCUUUUGCUUUUGGUGAAGAGUACUUGAAUGUAAAGCUUGUGCACAAAAUUUUGAGAUCUCUCUUAGAUUGUUUUUCAAUCAAAGUGACAACCAUAUAAGGGGCUAGAACAUUAUCACGAUGAAAAUUGAUGAGUUAAUUGGGUCUUUGAAUGCUCGAAAUAAACUUAGAGGAAGCCAAAAGGGGCAAAGUUAAGUCAAGAAAGAAUAUUACUCUGCAAGUUUGUAACAUCCCAUACUAGACUCGAUCGUCGGGUCAGAGCUAGGGGAUGUCAUAUUUGUUGUAGAAGUAACUACGAUUAAUAACGAUUCAAUUUAACCUUGUAUGUGCUAACAAUUAUACAUUCAUUUAUAAUAUGAUAAUACUCAUAUUCGGAUCUUUUACGAGCUUACAAAAGCUCUUAAGGUGACUCGGGUUGAAUAAAGACCAAAAUGUAGAGGUUGUAAAAUAUCGAGUUGACGUUGCGACUUUGGGGGUUCCUCGUCGCGACACAACAUGCUGACUAGACUUGUCACGAUGUUAAGGGUCCGACAUCGCGACAUGACCUCUAUUUCUAACAAGGUCCAAUUUGGUAUUUAAUCAGCCAUAUCGGCACCUAACCAAUUAUUCAAUUCAACCAUUUAAUUAAGAAAUACCAAUUCAUAUACUCAAUUCUAACCAUAAAACAACACUUAACAUGUACAUAAUUCAAUAUAUCAUUCAUUACAUUGAAUCAUAUGACAAUUUCUACCAUUUUGAAGCAUUUAAACCUUUGAUAUCAAGCCAAUCCAUUUAGCAUAACAAAACAUGACAUUUCGAUUCCAACAACCUCAACACAACAUUUUCAAUACCAAUUGACCAUGAUAAGCUAAACUUUACUAGGUUAAAAAUCAAUGUGACUAUAUUAUAUAUGUACAAAAUUGACUCAAAGCUUAGGUACAUGGCAUGUAUUAAACAAAAAGGGACCAUACUGACAUUGCCAAGUCGAGGGUCACGAAUUUGAUGCUGAAAUCACCUCUCAGAACUUCAAGUUCCACCUAUACCUGAGCAUGAGAAAUGUGUAAAUGAUAUAUUCUUAUUGGUAUUGCAGGGUUUAUGAAAGUGGAACAUGGUCAUAAGUCAUUUGUCCGAGGCAAAUGAUUUAAUCAUUACUAAUAUAAGUAAUAAUCAUUUUUUUGAAGAUACAGUGGUGACCAUAAGAUAGAAAUGGAUUGGAUUAGGUGAGAAAAUUUAACCUAAAGAGAUUAUGGAUAUCUUAUGAGAGUAACACACAUAUUGUAUUGGUAUAUAAUGUAGAGUUCAACUAUUGUACUUUUAGUGGAUUGACUCAAUAACUAAAUAAAUUUGUAAUUAAUAGAUUAAAAUUCAAAACUUAAUUACAAAUUACUUUAGCCGUAGUUAUAUAUAUAUAUAUAUCUAAUUGAUCCCUCCACUAGCUCAUAUAACUUUAAAUGGAUUGCAUAAUAAGAACUUUGAAUGAAUGAAGACAAACGAUGGAUGAGAAAUAGAUUGCAUGAAAUACUAUAUGUAGUAAAUGCAUUUUCUUAAUAAGGCAAGCAAUAACUUAGGAUUAAUUUAAUUUCUUUGGAUUAUUAUUUAAUUGGGUGAAUAAAUUAAAUAAUUAAGUCCAAAUUAAAAUUUAAAUUAUGUAGUCAUUGUAGUUUAAUUUCAUUCAGAUAAUUAAACAAAUUUGCACAUAAAUUUUAAUACGAUAAAGUCGUCAUGAUUUUAACAAAAUUAGAAUAAAAUUGUGUAAAUUAUUUAAUUAUAAUAAAAUAAUUAAAUUAAUUUUUUAAUUAACAAUUAAUUUGGAGGAAUAUUCAAUUAUUUAGUUAAUUCAAUAUCCUAGCUUAGUUCUUUUAUUUAAAACAAAGAGGUAAGCUCAAUAAAUUGGACUAGUCUUAGAUUGACCCAAUUGAUUUGAUAAUAUGUAAUGAUACUACAGAUGCAUAUUUACGAUAUAUGAAUAUCGAUAGCAUGUGAAAGACCAUGCGAACCGGCUAUACAAGCUCGAAGACCGAUGUCAAAUCAAUGGAUUUGAUAUGAAAUUUGAAAAAUGAAAUGAAAUAAUGGUUGGUAUUGAAUUGAAAUUGAAUGCAUUUUUGAUAAAUAGAUGGAAAUGUAUGAUAUGUUACAUUGAAAUGCUCUAAGUAAUUGAUUAUGGAAUUGUAUUAAUAUGUGAAUGUGUAUAAUCUCAGUUUUGGUAUAUGAUUUGUAACUAUUUUGGUUGGAACUAGUUGUAGCAAUGAGUUGUGUUGUAUAAAUAAUGUUAUUGAUGUUUAAUUGACAUGAAUCAUGGAAGUACCACUGAGCUUUAUCGCUCAGUGUAUGGUUUGUUCAUUUUGUGUGCAAGUAUAGGUAAAUCUCGAGGUUACGAGAAGUGAUUCCAAUAUCCAGAAAGUGACCCUCGACUUAGAAAUGUUUGUAUAGUUCUUUUUUGUUUAAUAUAUGACAUGUACCUAGGUUUCGAGUCAAUUUCGUAUAGUGUAUAGUUAUAUUAAUGUCAAAGCUAGUAAUGGUUUAAAUGAUAUGAUCAAAUGGUAUGGCAUAUGUGAUCGCUUCCGGACGUACUAACAUCUAGAGUGUGAAUACUGCAACCAAAUAUAAGAGUUAGGCGGCUUCCGCAAGUAUACGAGUCAGGUUAUAAUAUAAUUUGUUUACAAUGAAACACUUGGUAAGUAUGCUAAGGAUCGUAAUCUAGGGAUUGUAGUUUGGGGAAAAUUGCUAUUAAGCCAAUUACCGAAAAUAACUACUAAUCUACUUGAGGCAUAAAUCAGUAGUGUUGAUCUGGAAGCAAGAUGAUAAUAAUAACCAAAUAAAUUGAAUUAAAUCUAAAUCUAUUCCUAAAUUUAUGUAUCGACUUCUCUUAUCCCUUGUUUCAACUACGCGAGCUCCUUUAGCUUAGAUCCAAUUGUUUUACCUGAAUAAUUUUUGAUGUAUGGUUCUAAAUAGUUCGUUACUAAUUAACCUAGUAGGGCUUCUCAGCCUUGUACUAACCUAACUAGUCGAUAAGAACUACUCACCUCUUGAUGACACAGUUCAGACCGGGGCAGAGUAAGGUUUUCACAAAUAGGCAAUACUGAUUUUGAGUUAAUUCUCACCUAUAUGACUUCCUAGGGUUGUCAAGCCUAAGGUUUAAGUUCUUCCUUUCCUAACCACUAGUUUGCUAAUUAGUGAUACUUGAUAGGCAAUACUGAUUUCGGGUUAAUUCCUACCCAAAUGACUUCCUGGGGUCAUCAAUCCUAGGGUUUAAUUGCACUCAAUCAGAUCUAACUUAUCCAAAUUGAAAUCUACUUGUCAAUCCAUUAAUUAGAUUAGUAUAAUUGAAACAUGUGAAAUAUGUAUAAAGUAUUAAUUGACUCUAAUCUUUACACAAAUAUUGAAUUAAAAAUGUUAAAGAAAGAAAUAUAAAGAAUAUAAUAAAGGAAAGAGAUGUUCAUGGAUUUAUCGAUGAAAGCAUGGCUCCGGAACAAUCUCCACUCACGAAAGUCUCACUUUGGAAUAGAAUAUUAUUUCAUAUUACAAGAACAUAAAAUAAACUAAGUAAAAACUAAUAACAAAAUAAAAACCUCUGAAAAGUCCCCCAUAAUGUGUUGUUCUGAGCAAGUAUUUAUAGAUUACAUGUAUUAUGAUCUAAUUAGGUCAAGUAAGAAUGACUAAGCAUGUUAAUUUAGGUUGUGUAGACGAUAACACCUUUGCUCAUUAAAUUGGCCUCAUCGCAAUUGUGUCCGACAUCGAAGACAUUUUGCUUUAUUCUUAGUGUCUUCUGGGUUGUGCCGCGACACCAUCUAGCCUAUGUCGCAACAUCCUCGGUAGUUUGCUCCUCAGGUAAUCUACUUGAUGUGUUACGACAUCCUAGUUCCGUGUUGCUACAUCGGGAGCAAUCCACUAUCUUUUUGCCCUCGAAUGAUGUCCUGCACACUUAAUCAACAUUUUAGUAUUCCCUUAGGCCCAGAUUAGCCUAAAAGGUCAUAAAACACAUUAAAAAUGCUCAUUUUAUUCACUAGGUCCUAAAAAGGGGAACUUAAUAAAAACCAUAUUAGUUUGCUAUAACACCAAUUCAUUAAGUAUAGAAUUGGGCCUAAUCUACUACAACGAAUUGUGGCAGAUCAAUAUGUUUUAAAAUUUGGUUGUUUGAAGUUAGAAUGAUAUUGGUAUAUAUAUAAGUGUUAAUAGAGUGAAUGGCAUGAAUUGGUACCAAUUGGUAAAUGUUUGGAAAAUUGCUAUAGAUGUUCAAUUUAGAAUAUGAGUUUAUGCAAUACAAAUGUAUUUAUGAUGAUAUAUGAUAGGAAUGAACAUUUAGGUAUGGUAUUUUUUAUUGAAAGAGUGAAUGGUUGUAUUGAAAUUGCUUUCUAGGUGGUACAAGUUGGUACCAUUUUGGACCCUUUGGAAACAAACAGUCACGUUGCGACGUCGAGCCCUUGUCAUCACGGCAAGAAAUCGUCAGUAAGUUGUGUCGCGAUGAGGAACCCUUCAUGUCGUGGCAUCAACCCGAUAAUUCACAAACUUUACAGUUUAGUCCUAAUUCGACCUCAGGUUAGCUAAAGAGCUUUUCUAAGCUCGUAUAAGACUCGAAAAUGAUUAUGUAACAUAUUAUGAAUUAUUAAUAUACUUAUUUGCAUUUAUAGAUGAUUGCAUUGUGUUUAUAAUUGAUCGUAAUUGCUCCAACAACAGAUGUGACAUCUUAUAGCUCAGACCCAGCGACUGGGUCGGGUAUGGAGUGUUACAAAACUUAUAGAUGAUAGAUACUUUUGUUUGGAUGAUGAAUAUUUUUAUUUUAUUGGUAUGGCUAUGAUGAUUUGCUAACUUUUGUUCAUAGAUGAGGAUAUUUUAGGAGAGUUUUUAUUUGAAUAUUUAAGGAGAGUUUCAUACAUUCCUUCAUUGAUCAAGUUUGUUGCAAGGUUUUUGGUAAAAAAUGUCAAGGGAGAAAUUAUUGGCGCUACAAGUUGUAAUGGUUAGUUGCAAUUUAUUUAGCAAUUGUGCUUGUUAAGACUUGUUUAUUUUGUUUAGUUUUUUUGAAUUGUCUUAUGUGACCAUUUUUGUAUAUAUUUUUAAGGGAUUUCAUGCACCAAAUUUUUUGGUUAAUUUGAGGAAGAAAUCCAAUUAAGAAAAUAUAACUUGAAGUGAUUUACUGUGAUUUUUUUCCUUAAUUGAGAUAUGCAAUUAAAAAGUUUAAUUAAAGAAUAUUUCUACUUUAUCUUAUUCCAGAUCAAAAUUUCAUUGAUUAAUUCCAGUUGCACUAGAAUUGGUUCAUAAGUCUACAACUACUUAUAUAAUGGAGACUUGUUUUUAUAUGUUAUGAGUGCAAAAAAUAAAGAACACAAUAUGCUCAUUGCUACAAACAUUUGUAAGUGAGCUUAUUUUGUAAUUAAAAUGUUGUAAUAGUUUGAGCUAAGCUUUCACAUGAAAGAAUCAUAGUGAGAGUGUUCAAUUAUCAUAAUUGCAUUGAAGUGAGAUUACAAUGAACAUGAGUGAGGUUGAGUUUAAAUCAUCUCUUAUAUUAAAGAAAUUGUAGUGAAUUACUCUCUUAGUAAGACUCCACAAACGUAAGAUUAGAUCUGAACUACAUAGCCAAUUGGUUGUGUUCUUCAUUUUACUUUGGCUUUUGUUCAUGUACAAAUUCUCAAAUUGGUACCUCAAAAGUUGUCACUUUGGCACAUAUACUUUAGCUCCAUUUAUCUCGAUACUCCAUCUAACAAUUCCGUUAAAAAAAUUAAAAAUGACAAAAAAAUCUAAAUAAAUCAUGAAAUUCUAAAAAUUUUUAAAAAUAUAUAAAAUUCGAAAAAAUGCAAUUGAUAUAUUUCAAAUUAUUAUUUUCUUGAAAAUAGAAAACAAAAAGCAAAUGAAAUUAUUUAAAAAGGCAUGACAUGUGCACAUCCACAUUCAUCCCAUCAAAACAAAUUGAAAAAUUUAAAAAUUGGGAAAAUUAUAAAAAAUAUAUAAUUAUUAAAAGAAUAAUAUCUAAAAUAAAUCUAGAUUAAUGAUCAUCUAAACGCAGAUUAAUUUAGAUGUCCAUUUGUCCAAAUCAUUCUAGACAUAUAUAUUUUUUAAUAAUUUUAUAUUUUUUAUAAUUUUAAAAAAUAAUAAUAUAAAAACCUAGUACUUUAUUGUUAGAAUAUUUUAGAAAAUUUUCAUUUUUUAGGAUUUUAGUGAUAUUUUUAGAAUUUUCUUGGGGAUUGUUUUUUGCUAUGCUUUUUUUUUCCCUGAAUUUUCUUUUAUUGUAAUUGAGAUUUUAACUCAAAUUAAUCCGAUUAAAGGUAAACACUCAAUUAAUAGGUCACAACUUAGAGUUUAAUUUUUUUUUGAUAUUAUUAUUAAAGUUUUUUCAAUUUUGGUUAUGUCUUAUUAUUUAAUUGGUUCAGAAAAUCCAAAAUGAAAUAAAUGACCAAUAAUAUUCUUGAAAACCAAACUACGUACAAUACAAGGACGAAAAUAAGUGUAAAAUCUUUUUUAUUUUCUUUCCAAUUUGAAGUUAUAGCUUUAAUUACAACUCCUCAUGUAACAACUUAAUAUUACUCUACACUAGAUAUUGCACGAAUUUUGAAAUGAAUAUUGAUGGGGACCAAUGCAGAAAAGUUAGUACAAAUUGGAUAAACUCUUAUCUUUCUCCACAUCAGCCAACCCACGAUAAACUACAUGAAACCCAAAACAAGGAAAAUAAUAAUAAAAAAAGAGGCUGUUUUAAUAUCUGUCAUGCUCUUGCUACUAAUUUCAUCAAAAAAGUUGAACUUAAAAUGCAAAUAAUCCAUGAAAGGAGUACUUUGCAGGUGAAAAAAACUGGAAUUUUAAUGGUGGGAUAGGAACCUUUUUUCAGUUAGUUAUCAGCACUGUUGCAUGCUAAUUAAAAAAAUUGCAGAUAACAUAAAUUUCUUGAACUCGAUUCUAUUCCAGGUCAUUGACAUUCUGAAUUGACUACAGUGCCAUGAAUUAAUAUUUGAUAUCAAUAAAGUGCCAUUAUUCUUGUCUCCCUUGUUGCAUUUAAAUCAUUUUUGUAACAUAUACUUUAUAGUUAUUAGUGUUAGCCACAGCCGAAAGGUUUUUCUAAUUAUAUUAUAUGUUCUAGUUUUUUUAGAAUUUAGUAAUUUAUUGGGUUUAAAUUUAGAAUAAGUAGAUAAGUAAAUUUUCCUUUAUGAAUGUCGAGUUUUUUAUAAUUCAACUCAAUAAGCAUCAUUAUUCUAUAUAUAUUCCUAGUGUACGGACAAUCCAGGAAAUUUGAUUAAUUUAGCUAUAUGAUUGAUACUUUUCAACAUGUUUAUAGCACACAGGGCCGUCGGGAUCAUACAAAAUCUUGAUUUUCUUUUUCUUAUCCAAACAAAUAUCUUAAAGAAGUUCCUUCUUUUUAAUUAUUAUGUUAACUUUUUAUUUAUGCAUUAAACACUUAAUGCUAUAUCCAACUCUCUCUCCCCCACGCCUUAUAAAUAAGAGAUGAUGAAAUCUCAAACUCCACCACAGCUAAGCCUUAGCACACGCAUACGUAUAGCUUCCAAAAACCCUAAGCCUGCUCACUUAUUUGCCCGUUUCAUCUUUCUUUUGCUAGCUACUUAUUAGGUGCCUGCAUUAAAUUGUUAGCUGCAUUAAAGAACGCUAUCAGCUUGUGGUAAUGGACAAGGUAAGAGACCUGGCAUCGAAGAAGGCUGCUGUGAUAUUCACAAAGAGCUCAUGCUACAUGUGUUACAGCAUCAAGACACUUUUUUAUGAGCUUGGUGCUAGCCCAGCUAUCCAUGAGCUCGACCAUGAUCCUAACGGGAGAGAUAUGGAGUGGGCUCUAAGAGGACUAGGGUGUGACCCCUCAGUCCCAGCCGUGUUCAUUGGUGGAAGAUUUGUAGGCUCAGCCAAAGAUGUCAUAUCCCUUCAUGUAGAUGGAUCACUGAAACAAAUGCUCAUGGAUGCAAAGGCCAUAUGGUUCUAGCACUGGAUACAACUUAAUAAUUGCCUACUCAAUUGGCAAUUAAACUUAGUAACUACCGUGAAAAAUAAAUCCAAAUACAAAGAGACAAAAGAAAAUGUCUGUAUUAGGGGCUUUGCUUUUUUUUUUCUUGGGUUCCUUCAAUACACUGUAUAUGAUAAAACAUGAACAGCCUAACACAAUAAUUUUAAAAAAAGAUAAUAAUGUUUGAAAAUUUACUGGUGCGUGCUUAUUCCAUUCCCAUGGAUGUGAUAUUAAAACAUAUACAAGGAAACAGAGACUAAUGAUAUGUAAUGAAGCAUUUCACUUUGUGGGAUUCUUUCCUAUCGGAAACAGACGUCAACGUAUGGCCUUAAAAUAAAAUAAAAAAUAAAAAAAGCUCUAAUAAUGCAAGCUAAGGUAAACAAGUAGUAUAAUAGAAUAGAAUAAAGUUAUUCACGAACCAGAAAUGCCUUUGACUGUUCUUUCUGGUGAUAGAAAGAAUAAUAGUAUAUAUUGAUCCAUUUCAAAGCCUAUCCCCUGUGACUAUACUUGCAAAAGCAACGUUAAGCUGAUGCAAUUCUUGAGGGUAUUGCAAUAUUUUUCAAUGCGCUUUUCAUUUUAAAAGUUAGUUCCUCAGUUUCAGGCCCUGUUACUCCAUUGACGACUAGACACUUGGAAUACGGUUGAGAUGUCAGUUAUCUGUUUAGCAAGUUUAGUUAAUGAUUUUUAUAUUCAUGUCUGUAUAUGGUCUUAUUUCACAGACAAAAAGGUGAUGCUGGAACUUCUUAUGCCCUCUAAAAGGCCAAAAAGUUGCAUGGACGAUCCUCAGUCACAUGCAAGCAUUUAGGUUACUUUAAAUGGAUGGUGAGAUUUGUUGGAAUCAGUGGUGAUAUUAAGUGAAAUAGCAUUAAGAUUAAUAUUCAUGAUGGGUUAUGUGUAAUUAUAUUGUUGAAGUUGGAAAAUUACUAUUAAAUACAUGGAAUUAUAUUAUAUAUGUAAAAUGAGUAAUUUUAUUUCAAAUUAAAUAAUAAAAUAUAUAUUAAGUUUAUAUUUAUGUUAAAUGAUAAUUUUAUUAAUAAAUAGUUAAAUUUUGAUUAAUUAUGGUUGUUGUUUUUUAUUAUUCGUAUAUCUACGUAUUUAUGAUUAAUCCAUAUAAAUUAUUAUAUUAUAUAUAUAUGACCUUUGUUUAUAUUAAAGAAUAAUUAAAAAUAUAUUUAUGAUGAUAAGUCUACAAUUUAUUUUAUAUAAUUAUACAAAAAUAAAAUGAAAUUUAUUUAAUUACUAUAUAUUAAUUUUUAAAUUAUUAUAUUUUUAUUUUUAUAAUGACUAAAUUUAUAUUUAUCUUAUAAUAUUGAAAAAUAAUACUUUAUUUAUAGAACAAGAAAAACAUACAUGAUACACCAUCAAGUACACCCCAUGGAAAUAAAAUAACAUUAGUCCCCAAACCCUCGGUCAAUAAAUGCAAGUAAUACUAGAAAACCUAUUAAGGUUAAAAGUGGGGAAAACUCACCUCACCUCAUGGCACGUGUAUUUUUUUUAACUGAUGCUCCAAAGCACCACUGCAGUGGAAAGCUUUCCAUGGAACAAAGUUAAUAUCAUCCAAAGGAAGGAACGAUUGUGGUGCGAUUACACAGGAAAAACUCAUCUUACUUACAAAGGGGGCCUUAUACAUACAAAUAGCAUAACUCUUCUACAAUUGUGCACUGCUUGUAAAGCAAAGCCGUUUACCUGUAUAUUUUUUGCAGUAAGAUAGCAAUGAGGAUGGAGAAUCCUGUCCCACAUCGUCCAAGGCAGAGUUGUUGCACGUGUGUGCGCGAGGCUCACUCGCACAUGGCGCUAUUACAUAUAUUUUAUGGGUGAAAUUAUAUUACUAUUCCUUGCACUAAGGCUAAGUUGAAGAUUUAGUUUAUCUACCCUAAUUUGGUAACAGUUAGUCUUUAUAAUUUUUGAAUUUUAAAAGUUCCGUAUUGGCUCAAAUGAUAGCAGUUGAAUUAUGCUAUUAGUCUCAUAUUAUGUGUAAGUUGUGGGUUUAGUCUAUGUUCUGCAGUUUAAUUAUUUUUACUUCCGAUAUUUUUUAAAAUUUAAAAUUUUAGUUUUGACUCAUACGGUAAUUGUUAAACCCAUUAACUAAAAUGAUAUUACUUUUGGUGAAUAUGUAAAAAUAGCAAAAUGAUAUGACAUUAUAUUCAUGAGAUAAUAUAUUUAUCAUAUAAGAUUUUGAAAAUUAUAGAAUUUAACAUAAUGAAUUUAAUGAUAGCGAUAAUUAAAAUUUUAAAAUUCCUAAAGUAUAAGAUAAAAUCGACUGAACUUAAUUCACCCCUUAUUCAUAAUACAAAAACAAACAGCACAAAUUUGAGCAAUAUAUAUUGCAUGAAAUGAAAGUGAGAAAGUGAGGCGCAAUGCAUGUGCGCUCACAUGUGGGAAGAAUCACACAAGUUGGUGGGCGCAAAUAGAAAGAAGCACCGAAAGCCAUCACAUUCGCGAUCUCCUUCGUAAUCUUUCUGCAUAAGGAUUCAAAAAGGAGGCGAUUGUGAGAAUCUGGUUUAAAUUGACUAGCUAGCCUCACAAAAUUUUUACUUUUGUUGCAAGUUCAUAGAAAUUAAUUAGAAUGUAUUUAUGUCUAUACAUCAAAAAGGAAAUACUUGAAUACAUGGUUAAAUUAGUAGGCUAAACAUGUCAAUCCCCCAUAUUCUUUCUACUUUGUCAUUAUUUUGAACCAUCUUGUCACAUUUUCUUUAUAGAUUUAAAUCCAUAUCACAACAUAUAAAUGAUGACACUUUACAAAACGGAUUUGAUGAUUUUUAUUCUAUAAAAUGUAUGGAUUUGUGUUAUGGUAUAAUUCAAAUAUUUGAAAACGUAAUUAAAGUGAUAAAAUUUUUAACUACAUUUAAAUGCUCAAAGAGGAUAAUUUCAACUAAUUAUACAACAUGGCUUGUACUCAAUGGGUUGAGUCGGGUCGUGACGCCAUGCAAUAAGUAGUCCCCAUCCUAUAAAGUAACUUUAGUAGUUUUAGCAUCCAUUUUCUUUUGAAUGUUCUUCUUCAAACUAAGGAGUCUACUCUAUGCUGUCCCUAUAAAUACUCUAGCAUGGGAGCUUAAUUUGCAACAACCUUAAGCUUUGAACCCUUUUCUCUCUUUUCCCACUUCACCUUCUCGAAGUCCAACCUCUCCACACCGCCAUUGCAUCGUCUGCACUCUCAACUGGAUCCCCUAGUCUUUUAAGCUUUAAGUGAAAUCGACAACCAAUUGAAACAUUUUCUUCGUCCCCUGUUAUCAAACAUUGUGAAGCAGGAUUUUCAACAUGGACAAGGUGACGAGAUUGGCUUCAGAGAAUGGGUUAGUGCUAUUCAGCAAGAGCUCAUGUUGCCUGUGUUAUGCAGUCAAAAUUCUAUUCCAAGAGAUUGGGGUGACCCCAACGGUUCAUGAGCUGGACCAAGACCCCGAAGGCAGAGAAAUGGAGAGGGCGCUCAUGAGGUUGGGGUGCAGCGCCCCAGUUCCAGCCGUCUUCAUUGGUGGAAAGCUGGUGGGUUCCACCAAUGAAGUCAUGUCCCUCCAUCUAAGUGGAGGGCUAAUACCUUUGCUCAGGCCCUAUCACUCUAUGUGUUAAAAUUUAAGCACGUCAAUUAUAUCAGUAAAAAACAGUUGAAUAAAAUUGGCUCAAAUUAAUCAAAGGGGGGAUGAUCACUUUGAGGAGCGGCAUGUGGAUUGUGUAGUCUGUGUAGCUUUCUAUGUCUUAUGUGCUUUGUAGCUUUCAAUUAUAGCUUGUAACCUGUUUCUAUUUCUUAAAUGAAGUCAAACUUUAUAUACUCUUCAGCUUUCCAACUUUUGCGAUUAUUGCUUUCAUGUAAAUUAAUUAUUAAAUAUGAACAUCAAUUAUUUUAUGAUUGUUUCUGCAAAGCAAUAUGCUAGGCAUCUUUAAUUUAAUGGUCCACAGAAACCCACUGAAUUCUGAGAUCCCCAUAAAAUGUGUGAUAAAGUGGUUUUGGCUUUUUACAUUGAAGCAUCAUCAAAAAAAUUCCUGAUGAUCAAUAUCGUCUUUACAUAUGCGCACCCCAUGAACAAUUGAAAAGGAGUAUAAUCAAUUUUAUUAAUUUAUUUCCACUUUAGAUAAAGAAAGGUAUUACAUUCCUUGCCUUUUUAUACAUUUGGUUCUGCAAUGGUGGACGACUGGUGUCUUGUCGAUAUCAAUGGCAUAAAAGCUUCACCUCAGACUUGGCAGCAAAAUCUUGGUAAAAAUCUGAUGCUACAUAUAUUGUCUUUGAUCCUCUAUGUGAAAGCCACGAGGGGCCCAGACUAUCGAGCCAGCUCGGAUUCUAUUUCAGUGUACAAACUCUCUCAGCAUUGGUUUUUUUCAUUUAAAAGGCUGGAACUUUAAAUAUUACUUAAAGCACAUUCUACUCCUGAUCACGCAAUUCAACAGGUGCCAGUAAUUUGAUGCUAUAUAUUAGAAGCCUUGCUAGCAUCUCAACAGCAGUUAACAAUUUUGACCUGCCAUAUGUUAGAAAACUUGUGGUGGCCAAUAAGAAAAUUAAGAAGAUUAAAAGUAGAUUAGGCGUGAAAUGCUUUCUUAAGAUUGAUGAGUUUGGAGUCUAACUCAAUUACCUAAGCUAUAAAGAAUUUAAUAUUACUACAACAUUCCCCCUUUAGUAUAUUGGAUAAAUAGAAGUGAGACAAACUUGCAAAGAUCUUGGAAGCUAUAGAAGUGCUCUUAAAGAUUAAGAUGCAGUAUAUAUUAUAUGGAGUCUAUAUACAGCUAUGGUUGGAAAGUUUCAUUUAAACUACUAUGUCGAUGGCAGCUUGAAUAUAAUAUAAUAGUAUUAAUAUUCUAAACAAGCAGAUAGCAAUUAUGAAGGUUGGAAAAUCUGGAAAUCUUUAUAUCAAAUCCUACAAGCACCGAGUUUCAGCUGACUCGUUCCCCCUUCCCACUGAACUCCAUGAAUGUGGGAUAGAAUAUGUAUUUGACAUGAAUGUAAUUAAUUAUGUCAAUUUUUUUUAGUAAACUAAAUUCAAUAUCCUAAUAAGUGCUGGACACGUAUUUCAGAAAAAAAUUACAGAUUAAAAAAAUGGAAUAGUUAUCUUGCUGACUGAACUGACCGUUUACACGGCUAUUAAUGUUUCAGAGAUUGCAUUAUUCUAUUCCAGCAGGAAAAAGAAAGUGAAUAUGCUGUUGUGAGUAGAUUCCUCCAUUGUAUAUGGAGAGGAGCAUAUUGAAUGGUGUCAAGGUAGAAUCCGCAAAGGUGGAAAAAGGAUUGGAAUAAAAAAAAUAUUGGAACUGAUCAUCAGCUUUAUUAUAGUCAAUCUACCCAGUCUUAAUCAUAUAUGCUCUCACUGUGUUUUUGAAUCUUUUGAUCACCAAGAAGAGAGGAUGGACCGCUUCACUACAUAUUCUCUCUCUCUCUCUCUCUCUCUCUCUAUGAGAGUUGGAUAAAAGUUAUAACCUACCACUUUUUAAGUUCAUAAACGUUAAAAGAUUAAUCAAUAGUCUGUCUUAAUAUUGUUAUACACCAGCUUAUAAUAAUUAGGUGAUCCACUUGUCCAGCUAUGGCUGCCAAUCAAUUGUAACCAGAAAUAGCUGCUUAAGAUAAACAAUCUUGUCAGGUCGGGUCCUUAGCAACUAAGAUUUCGAAACCAACAAAAUGAUCAAUAGGCAAACCGACUCACUUACACAGCCAGACGACCGACCAAUGAACUGUCUCAUGGCAAUCCUUUACCAGUUUUAAAUAUAAACUAACGAAAAAUUUGAUUAUGAUAAUGUAACUAUUAAUUAAUAUAAUUAUAGUGAGUAAAGAUAUUAAUUUCAUGAAGACUAAAUGUAUGGGUAAUUACUUCAUUUCUAUUAUUUAAUCGAAUAAUUCGAGUGAUUGAUUAAAAUUAAAAUUAACUAAUUUUAUUAACUAACCAACACGAGAAAGAACAAAACACGAAAGUAAUAUCGAUUAACAAUCAAGAAGCAAAACAAUACCUAAGAAAAAAUUCACUUACAUUUCAUCUGUCACUAUCAAUCUAAAUUACGCAAUUUUUUUACUUAGCACCUUUAUUCAUAGAAAUUCCAAAAUUAUGCAAAUAUAUCUUUCGAGCAUAAGAGCAACUGACUCUAGAUUGAUUAAUUGUCAUUUCUUUCUAAUUAAAACCCAUAUUAUUACAUUAACUCGUACUAUGGAUUCCCCCUAUUAGAUUUGACUCUAAUUUGGUAGAUUUAUGUCGUCCUAUUUAUAGGAUUGCAUGCGACUCCACUCAAUUAUGCAAGAUCUACUUUUAAACAGUGUCUAUUCAACCACCAAUUUAAGCAUAUCAAACAUGGAUUAAUAAUUUAGAAAUAUUAAAUCAAGAAUUAAGCACACAUAAUUGAGAACAAGAAACUAAAAAUUUAUUGCGUAAAAUAAAAAUCAAACGACAUAAUCCAUUUGAUACGAGUCACAAAAGCCCAAAUUCUUGAAGGCGAGGCCCAAUAAGCAAAUUCCCAGCCCAAUCAAGAAAUCCAUCCAUACUUAGUUGAAAAUCAGGCCAAAUUGUCAAAGUGGCCCAAGUUGUAAAGUUUUAUUUUUAUUUAUUUAUUUAUUUAUUUACUUAGUUUAAAUUUUUAUGUCAAUAUUCAGUCCAAGAGUCCCAGAUAAAAUGACCUUUGACCGAAUUUCCAUAUUAAAAUAAUUAGGAGUUUUUUUUUUAUUUUAGUUUUCUAAUUAGAUUAGGACUAGUUAUAAGGCCUAUUUAAAGGCAUGGCUGUCCACCUUGUUAAACACUUAUCAUUAUUAUUAAAAUUUCAGAUUUGUUGAGAGCAGAAUUUUCUUUGAGUUUUCUCUAAGAUUUUUCUCUUGAGUUUUCUUUAGAAGUUGUUUUAACAAUCUUGUGAUUGUGGGAGCCAUCUUCAACCUUCUUCUUGCCAUUGAUAUUCUUUGGAGGGGAGAUUAGAGCCGUUUGAAGGGAGUUGUGAGAUCUUUCGAGAUUUCAAGGCUUCUUAGGACUUAUCUUUUAAUUUCUUACUGUCAAUUCUUUCUUUAUUUCUACUUGUGCUGAAUCAUUAUCUAAUCUAUUUUCUGUUCUUAUUGUGUUUUUAGCCUUUUUCUAUCUUAAGGAAUCAGCCCAAAAAUCCCCAAUUUCUAGGGUUUUUCCAUACUCUUUUUGAGUGAAAUUAGAUUGUCGAAAUUUGGGGAAAACUAUCUUGGUGUUCAAUUGGGCAGAAUCACAAUCUCCUUGAGGGUUUCAAGAAAACACUUAUUUCUAUUCUUAAUUUGAUUCUUUGCUGAUUUGGGGAUUUUAUUUCAGAUCUGAAAAUUCAAAAAUCUAAUCUUUUAAUUUUCUGUUUCGUUUCAGAUCUAAUUGUUUAGGGUUUUCGUAGGAGUUUCUCGUGACUUGGCAACUCGAUCUUGGUCCGCGCGCAACCCCGUAUCACCAUCAUAGGGUUCAUCUCCCUAGGUAUUUAGAAAAUUAAUUCAUGCUUAAAAAUAGAAACAUCCAAAAUACAGUAUAACCGAAAGAAAUAAAGAAACUCAUGAUUAUUUCCUAAGAAAUCAACUGGGAAUCUUAAAUCUUGACGAAAAUCUGUUUCAAAGUCGGCUUCAAUGGUAUUUUUCGAGGUAUUUUUCGAAUUGUUUUCUUGAGAAUUCUCUGACGGCUCACUCCUAUUUUUUUAUUUUUGUCAUAUAUACGUCUUACAAUGCCCAAAAAAGCUAAAAGAAUGUGAUUUUCCAUAGUUUGGUGUGCAAUUCCGUGAAACCGACAUGACCUUCUAGACACCCGUGUGAGUCACAUGGCAGUAUGGUCUGGCCGUAUGGAAUGGUUCAGCUCGUGUGGCUCCUGCAGCUUGCUCCGACACUCCGAUUUUCACUCAUCUUUCGUUCCUUUUGCUUCUAAGUGCUCUAUUAAGCAUUAAAACAUGAAUUCAAAAGAUUGAGAGCAUAAAAAUUACAAUUAACAUUGAAUAAUCGCCCAAAAAUACAUUAAGAACUAGGUUAAAACAUAUUACUUUUAGCACUUAUCACACUUCUGUAUUUACUAUUAGCCUAAGCUUUCCUGUUUCUUUACUUCAAUUUUACUGUUAUUAACUUAAGUAUUGAAAACAUAAACUCUAAUGCCCAAAACUCAUGUUUAUCAAGGCUCAACUAUCAAGUUCAACACUGUCCUCCAAAUGUUGUCUUCAGACCGAAAUCUACGAACUUGUAAAGAUUUUAAAAUAUAUAUAAUAUAAGUGUAUAACAACUAAAUUCAUUAUUUUCUUUAAGUUCAUGAUUGAGUUGGUGUCUCAAGUCAACCUGAAAUUAAUUUGAUUAGAAAAAUUACAAAUUUUUUUUUUAUAAUUUAAAAAUUUAUAUCAUUUGAAAGUAUUUUAGUUUUUUUAUUAGAAAAAAACCAAUAAAAAAUUUGCAUAUGGUUGGAUUUGAGCUAUUUACAUAAUGCUUUAAUCUAAUACAGUAUUUAUAUUUGAAUAAUAUUAUGCAUACUUUAUUACCUCUAUCAAUUGAAUAUAUUGAUAAUAUUUUUGAUUGAGUCAUUAUCACAAAUCAACUCAACAUUAACACAAGAUAUAUGACAGUACCAUGCUAAACAAUUGUAGUGCAUGAUAUAAUAUAUUUACGUGAUUAAUUUUCAUUUUAAUAUCACACGUAUUUCAUAUGUAAAUAUUAAUUAAUUUCAAAUCCUACAUUUAAUUAUUUAUUGUAUGUUAUGCUAAAUUAAUAUCUGUGAUUUAAGUAUAUAAUUUCUACACUUAUAUGUGUGCGAUAGAAUUUUUAUUUAAACCAUUAAUCUCUCAUUUAUACAUGCAACAUGCAAUCAAUAAUUUCUUUUUCGAGUGUUAUCUAAUAGUUACAUUAAACUUCAAUUAAAUCUAAAAUUGGGUGGAUUCCCUAAACAUUGAAAAAACUCACCGAACAUCAUUUUCACAGUCUAUUACACUUAAAUUUCUUUGUAGGAAUAGCCAAGCUAAACGAAAUUCAAGCUACAAUUUGUGUGAUGCUUACUAAAUACAUGUGAUUCACCUUGCAAGCUUCUGUGGCUUGAAAUAUGACCAAAAAUAGAAAGAAAAACCUGUUAUUAACCAUCAGCAACGACCUCCCUUCGUUCUGUUUGUGGGUAACCGCCUUAAUUGCACAAGCAACCAUUUAUGAAACGCCACGUGUAGAAUUAGGGUAAUUUAGUCAUUUCAGUAAAUAUUUGAUUUCACGUGGGAAACAGACGAUUGGAAGUUCCGGAGGGUGGUUCCUUCCACUGUGUGUCAUUGUAUCUAAUUCGAUUUUGACAUCUUAUAACAGAUUUUCGGGGAAAGAAAAUAAAAAUGGAAAGUUGUUUUUAACUACCAAACAAUGAAACCAAACGUCCAAAACAUAUUUUCUUUCUCAUUUUUAUAUCGAGCACCGAUACGGUAGCCAGAAUUUGUUUUUUGUUUGUUUAAUUCGGUUCUCUCUCACUGAUUUCCAUCAAUGGCUUUGUGAUCAGGUAGUUCUCUAAUUCUCUAUCGAAUUUUUUUUCUAGGUUUUUUUUAUCAUUAUCGAUGAUUUUCCUAAUUCUCUCAUGUUCCAUAUGGCUAAUGAGAAAAAAAUGGACGAAAAUAAUUAUUAAUUAGAGAAAGAAACGGUGAUUCGUGUGGUUUCGGUGUUUCAUCAUAUGAAUUGAUAAAAAGAAAAGAAAAGAAAAAGAUGAACGGAAAAUUGGAAAUGUUACCGAAAUUCAUCUCAUUAGGUUUUAUAUAUUUAAUUACAUUUCUGUUCAGAUUCUUUUUCGUGUUGCUUAAUUAAAUAUUCAAUAGAAAUCUUGUUGUUUUAUGUAACUUUUCUUCUCCAAUCUGAAUAUAGAAGAAUUUUUAGAUGUUAUUUUAUUAGACGUAUGGUUCUUGUGGUCGAGUGCUGCAUUUUGGUUUAAUUUGGUUGAGAGCUUGCUAUUGGCCAGGAACAUUAUCAGUUAUGACAUCAUAUGAAGUGCUCACUCUGUUGGCGGGGUUCUGGAAGUUGAUUAACAUGCAUUCUUACCAUACAAAUUUCUGAGGAUUAAUUGAGGUUAGUUUAAUAUAAUGCAAUUUGAAAUAUUGUAUGCAUUUUUCUCCGUGAAAUAUGUGAAAGAAUCUUAAAACAAAAAUGAUACAAGAAGUUCUUCAUUUUCCGUUUUCUAGCUCAACGUAUGACUGAAAAUUUAUAGUCCUUUAUUCUCUUGCUUAAUUUAACUAGGAUAUGUAAUUCAGUUGGUUAUGAAAUAUUUGCAAGUAUAAUUUUUCUUUUUCCUUUUUUUGCAGGUGAGUGAGGUGAGACUUAAUUCCGGGGCUAAGAUUGUCAUUUGUUAUGACAUUCAACUUCAACAUGCAAGCUGGGAAACGGAGAGCAAAAACUACUACCAUGGGCGAGGGCGAGGGCGAGGAGCUUAUUGAGCUUAGAUUCCGCAUUUAUGAUGGGAUAGAUAUAGCACACGGCACUUACGAGGCGUCUAUGACUGUCUCAACUCUUAAGCAAAGGAUUAUUGCUGAGUGGCCUCAAGGUUAUAUUCUAUUUCUGUUUACUUCUUUCCUCCUCUUAACUUACUCUUAGCUGAAUUCUGUAACUGGAUUAAAGAUCUUAGGUGCUCAGUUUGAUUGUGUUUGUUAAUGUUGUUCCAUCUUUUUUUUUUUUCUAAUGACUUGGGAGCUCAGCAUGACUUGAGCGUCAUGUGUUUGAUUUCGAUCUUUUGCGUUUAGUUGAUUUUCUACAUUUCUUCUUCUUCUUCUUCUUCUUCUUCUUCUUCUUCUUCUGACUCAUUUUCAUUUGAAUGAUAUUGUUCUAGACACAGUGUUUAUAUACGUAAAUGUAGUAGGCAAUUUUUCAUUUUGAUGUUGCCAUUCAGCUCGGGGAAAAGGGCUGGGCUGUUGUUGGCCAUUGUAUAUGAAAUAUAUGUAUGGGGAAAGUUAAUUUAUGAAUGUUCGUAAUGGAAUUUAACUUCAAUCAAUCUUCUUGUAUUUUCAGGCAAAACAGUCACGCCAAAGUCGAUACACGAUUUGAAACUCAUACAUGCUGGUAAAGUUCUGGAAAACAACAAAACCCUGGCUGAUUCCAGAAUAACAGUUGGUGAUCUCCCUUUGGGUGUUAUUACCAUGCACGUGGUAGUGCAGCCUUCUAAAGCAAAACAGAAGACAGGUUCAUCAAGUUCUCUUUCUUGAAAGCACAACAUUUCUUAAUUUUCGUCGCGCACAAGAUUUUAUAUAGAUCCUUGUUGAAUUAAUAUAAAUCUGUCUACAACACCUCCACCCAUUUCCUGCUUAGUUUUUAUCCAGAAAAAGAAAUAAAAAAUGGCAGAAACAAAAAAAUAAUAAUAAACAUGCAAACAAUUCCUAGUUGAGUCUCGAUUUUAUCAAUACUGGAUCAACAAGCAUAUGUUUGGUGCAAUGAUAAGUUAUAUUGUACUUUCAAGAAGAGAAUACGGGAUAUAAUAUAUAUAUAUAUAUAUUAAAGAGAUUUAUCCGCACUGGAAAGAACAUUAUACACUUGUAAAUAUUGGAAUUUCACAUGACAAUCUAGGAGAUUUUAUUCGUUUUAGUUAAUUUCUUCGUGCCUAAAAAUUACUAAGCAACAAAUCUUUCUCACGGUAUAUUUUACUCUUUUUACUUAAUAUUUGACACUGAUCUUGCUUCAUAUAGUUUUCUUUUGAAGAGCAAGUUAUUUGUAGUUGAGUGUUUCUUUUCUUCUCAAUACUAGCAUUAUCAUAAAACCUUUUGGAGAUUUUCCUAUUUUGAUUUAAUCCGGGGUAUAAAAAUUUUAUACCUUUUCAAGAAUUGCCUUUAUACGAUCAAACUGCUAGCUGCCUUAUCAUCCCCCAAAAAGUUUUGGUAUGCAAUCUGUAGAGGACACGCUCAAUGGAGUUUCUUUUAUUAAAUAAAGAUGUGAAUGAGUUUAUAACUUUGUUGCCAUUAAUCUCUCCUUGUAUAAUCUUCCUUCUGUUUUGGUGCACUGCAGAAAAGAGCAAGCAGGAGAUGCAGAAGCUGAAUCCAUGCGGGUGUAUUAUUCUUUAAACCAUAAACAUGCUCCUUAGUUGUCAACUUUUUAGUGGAAAAAAGAUCUAGCUUUUCACAAUUAUACCUCUAGUUGUAUGUCUGAUUUUGCUUUUGAAAAUCAUGUUCAUCCCGCCUUUAACCAUGAUUUCUCAGGUACAUUGUUCCCUCUGUAACCAUCCUCCUAUCAGUAAAAUUAGGCUAUUUGAAAACCACAUUUUGUAUAAACUACGAUUGUACAGUAGAUGAACGAAAUUCAUUUGAGAAAAAGAUGAUGUUAUUUCGUGCAAAUUACCUUUGAAAUUUAAUACAUUUAAAUCUAACUAAUAUAUAUUACACCUUUUGCAUAUGAAUGAUAACUAUGUCUAUAUUGUAUACUUCAUUAUAUGUAGUUCACUGUUAAACAUCUAAACUCUAGUGGGACUAUACAUGUGAAUGAUAGUCUUGAAGACCAGCUACAGCAUGAAAUUGCUCCAGCUGGAACCAUAUCAGCUCGUUCAAAGGUUGCUGCCAUGAGUUAAAUAGUCAGGAGAGAGAGACUCUGCAAUCUCACGCUACGAGGUAUUGCUUCACUCUUUGUUCUGUUUUAUGACAUCUUUAAUCUGUAUUAUUAACUAUUAAUAGGAAAAAAGAAAGAGAUAUUAAACUACUUAUCUAGUGGCUUAUGUAGUCUUAACGUAUCCAAGCGUUAUGAGCUAGCCUUUAGAUCGAGUAGUUUGUUGACACUCUAGACUGGAUAGAUUUUAACGUUAUUUAUUUUGUAAAACUUGAGGGUUUGUAUAUCCUCUGUAAUACCCAAUUUUAACCCGGGCUCACAAAAAAAAAAACUCAAAGUAAUAUCAUUUGGCCCGAUCGGAAGGUCCAUCUACAAGCUUAUGGAAACAUAAUCUUCAGGGAUAUACAAUCUUAGAUAUGAUAUAUAAUCUUAGAUAUGAUAUGCAAUUUUAGAAGAUAUGAUUUUGUAAUCUUAGAGAUUUAAUUUGUAGAUACCCUUUAAUCUCAAUCGUUGAUGUAAUUGAUCUGUACCGUUGGAUUUGGGGAGGCUCAACUAUAAAUAGAUGUCUCUCCCUUCAUUAUAAAAAAAAAGAUGGAGGAAUAAAAAAAGAGAACCAUUGAUAGUUUUUUAAAGGUGGCUUACUAUUUUUUUUUCUUUCGAUUAUUUUUUAUUUAUUUACGAUUUUAAAAAAGGGAGAAGGUGAUACCACUGCGAAUUAUUUUAUUUAGCCCCUCCUCCUUUUAAUGUUUUUGUAAUUAAGUUUUUUUUAUUUUUAAAUUUACCCUUUUAUUUAUUUUCGAUUUCAAUUCGAUCCUGAUUGGACGACGCCGUUUAGGGAAAUAGGGAAAAUUUCCCUUCUGGUCCCUCCAUGUAAUAUGCGCGUUCAAUUUGGUCCUUCAGUUUCCAUGUAUGUAUAGAUUUGCCUCAGAGUUUUUAUUUACAGUUCAAAUUAGUCUUUUUUCAUUUUCUUUAUUUUUUAUUAAUUAGUUUUUUUAUUCUUUUUUUAUAUUUAGUUAUUUUUAAAAAAAAUAUAUGUAUAUAUAUUUUUCAUAUACGCAUAUUUAUUUUUUGUAGUAUAAUAUAAUUAUUAUUUUUAUUUAUUUAUAUGUAAUUAUUUUUUUAUCUAUAUGUAUAUAUUUAUUUUAGUAUACAUAUGUAUGUACACAUUAAUAUUUUUAACUAAUUUUUAUAUAUAUGAACAUAUUUAUUUUUUAAAAAUGCAAAUAUAUUUUUUUAUAUACUUUAUAAAUUUUUUUUCCUUUAUUUUCAUAAAUGCAUCAUGUAUGUAUAAGUUUCAUAGCCCAAGAUUUCAUAUGUAAAUUAUGUGUAUGACUUUUAAUAUCAAUGCAUAUAUACUAUGUGCCUUUUAUUCUUUAUAUUUUGUUUAUUAUCUUCAUUCGAUUAUUAAUUCAUGUUUUCGUUUAUAUGUUAAAAUUCAUUUUUUUAUUUUGAUCAUUCAUUUGAUAUUUUGUAUGUGAUUAUUUUUUAUUAUGUAUAUUGAUUCUAUUUAUUCAUUUAUUUAUAUUAUUUCUACGACACUGUAAUAUUUAUUAUUGCAUGGUAUAUUUAAUGUAGCAUCACAUCAUUUUUUACUCGAUUUCAAACUUUUAAAAAUUGAGAUAAUGCUCGUAUUUAGGAUUUUUAAGGAAAUUGAGCCCUAACGUAUUGGGUUCCGAUUUUCUUCGUUAAAUCUAACAAUCGAGCAUUUCUCUUUAAUAAAAAAUUAAAGAACUCAUUAUUGGGAAUUCAACACGUUGUGCCCUAACGUAUUGGAUGUGACGCAUUGAUUUCUCAAAAUGAAUAUUUUUAAAAAAUAAUAAAGGAAAUAUUCUGAGUUUGGGAUUCUAAAGGAAUUGUGCCCUAACGUAUUGGGCCGCGAUUUCUUAAAUCUUGAAUAAAUGGAUAUUCUUUUAAAUUUUUAUUGCACUAGUAUUUUGGCCUAAUUCAUUUUUGGAGAAAAUUAGAAUGUCGUGUGUCGUGCCCUAACGUAUUGGGUGUGGCAUUUUCUUUCUCUGAAAUGAUAAAGGUUUUAAUACGUAACGUUUUUAAGUUUUUUCUAAGGAUUAUAUUUCUUCAAAUUUUCGACAUUAAGACAUUAAUUAAUUAACUAGGUACCAAUUUUGGGCGUACGAGGGUGCUAAUCUUUCCUCGUACGUAACUGACUCCCGGAUUCGUUUUUCUAAAACUCGUAGACCAAAGCCGUUUUUUAGGUGGUCCAAUCACACCUCAAUAAAAGAUUGGUGGCGACUUCCAAUUUUCAUUUUUUGAAGUCGACAACCUAAAAUUUUUGUUUUUCAAAAAAAUGGUUUCGACAUCCUCCAAUAUAUUUUCUUUAAUAUGAUUUGCUAAAUCAUCCGUAGUUUGUAUUGCAUAAAAUUACAGUCACUCGUAGUAUUAGAUUGUCAAUAUAAGGACAUUUCUUCACCUCUCCAAUUUUUAGUCUUUCGAAACAAGACAAAUUAAUAUGCUAAGCACAUCAUAUAUGAAUCAAUAUACGUUCGAGCUCAAAACAAGAAAAGAACAUACGUUUUGGGUGGAUGUUUGAUGAAAAAUGAAUUGAGACAGAAAGCAAAAAUAGAUAAAAAAAAUAAAGCAAUCAAGUUAUGAUCUUCUGUUUGAUUACUUAACUUAUAGUUUACAUGUACAACAAUGCUUAAAUAAGCUAAAAAUAAUAUUAAAUAAUUACAACUUGUCAAGUUUUGAAACUUGUAUAGUAUAACUUGCCCUUUAUUGGCUAAUUUUAGUUUAAUCAGUAACCAAAUCGUCUUGUCAAAAAGUUUUAUCGUUUCAGAGCAAAUUGGCAAGUUGACAACUUGCAGAGAAAGGGCUCACACGUAUAAGCUCUCCUAACAGAGCUCCCAUCUUUGGUGAGCUCGGACAUUUGAUGAGCUCGCAUCUUUGCAAUUUGUGUUCACCAUUGCAUGGAUGGCCACUUCGCAACACUCCUCUCGGUCUCCAUACUGCGAACCCCAAUAUCAUAAUGCAACUUCUCGAACUUCAUCUUUCCAAGAGGUUUUGCUAGAAUGUCUGCUAAUUGAUCUUGCGAACUGCAGUGAACCAGAGUUACUUCCUUAGCUUGUUCCAUUUCUCUCGCAAAAUGAUACUUGAUUUUGAAGUGUUUUGUUCUUCCAUAGAACACUAGGUUUUUUUGCAAUUGCAACAACAGAUUGAUUAUUGCACUUUAUUUUUGUUGCUUCCUCUUGAUUUAGAUUCAAAUCAUUCAACAGCUUUCUUAACCAAAUGGCUUGGUUUACAGCGGCUGCGGUUGCAACAUACUUUGCUUCAACGAUUGAUUGUGCUCAUGUUUUCUGCUUCUUUGAGCUCCAACAAAAAACACUUGAUCUUAGAGUGAAAAAAUAGCUUUUCAGUCUUCAUAAACUUCACUCAAUGGCUUAGAGUUCUUUUUAUAUAUCGCAGAACCCUUUUGGUUGCUCUAUAGUGGUUUGCGUUGGAACAAUGCAUGUACCUUGACAAGAUACUUACAACGAACAUUAUGUCAGGUCUGGAUGUAGUCAAAUAAAGCAAACAUCCAACCAAACUUCUAUAGCUUGUUUCAUCAACUCUAUCAACAUUUUCAUUACUUGUGAACUUCUCUCAUUGAAUGAUAGGGGUGUUCGUCGGCUUGCAGUUUUCCAUACAGUAUCUUCGCAGAAUCUUCAUCUUGAACCCCAUUUGGUUUAUAAAAAAAUUGAUGGUUACUAAACUAACUAUAAAUAUGAAAAAGGCAAACACACCUAUCGAACAAUAGUAUAGCUAUGGUGGGUAGGGAAUAUUGUAUCUACGAGGACAAAAAGUACUAGUAAUUACUGUCUUCUUAUUAACUAGCUGAUAAAUUGGGGUAUAUGUUUUAAUCUAAAAUUACUAAACUAAUUUAUCUAAGAACUCAACAUAGAAUAAAUCAAGGAAAUAAUCGAAUAAUAACCGAUGAGAUAGACAAUACCAGGAAAGAAUCCACCUAGACUUCCCCUUUUAUUAUGAAUCUGAAUUAAACGAUUUAUUCACUUGUGUCUCGAUCCGUAGAAAUCCCUAAAUCAUGUUAAUAUCUCUUUUGAGAGUAAGAACAACUGACUUUAGGUUGAUUAAUUGAAAUCUCUUUCUAAUUAAAACUCCUAUCAUCGCAUUAACUCGAUCUAUGUAUUCCCCUAUUAAAUUUGACUCUAAUCCGGUAGAUUUAUGUCGUCCUAUUUCUAUGAUUGCAUGUAAUUCCACUCAAUUAUGCUAGAUUUUCUCUUAAACAGGGCUUUUUGCUCCACUGAAUUAAUCACAUUAAACAUGAAUUAAUAUCUCGGAAAUAUUAAAACAAGAAAUAAACAUACAUAAUUGAGAAUAAGAAUCAAGUAUUUAUCGUGUAAAAAUAGAAAUUAAAUAAAAUGAGUCAACAUAGAUUUCAUCCUCCCUAAGUAUCUAGGGAAUUUAGUUCAUAAUCCUGAAUAGAAACAUUUCAAAGUCAGAAUAACCACAAGACAUAAAGAAACUCAAUAAAACUUCGAAAAAAAUUAAAAGGAGAUCUUCGAUCUUGAUGGAGAUCCGCUUCUGAGUUGAUUCCGAUGGUGUUCUUCGAGUGUUUUCUUCGAUCUUCUCUAAUUGCCCCCUUCUCUAUUCUUCUAAUUGGUAUUUAUAGUCUUUAGAAUGCUUAGAAAGCCUAAAAAUUGGGUUUUUUGCGUAUCUAGGAAGCAGGGUGCGAAAUUGACACAGGCUGGCACAAAGGCGUGUGGCCAGCCCGUGUGGAAAUGCCCUGUCCAUGUGGCUUCUGAAAACAGUUUUAUUUGUCCGAUUUUGGCUCGUUUUUCACUCCUUUCACUCCCAAAUGGUCUCCUAAGUAUAGAAAUAUGAAUUUAAAGGAUUAUGAGCAUCAAAUUCACUAAUUUUCACAAUUAAUCAUCUAAAAAUGCAUUAAGAAUGGGAUUAAAAUAUGUUACUUUUAUAGCUUAUAAAAAAUGUAUCACAACUUGAAUUACUUCUAGAUCGAGGAAGUAUGUCAUUUCUCCCAAGUCUGACAUUUCAAACUUCACUUGCAUUCUCUUUUUGAAGUCAACCACCAGUUCGUUGUUGCUGUCAAUCUCAAGUAAAUCAUCAACAUAUAAUAAUAUAAUAGGAAGUGUUUCAUUACCAGCCUUCUUCACAUAUAGUGUGGGUUUGUUUACAAUUCUUUCAAAUCCCAACUCUGUUAGAUGAUUGUUGAUUCUUUCAUACCUUGCCCUUGGGGCUUGUUUUAGACCAUAAAAAGCUUUGUUUAGUUUAUAUACAUUCGCUUCCCAAAUAGGUACUAUGAAUCCUUGAGGCUGUCGACAUAGAUUUCUUCCUUUAGGAAGUUAUUUAGAAAAGUUGACUUCACAUCCAUUUGAUGUAUUCUCCAACCCUUCUAAGUUGUAAGAGUUAGUAGUAGCCUCAUGGUAUCUAACCUCGCUACAGGUGCGAAGGUUUCAGUGAAAUUCACUCUGUAUUGCUGGUUAAAUCCCUUCGCAACCAAUCUGUCUUUAUAUUUGUUGAUUGAACCAUCAAGAUUCAUCUUAGUCCUAAACAUCCAUUUAACUCCAAUUAAUUUUUACGAACUAGUCUGUCUGCCAGCUCCCAUAUUUCAUUUUUGUUGAUCAUGUUGAUUUCAUGUAACACCCCUUACCCGAGACCAUCGUCGGAAUCAAGUACGAGAUGUCAUCCAACUUAACUUACCAAUUCGGAGCAUAAAAAUUUGCUUUUAAAAUUAAAGUCACUGUUCACAACAAAACUGUUCACCUGCGCGACUGUCACUAAUUUAAUUAUAUCUUAAGUUAAAAAAAUCAAAAUUUAAAUUCGUAAAUUUUCCUUGAAACUAGACUCAUAUACCUUAUUACCAUAAAAUUUUUAGAAUUUUUUGUUUAGCCAAUUAGUACAGUUUAUUCAUUAAAGUCUCCCCUAUUUCACUACUUGACAGUUUUGACCUCUUGGCACUAAAAAUCAAUUAUCUCAUUGUACAGAAUUCAUAUAAUGUUAUCGUUUGUUUAUUUUGAAAAUAUAUUCACUAAGGAAUCUAAACAUAUAAAUUAUGAUCCAUAAUUAUUUCUGUACAAUUUAUAAUGAUUUUGUAAAGUCAGAACAGGGGACUUCAAAAACCAUUUUGACCCUGUCUCACUAUAAUUCAAAUAUCUCAAAAUAUAAAAUUUAUUUUCCUACACCGUUUCUUUCAUGUAAAAAUAGACUUGAUAAGAUUUAAUUCUAUAUAUAAUUCACUCUCUAAUUCCAUUUCUACUAUUUAUGGUGAUUUUUCACAUUCACGUCACUACUGCUGUCAAAGAAACUGCUUCUUUGUAUUAGCUACCAUUUAAACAUACAUAACACCAAAACAUAAUCUUUACCAACCAUUUCAAUAGCUAAUCUUAGCCAUAUCAUAUGAACAUACUCAAAAUGAUUAAGACUCUAUACAUGUCAUACUCAAAAUUUUGAAAACACAUAAUACCGAGAUGGUUAUGAUAGUGUGAUACGAGCUCCGACGAUCCCCAAUUCGAACAAGCUCAAAUCACUAUAAAACAAAGGAAAGGAGAAAAUGUGUAAGCUACAAAUAGCUUAGUAAGUUACAUGUAAACAAUAAGUACUCAUUUAAUAAUUGACAUUUCUCUCAUAUAACUAAUCAAACAUUUCUUAGCAAUUUCAAUCACUUACACAUGCAUAAUCUUACCCAUUUCACUUGCACAUGCACUUAUACACUUAACAUUUAUCACAUAUGCUCAUUCUUUUAAACGUACCUGCAUACACACUUCAUUUCAUAUUCACUUUAACUCAUUAUUAAUCUCAUUGAACACUCGGAAUAUACAUAGAUACGUAGAGAUUUAGCACAUAAGUGCCACACUGAUAUGUAGCCGAAGCUAUCACUGAUAUGUAGCCGAAGCUACCACUAAAAUGUAGUCAUAGCUACCACUGAAUUGUAGUCGAAGCUACCACUGAUCAAUAACAUUGGAAAUGUCCACGGGCCUGCUCAUACAAGCUGUCAGGUGUCUGCAACACAUGCUAGAUCACCCAGCACACGGGACUCACUGUAACACUGAUAUCUAGUGACAUGUCACUUGUAUCCACUUCUAUUCCUAAGUUCAACUGGGAAUUUACACUUAAUACUUUAUUUUCAACACUUUAUCACUUGAAUAAUUCAUGAACAAUUUUCCUUCCACAUUCAAUAUUGAUUCACAUAUCAAACAAAAUUCACAAUUUAUAAAAAUAUAUUGCUAUUAUUUACACAUAACUUACCUCAGAUGCAAAACGACUAUUUUUGUAAUUUAGUCGAUAACCUUCUCUUUUCCCCGAUCACUUCCACUAUUUCUUCUUUCUUGAUCUAUAUUAACACAAUUUAAUGCUUUUUAUCAAUGUUCCAUUCAAAUACAAUUCAUACACAAUAUUUGGCAAACUUACAUUUUUUCCUAUAACUUUUCAAAAAUUUCACUUUUGUCCCAAAGCUCGUAAAAAUAAAAUUCACUAAAUUCUUAAAUUUCAAACUUCACUAAAUCAUAUUUCAUACUCAUAACAGCCCUCAAUUUCACAAAAUCACAACUUUAUGCACACUUUACCAUCUUUCACAAUUUAGUCCUUUUUCAACAUUUUCAUCGAAAUUCAUCUAGUAAAACUUGUAAUUAACACUUCAAACAUUCAUUAUCUAACAUCACUAAUCAAUUUACAAUAUGAAUGGGUCAAUUUUUAAAAUUCAAUUUCAUUUAAAUUAAAUGGUAGAAACAUGAAAUUCAAGCUUCAAUAAGCAUAAAAAUACGAAAAUAAUUAAAAACGGGGCAAGAAAUCACUUACAAUUGAGCUUAGAAAAAUCAAGAACCCUAGCCUAUAGAACAUGAAAGUUUUGGCAGCAACUCUUCAAUUUUGAAGAAGAUAGACACUUAUGUUCUCUUUAUUUUGUCUUUUAUUCAAUUUGGACAAACAUGCCCUUGACCCAUUACUUAGAUAUUUUUCUAGAAUUACUCUUUUGUGUCCAUAACACUAAUUUAUGGUCUAAUUGCCACAUAAACACUUCCAAUUUGAUGCAAUAAUUCAAUUAAGUCAUUUAAUCACUAAUUAGACACACUUUGCAUUUUCUCAAUUUAGUCCUAAAAAUUCAAUUAGGCACUAAAUCAUUAAAAUUUCCUAUCCAUAUUUUCACACAAUAUUUCAUUCAAUCAGUAAUUAAUAAAAGUUUUUAAAAUUAAACUAUUUCACUUCGAAUUUGUGGUUACGAAACCACUAUUCCGAUUAGGCCCUAUUUCGGGAUAUCACAUUUCAUUCUCCAUGGCAUCUCUCCAUUCAACUUCUUGAGAUGCUUAUUCGAAGGAGAUUGGUUCCAAAUUUUCUAGAUUACACCUUUGAUAGAAUUUAAUGAUCGACCUGGUCCCUCGCACUAGAUAGCCAUCAACUGCAUCAUUUUCAGUUUGAUCUCCAGUGGGUUGUAAAUCUAAUUUAUGUUCUCCUUGUUCGAGCAUCUCUUCCUUUGUUGCAUCCUAUUUCCAGAUUCACCCUUCAUCAAAAUUCACAUCUCUGCUUAUAAUCAGCUUCUUGGAGAAAGUGUCAUAAAUUCUAUAACCUUUUUUGACACUGCAAUAUCUCACAAAAAUCUUUGGCUGCGAUCUUUUUUCGAGCUUGCUUAUUUUCUCUAUUGGAACAUGAACAAAGCAGGUGCAACCAAACACUCUUAGGCGAGAAACAGAGGGUUUAAAUCCAAAUCAGACCUCGAAUGAUGUCUUCCCUUCAACAGCUUUAGUUGACAGUCUAUUUAGCAUGUAAACAACAGUGUUUACUGCUUCUGCCCAAAAAAAAUUUGGCAGUUUGCUUUCAAACAACAAGCAGUAAGUCAUGUUCAAUAUUGUUUUCUUUUUUUCUUUCACUUACUUCAUUUUUUUGUGGAGUAUACACAUUGCUCAACUAAUGAUGGCUUCUAGCCUUUUCACUAAAUUUUUGAAAUUUCUCUAAAGUGUACUCUACCCCAUUAUCUAAUCUUAUCAUCUUAAGCUUGCAACCAAUUUGAUUCUCAGCCAUAGCUUUAAACUUGAAGAAGAUUCCAACCACUUUGGACUUGUUCUUCAUAAAGUACACCCAACAGAACCUUGUACAGUCAUAAAUAAACAACACAAAGUACUUACUUCCAUUUAGCGAAUUUGUUUUCAUAGGUUCAUAAAUGUCAGUAUGUACUAAGCAUAUCUUUUCACUAGCUCACCAUGCUUUGUUCGCAAGAAAUGGAAGCCUCGCCUACUUCCCAAGUUGGCACACUUCGCAUACAUCUUCAUGAUCAACCACACUUGAUAAUUUUUCAAACAAAUUAUUAAUGGACAUUUGACUUAAGGAUCUAUAGUCCACAUGUCUCAUUCUCCUGUGCCAUAAUUUGGUUUCAUCUAGUGAACUGGUAUAAGUUACAAAAGUUGCCAAGUUCCAAUUAACAACAAAAUUUCUAUUAGUCAUCAUUGUUGAUAUGAGCUCUCAUCCACUAGGAUCAAGAAUUAAACAUUUAUUGUCAUUAAAUACCAUAGACUAUUUCUUCUCAAGUAGCUAACCUACACUUAGCAAAUUUUGAUCUAUGUUAGGAACUAACAGAACAUCUGUAACAAGUUUAGUACUUGAUGGAGUUUAAUCAAAACAUCUCCCUCUCCUACUGCUUUGAUGUACUAGCCAUUUCCAACUUUCACCUUGAAGUUGAAACUCUUGUCAAUACUCUUGAAUAUGUUUCCAUCUGCAGUCAUGUGACUUGUAUAACCAUUGUCAACAAGUCAGUUCUUUCUAUCUUUGCUGGAGGGUUCGCAUGAGGUAGCGAGCUUGAAUUUAUAAGAGGCAGUGAACAUAAGUUCUUGAUUUGUUUCUGCUGUCUGUGCCUGAGCAUCUUGUUGAUGUGCUUACCCCUUAUUCUUGUACACUCUUUCUUCAUGGCCAAACUGCUUGCAAUUUUGCUUUAAGCAUUAUGCUUGAACCAACAAACUCUUUCACAUCUCGAGUUUGGCAAUUUUUAGUUAAGGCAUGGAGUCGUGAAGUUACCUAUUUGGCGUAAUGGAAUUUGCUAUGUUAUAGUCUUCUGGCGAAUUAGAUUGUGGCGUAUUAUAAACACUGUAGAGGUGAAUAAAGGCUUUAAGUUAUUCUUAUUCUGUUAUCUAAGAGAAUGGUAUAUCUAGUGACAUAUAAGUCAGGUGAGUUACCUUCGUAUGCAUAGUACGCCUAGUUUGUUUAAGCAUUGUGUUGGUUUGGUUCGUAAUGUGAACUGGUUAAGAGCCAAUUAGACUCUCUAGUUAAAUAUCAAUUAUAUAGUAUGCUCAUUUAUGUUUCUCUCAAAAUCUGUAGAUCAUUAAGAAGGAAAAAUUCUAGAUAUAGUUGACACUUGUUAAGUUCCAAUAAGAGAAGUUCGUUAUAUAUAUAGGUGAGAAGUGUUUGUAAGGGAGUUUCUUCUUCCUUCAAUAUUACUAUCUAUUUUUGUAACACCCCUUACCCAGUCUGGUCAUCAAACCCGAGUAAUAGGAUGCUACGGACAAAAAUAAAAAAAAUCAUGCAAUUUUUGAUUCAGAAACUCAAUUAAAUAUCAUCGAUUCACAUCUGAUUAAAAUAAUGAUAAUUUGCAAUCUAUAUGAACCUAACUGUGAAAUCCAGGCAUGAAAUAGGGUUGAAUUGUAAAUUUUCAAAUUUUCAAAGUUGGUAUCGAUAUUUAAUUGGUUGGUAUCGAUACCAUAUUGGUACUUUAUUUGGUAUUGAUACCAAAUAAUGAUUUUAUUUGUUCUAAAAUUGUUCAUAUGGUCAAGUAUCCAUAUCAAUUGCCAAAAUAUCAAUACCUAAGCCUAAAAUCACCUAAGCUCAAAUGGUAUCUCAUAACCACAAUUAUAAACAUAAAAACCAUAAACUUAAGACUUACCUAUUCAAUUCCAACAUGCCAAAAAAUCAUUUUAACAAUGAACCUAAUACCUAACCAAUAUGCAUUCAAGGCACCUCAACAAGUUCAACUAAACAUAUGCUUUUAUACCCUUUUUAAUACCUAAUGAACCACUCAACUUCAAUCACAAAUCAUAGACCAAACUUACCAUUCGAUACAAGAUCAAAAAUAACAUAUCAUUCAUCACUUUCAACUAAAUACCAAUUAACCACAUCACCUAACAUAAUAUCAUAUCAAAAUUUAUCCUAUGAAUCUCAUAAACCUUAUUACUUUAGCAAGACAUUAACAACAUAACCUUUCUCAUCACAUACUUAAACAUUAUAUAAAUAAUCUCCAAUUACCACAAUACAAAAUGAUCAUUAUAGCCAUAAUACACCUUAGGUACAUGCCCAGACCAAAAUGAACACGUCCCCAAUGCUUGAGUUCGAGAUUACCACUAGAUGUUGAUUCGAUGAUCGAAACGUAAAGUACAUAACCUAUGCACGGAAAACAAAACCACAUGCGGAGUAAACUCAAUGGUAGUUUUUAUAAUCUGAACAUUAAAUCAUAAGGUAGUAUAUUCAAAUGCAUAAGUUAGAAGUAAUGGAUGAUAUCCAAAUUAACAUAUAAAUUCCCACUUCUUCAUAGCUUUUAUUAACCAAAAAAACAAAAGUACUAAUAUGUAGCAUUUCACUACUAUUUCACAUUCAUUGAAUCAUCAAACUUUUAUAUCCUUUUUCAUCUCAAUUUAUAAUAAUCUAUUUCUCAAAUCCACAACAUAAAUUCAUCAACCAAUCAUCAAUUCACAUAUGUAAUAGUAUAACUCAUCACAGUUGAAUUCAAUUGCAUAAUUGUAACAUUAUAUCAUAUUUUCAAAACUACUCAAUUUAAUCCUUAUCACAAACUACUAAUUCAAAUUGAUUCAAUUCAGCUCGUUCUAUUAUUUCCAACUUACCUUUUGUUAUUACCAUAUAGCGUAGUUCGUAAAUGCAUCAAUUGAAAAAAAAUUCAGGUUAUAAAAAUACAAACCAAAUGGGUUAUAGAAUCUACCAUUAAAAGAAGUGAAAUUUUAGGUUUGCCGCAACAUGCAAGCCGUGGCUCUCAUUUCCUUCUCAUAAGACUAAGAGAAAAUGAAGAAACUAUCUGUUGAAAACUAAUGUUGUCUCCCUUCGGUUGAUGAAGAUGAAAAGGGAAUAUCAUUUUUUUUCUCUCCCAUUCCAUUACCAUCUUUUUCUUUUAAUUACUAAAAUUAAUUUUAUAAUCAAAUUUUAACUAAUGUUUUAAUAAAAAUAUGUAAUUUCAAUUCCUUAAUCAGCCAUCUUAAAAACUAAGAGUAUAUUUACUAUAUAAGUCCAUUUCAUGAGUCCUAAUUAAAAACUGAGUCGUUAUAGUUUUUUUUCUAAAAUCUAAAUAUUAUCUUUUCCUCACUAAGCUGGAAGCUAAAGUUCUUGAUUUAAUCAGUGGUUGUUCUACCUCCUGAUAAGUAUUAUAGCUCUAUGAUUGGGAAGUAAAUAUGUUAAGAGUUGUAGGAACAAUAAGUAUGAAUGCAAUAUCUUUCAUGGAGGUUAUCUAUGAUUGAGAUUUUAGCAAAUUGUAUGAAAAUAGGUUUUAAAUGGUAAAUUUGUGUUCUUUAAGUAGUGGUUGUUGCUGGGUCGAGAUGGAUGUUCAAGUCUGGAGCUUCAAGUUACAGUUUAAGUGAGUAUCAGGGUAGUCUCUGUUUUGUUUCCUGCAUGUUAAUUGUUCAAGUAAAUGCACAUAUUUAAUGAUAAGACCUCAAGUAAUAAGUAAGUUUGUAAAGUAUAGUAAAUAUGUUAUAUGUGUACAAUGAAGUUAUGUAUGAAGUACUAUAUAAAUAAAAAGUGAUUGGUAAGUAUGCAGGUAAAAUUUCAUAUAAGGAAUGUACGAAUCGAUCAGCUAUGUGUGAACAAAUCUAAGUAAGUUCUGGAUAUAGUGAGUCUUUUGAUGCCUCUGGUAGGAUAGGUAUAUUGCUAACCAGCCUGGUAGAUCACGAUAUGAAAAUAAGUGUAAGACCAUGUGGUUAAGACCCAUGGCAAUGAAUGUUAUGAAAACACUCAUGGUGUAACCUCUAGUAAGACGAAGACUGGACUGGCAGAUCACAACAUGAAAGUGUAGAAGCCCAUGUAGUUGAGACCCAUGGCAUAAUAUGAUAUGAUGAUAUGAAUGUUCAUGGUGAAGCCUUCAAUAAUAUGUAAUCAAAUUGGCAGAUCAUAGCAUGAAUUUAAGUAUAAAUCCAUAAGGGAGAAACUCAUGGUACUUUCUGCAAAAGUCCGUUGGGACUGUAAACACGUGAUUCUAUAUUUUACCUUAGUGGCGUAUUGUGUUUGGCCCUUAUGGUGUACUUUGUUUGGCCCUUGUGGUGAAUUAUGUACGGUCUUUAUAGCAGGUUCUAGGUAUGUUCUGAGUAUCCUAUGUUAAGUAGCUUUAUGAUAAUGAUAUCAUUAGUCUAAAGUACUUUGGUUUGAUUAGUUUUAUGAUAUAAUGGAAUGAGUUUUAAUGGAAGUAUACAUUUGUAUGUUCUAAGAGGGUGUCCGCUAUAGUAAUCCACUAGUAUGGAAAUGGGAUAAUUCGUAACUAUGAAAGAUAUCAGUAUACGAUGAUAUGAUAAUGUUUGCAUUAAUGUAAGAGUUGGAUUCUGAGUUAUCUAGUAUCCGCCACAUCUGAAUAGCAUCAGGUCUCAAUUCCAGAAUUAUAUGAUAUUUGCGCUAUUUGUUAAUUUGGGUAUUAUCAUGCUUUGUAGCAAGAGUUAUGAAGAACUAUUUUGAUUGAUGUAAUUAGUUCAUUUUCGGUAUGAGCUUGUGUUGGGUAUUGAAUUGAAACAUGAAUUGAUUGGUAAACUAAUGGUAUUCAACUCAGUGUGGAAAUCCACCAAAUGUGUAAGUAUCCGCCCUUGAAUAGUACUUAUGAUUAAUUAUUCUGGAAUAACCAAAGAAAGUUAAGAAUGAUACAUUAAGUAUGGUAAGUGGCACAUAGAUAUAUAUAUGUAUGUGUGCACGACGAUUCAAAGGUAUCAACCAAUGACAGAUUUGUUAAUCUAAAUGUUCAAGAUGAAUAAUUCAGCAUGAAAGGUUUAAAGGUGAAUUGUAUUUCAAACUCAAUAAAUUCGUGUAACUUACAAAUAUUAUGUUUAUGUUUCAGGUAUUAUUGAAAAAAUGAGUUCGCCAAGAGAGACUAUGCAAAGGAAGCGACAAUCCGUGUUAUUAUGUAUAUAGUAGACGUUUUCGGAUAGUGGCAUAUAAUAGGACUACGCCUUGUGAGUCUGUCCUUAGCAAAAUUUUGAUGUUGUAAGAAGAUGUAACUAAUCUAAUAUAUUGUGUUAUUUUAUUUUUAAAUACUUUUAUUUGUUUCUUUAAUGAUAAAACAUUGAAUAAAAUAAUAAGAGAUAAGUUUUAAGUCAAAAGUACAAGUCGUUUAUUUUGAAAAUUUGAUAAGUAUUUUUGUAGUAAUACCGAGAUCCAGACAUAGUAAAUUGAGUCGGGUUAAGGGUGUUACAGACUCUCUUAGGGUGACCCAACUUCUUGCAAUGCGAGCACGGUGGAUAUUUUUUCUUUCCACUGUCUCUUUUUGACUUUUCUUUAUUAUCUAACCUACUCUUUUUUCCUAUCUGAUUUGAGAAGCUUGAGCUUUCUUUGCCUUUUGCAAGAAAAGCUCCUUCAACGUGACCCUCUUCUCUACUUGCCUUUUUUUUGUUCUUAAGCAUAUAGAGCAUUGAUCAAUUUUGAAAGUGUAAUAGCCCGUAGUGAAAUCAGAACAGUGGUCUUGGGACCACAAAUCUGAGGUCAAAAAAUUUAUUUUAAUAUUAUUUAAUAUCUACAGCAUAAUAGUAUUAUAGUAUAAAAAAUUCGUUAACAAAUUUUACUAUUUGUAUGCUCAAUUUGUGAAAAAAGACUAAAUCGCGUAAAGAGCAAAAGUUGUGUUCUAUUCGCUAAAGGUGUUAAAUAGAAAUAGAACAUUAAAAUGGAGGUCCUUAUAUAGUAAUUACACCAUUAAUUGAGUUAGUGGAUGUGCAUGGCUUGGCAAUUAUGAAAAUUUUAAAGUUAGGUAAAGGUAAUUUGGUAAUUAGCCUAUUAAAGAUAAAAAUAAACAAAAUUUCAGCUAUCAUCUUGUUGGCUUCUUCUUCAACUGAAAAUUACAGCAUAAGGGAGAAUUUUUGGAGCUUCAAACAUUCGGCCACUUCUUCCUUUCCAUGUAGGUGUGUUUUUGUCCCGUUUUUAGUGAUUUUUAUGUUUUUGGGAUCGUUGUAGCUUAACCUAGCUAACUAGGGGACUUAUUUGCAAAAAUAUUGAAUAUUUUGAGAUUUUCUAUUGAUGAAUAUGUUAGGGUUUUUAAGUUUAAUGAAAGAAAAUGAAUCAUUAUUGUUAAUUAAACAACUUUUGUUAAGUAAUUUUUAAUGAAAUUGUCAAAUAGGGAUUAAAAUUGAGAAAUAUGAAAAUUAUGUGUCAAAUAUGUGAAAUUAUGAAAUCUAUGGGCUGCUAUAAGAAUAUUUAGAAUUUGACUAGGCUUAUAUAGGGAUGAAAUUGCAUGAAUUUCAUUUUACAAGCCUAAGGACUAAAUUGUAAAGAAGUUAAAAGUAUAGGGAAAAUUGUAAUUUUUCCAUAACAUGAAUUUUGGAUUGAAUUGAUUAGAGUGAGGUUUAAAGGUUAAAUUUGAUUAUAUAGAUCAAGAAAAGCAACGUACGGAAUUAGAUCGGGGGAAAUACAAAGUUAUCGAUUAAACGAUCGUUUUUCUCGGUACGAGUUUAAGGUAAGUUUGUGUAAUUAAAUUGUGUAUUUAUUUGAUUUAAUUGAAAUGUAUGUAUGUAGAUUUUAUAAUUAUUAUGUAUAAUUAUUGAGUGCAUAACCGGCGACAUACGAAGAAUACCAAGCCUUGUUUGAACCUUAGGAAGUCGUAAGAUACAAAUGACAUGUCAUUAGGGUUACAGAUUCCAGCUCUUAUAAGCUUAUUGAUACUCAGCGCAUAUAAGCUUACCGUUAUUCAACUCGGAGGAGCUUACCAUUUAUCUCUUGUAUGAGCAUACAAGUACAAGAAUUGACGGAUUACAGUUCAGUACAUCUUGUGUGUACCACCCGCGUAUCUAACAAUACACUAAGUGGUUCAAUGGGCAUAGUGUUAUUACGAGAUUAUACAAGUUCAUUACGAACUAGUACAGGUAUUUACAUGGAAAUGGUUAUAUAUAUAAUAUACGGAUACACGGUAUAGAUGCUACAUGUACAUAGAAUUUAUUAAUUGUUGAAUUCAUACAUGAUUCUCGAUUUUAUAUGAAUACAUGGCUAACUUGGUUAUUGAUUACGUGAUAGGCUUUAGCCAUACUGAAUUGUGUUAUGCUUUGAAUUACUUACCAAACUUGUGGUUAAAUGGUAAGCUUAAUUCUGUGAUAUACGAACUUACUAAGCUUAAUUGCUUACUCUGUUUAUUUUUCCAUGUUUUAUAAUGAUUCGGAAGCUCGCUCAGAUUGGAAGUCGUCAAGGAUCUCAUCACACUAUCAAACGUUAUUUUGGUAAUUUGGACUUUAUAUUUUGGGUUAAAUGGCAUGUAUAGGUCAUUUUGGCUAAUACUAGUCUAUAUGUUUUGUGGUGUUUUAACCAUUUGUGUUGGCUUGUUUUGUGAACAUAUUUUUGUUAUGUAAAUAUGUAAAUAGCCUUUGUAUAUGUGGUGUAUGGUUGUCAUGUGAAUGCCUUAUUUGUGAAUUGGUAUUUUGGAUACCAAAUGAUUGAAAUGGAUAAGUGGCAUGCAUGAUAAGUUAGGCACAUUGAUGCAUAUAUGUGUUUGACCAUUUAGGUAGAUUUUCGAGGCAUAAGUGACAAGUUCAAAAAUGGUUAAUUGAGAUGUCUAUUAGUAUCAUACUUGUAUGUGAUAUUUUAACAAGUUAUAAGCUUGAUAUUAGUUGGUUUUGAAUGUAUAUUUAUGCCAUGGUUGUAUUCAAAUUGUUGUGUUUAGGUUGGUACCAAUUUGGGUGAGAAAUAUGGCUUAGAAAAUGACCUAUUUUUGUCCACACGGGCAGAGACACGGGCGUGUGUUUCAGCCGUGUGUGACACACGGCAAGGUGAAACGGCCGUGUGUCCCCUGUAACUUCUUUAUAAAACAAGUCAGUAGCUUCACACGGCUUAGCACAUAGGCUUGUGGCUUGGCCAUGUGGCACAAGUGAGUAUACCCUUUAGUUUUCACACGGCCUAGCACACGGCCUGGCACACGGGCGUGUGAGGCCAUUUUGAAGGGUACACGGCCUGACACACGGGCAUGUGGUCUGACCAUGUGACCCAAGUCAGUAUACUUACUAGUUGGUACAUGGGCUAGGACACGGGCGUGUGGCCCAUUUUGAAUGUCCACUCGGCCUGGCCAUACGGGCGUGUGUCCCCUGUACCUUUGAAAAUUUUACAUGUUUAUCAAAAAAAUUUCUUGAGUACUCGGUUUAGUCCCGAACUAUUUCUAAUGUCUAUUUGGGGCAUCGGGAGCUCGUAUUAGGGACUAUAUAAAUGAAUUUUAAUGGUUUUUUAUUUGAUUGAGAAAUGAACAUGAAAUGUAUGAUUGUUUAAUUUAUAAGUCUGGUAAUGAUCCGUAACCCUAUUUCGGCGACGGAUACGGGUUAGGGGUGUUAUAUUUAUUGUAUUAGAGCUACAGUUUAGUUAAUUUUUGGACAAACGUAGCGUUUGGGAGUUUAGCUAUACAGGCCAUUUUAGAACUUGUGAUAAUGUGAUGUCUCCUGAUAGUUUAAAUAAUGUUUUCAUAUAGUAAUGGAUUCCAAUCGAGCAGACUCUAGUGAUGUUGAAAGUAACGCGUCAGCCUCCAUUCGCGGAGCAGCUUCUUCUGGAUCGAGACCCGUAUCUGAGGGUCAUGGAUGAGAGGCUAAGGAAGCCUUUUUUUCAUAUGAUGAAUGAAUGGUUCACUGAGUUUGUCUGAACUAAUUCGACUGCUCAGCAACCUCCAACCCCGCCUUUUCCUCAACCGGUCCCUAUAGCUCUUAAACUUUUGGAACCUAUAUGCAUGAGCAAACUGCUAGUUAAUAAAAUUCACAAAUAUGAGGCCGAAAAGUUUAGGGCUACUGCUGAUGACGAUCUGGAGAGAGCUAAAUUUUGGCUAGAGAAUACGAUUAGGGUUUCAUAUGAACUGUCUUGUAUGCCAACAGUGUAACACCCCUUACCCGUAUUCCUUACCGGAACAGAGUAUGAGGUAUUACUAAAUUUUUAAAAAUUUUCGACAGCAUUCCUACUUAUUUUUGCUUAAACCUCCUGCAAAUUUAGAACACAUUCCAAUAUACCAACCAAUUUCAUUUGUAUAAACACACAUAUAGUUUAACUAUUAAUAAACACUACAUUUAAAAGGGAACCAUAACAUAUAUUUACAUGAUGAUCCCACAUUACAUAAAGUGUCUAUACAUGCCAUAAAAUUUCGGAACACUAGUAGUAAAAUACCCCAAAUGUGAAGGAUAGUGUAGAUGAUUGUCUGACUUCGUUCCAAUUUCCGAGUUGUUGGAAGUCACUAUAACCAAGAGAAAAAUAAAAUCGAGUAAGCAUAUAGCUUAGUAAGUAAACACAUGAUAAAUAAGUAAUUACUCCCAUAACUACACCAAAAUAUAAACUUAUUCAUGAAUAACUUUAUUGUUUAGGCAAUUUCCAGCAAGCUGUUUUUCUGCGUCAUAGUCGCUAAUUUAUUUUCAUCUGGAGCUAAAGGGCUCCAAAUUGAGUUCCGUAAAUUUUCCCUGAAACUAGACUCAUAUACCAUUUCACCAUAAAAAUUUCAGAAUUUUUAACCCAGCCAAUUAGUACAUUUUAUUCAUUAAACCUUCCCCUGUUUCACUGCCCAACGGUUCUGACCCUUCCUCACUAAAAUUUACUUAACUCUCUGUAAAAAAUUUGAAAAAUGGGUUUUAUUGUUUCUAAUAAAAAUAGACUCAAUAAGGAUUCCAGGGAUAUAAAUUUCAUGCCAUAAUUAUUUUUUUUCAAUUUUUGGUAAUUUUCCAAAGUUAGAACAGGGGAUCUCGAAAUCAAUCCAGCCCUAUUUCAGUAAAAUUCAGAUAUCUCCAAAAAUACAACUCUUUUGCUUAUUCUAUUUCUUUCAUAUGAAAAUAGACACAUUCAGCUUCAAUUUCAUAUAUUAUUCAGCUUCCCAUUCAUUUUCCACCAUUUAUGGUGAUUUUUCAAAGUUACCCAACUGCUGUUGUUCAACACAGUUUAUAAUUAAAUCGUUCCUUUUGCGUUUUUGAUAUUUUCUCCCAUCUCAUACAUGGGUCGAUUUAGUAUUCAACUCAAUAUUUACCCCAUAAAAUUUUCCACCAUAUGGAAAUAUUCAUCUUCCACACUUUUUCGUUGAACACUUGGAAUGUUAACCGUUAUUGGUGGAUCUCGCACUUAGCACCACCGCUGAAUCGGGGAAUCAGCACUUAGCAACCCCUCGGGGGAAUCAGCACAUAGCAACCCCCUUUCACAUUUCAAAGAUAUGGUGGAUAUCGCACUUAGCACCACCAAUGAACCGGGGAAUCAGCACUUAGCAACCCCUCGGGGGAAUCAGCACAUAGCAACCCCCUUUUCACAUUUCAAAGAUAUGGUGGAUCACGCACAUAGCACCACCAAUGAAUCGGGGAAUCAGCACUUAGCAACCCCUCGGGGGAAUCAGCACAUAGCAACCCCCUUUUUACAUUUCAAAGAUAUGGUGGAUCACGCACAUAGCACCACCAAUGAAUCGGGGAAUCAGCACACAGCAACCCCUUUAUAUACAACAUACUCCGGCUUAUUCCGAGUGUUCAACCCAUAAACCAUAUAUUGCAACCCUUUACCACCUUUCCCGAUUUAACAACAUUUUUAGGAUAUGGCCAAACAUUUAUUUUAAUUCCAAAUAAAUCUCAACAUAUAUCAAAUAAUAUCAAAAUAAUACAUUAAGUCACGUGUUUACUUACCUCGGUGCAAAAUAUCGUAAUUUUGCACUUUACUCCCCUAUCUUUUCUUUUCCCCGUUUGAUAUACUCUUCACGUCUUUCUUGAUCUAUAAUAGCAAAUUUAACUCGUUUAAUAUUCACAUUUAUUAAAGUAAUCCACCACCCAACUUUUUGAAAAUUACAAUUUUGCCCCCAAACUUUUGCAUAAUUACACUUUUGUCCCCAAGCUCGGAAAUUAAACUUCAUCACUUAUUCUUAAGUUUUAUAACAUGCUGAACAUUUUUCCCUUCUAUGGAAACAUCAAAUUCCCACUCCAACACAUACUUUUGAAUAUUAAUUAUUUUUACCGAUUAUGUCUAUUUACCCGUUUUCGCUUAAAAUUGCUUAGCAAAAGUUGUUUAACAUAAUCUCUAGCUUCAUAUUCCACCAUAAAACAGCAAAAUAAACACAUUUCACCUAUGGAUAUUUUUCCAAAUAUGAACCCUAACAUGAAUUAAUGGUAGAAUAAGCUAAACCAAGUUACCGGGACUCCAAAAAUACGAAGAACAUUAAAAACGGGGCUUAGAAUCACUUACUAUGGAGCUUGAAAGCUUAAAAACCCUAAAUAUGGCUUCCCCCUUGCUGAUUUCGUUCACCAUGAAGAAGAUGAGCAUAUUUUGCCAUCUUUUUCCCAUUUAAUUCUAUUUAAUAACCAAAUGACUAAAAUGCCCCCAUUUAAAAAAAUCUAUUUCACCCAUUUCUUAUGUCUAUUUUUGUCCAUCAACUAACUAAUGGUCUAAUUACCACAUAAAGACCUCCAAUUUAAAAUUUCAUAACAAUUAGACACCUCUAAGAUGUAGAACUCAACUUUUGCACUAUUUACAAUUUAGUCCUUUUGACUAAAUUGAGUGCCCAAACGUCGAAAUUUUCGAACGAAAUUUUUACGAAAAUUUUCCGUGAAAUUGUAGAUCAUAAAAAUAUAAUAAUAACCAUAUUUUCCCUCGUCGGAUUUGUGGUCCCGAAACCACUAUUCCGACUAGGCCUAGAAUCGGGCUGUUACAACUCUCCCCCCCUUAGGGAUUUUCGUCCCCGAAAAUCUUACCGGAAAAGAGGUUUGGGUACUGUUUCCUCAUAAUUUCCUCCGGUUCCCACGUAGCCUCUUCCAUUCCAUGUUUUUGCCACAACACUUUCACUAAGGCUACACUUUUAUUUCUUAACUGUUUGACCUCCCGAGCCAAAAUCUUUAUGGGUUCUUCUUCAUAAGUCAUAUCUGGUCGAACCUCAAUCUCUGUAGGAGAAACUAUAUGUGAAGGAUCCGAACGAUAACAUCGCAACAUCGACACAUGAAAUACAUUAUGUAUCUUUUCCAACUCUGGCGGUAAAGCUAACCGAUAUGCUACAGGGCCAACUCUCUCGGUAACUUCAUAUGGUCCAAUAAAACGUGGACUUCGUUUGCCUUUACGACCAAAUCUCAGAAUCUUCUUCCAUGGGGAUACUUUCAAGAACACUUUAUCACCCACUUGAAACUCAAUUUCUUUUCUCUUUAAAUCCGCAUACGACUUUUGCCGAUCUGAGGCAGCUUUUAGGCAAUCACGGAUUAUUUUCACCUUUUCUUCAGUUUCUUUCACCAGGUCGACUCCAUGAAUCCGAUUCUCACCGAGUUCAGUCCAAUAUAAAGGGGUUCUACAUUUACGCCCAUAUAAUGCUUCAUACGGUGCCAUUUGUAUACUUGACUGAUAACUAUUAUUAUAAGCAAAUUCAACCAGUGGUAGAUAUUUCUCCCAACUGUCCUUCAUUUCUAAAAUACAACACCGGAGCAUGUCUUCAAGAACUUGAAUCACCCUUUCUGAUUGUCCGUCAGUUUGCGGAUGAAAUGCAGUACUGAAAUUCAAUUUCGUACCCAAAGCUUCCUGUAACUUUAUCCAAAACCUUGAAGUAAAUCUCGGAUCUCUAUCCGAUAUAAUAGAUUUAGGCACCCCAUGUAGUCUCACUAUUUCAGCAACAUAUAAUUCAGCCAACCUGUCAAGUGAAUAAUCAAUGCGUAUCGGAAUAAAAUGGGCCGACUUUGUCAAUCUAUCCACAAUUACCCAAAUAGCAUCUUUCUUCUUUGGAGUUAAAGGCAAUCCUGUCACGAAAUCCAUCGUGAUACUGUCCCACUUCCAUUCUGGAAUCGUUAUCGGUUGAAGUAAACCCGAUGGCACUUGAUGCUCAGCCUUUACUUGUUGACAGAUUAAACAUUUUGUUACAAAUUCCGAGAUAUCCUUUUUCAUGCCCGGCCACCAAUACAACUUCCUCAAAUCAUUGUACAUUUUCACACUACCCGGAUGGACUGAUAAAUCACCACUGUGUGCCUCACCUAAAAUAGUCCGAAUUAGCUCAUCAUUUCUCGGUACACAUAUUCUGUCCCUGAACAUCAGGCAAUCAUCUGAACCAAUUUGAAAAUCUGAGUCAACACCUGCUUCACACUGAGCUCUCUUGGCUUGCAAUUUACUGUCAUUCUUUUGAGAUUCCCGAAUUUGCUGAAGAAAUAACGGUCUAGCUCUCAAUUCAAUCAACAUUGAGCCAUCAUCAGAUAAAGUUAACAUCGUACCCAUAGCUCUCAAAGCAAAUAAAGAUUUUCUGCUCAAGGCAUCAGCAACCACAUUAGCUUUCCCGGGGUGAUAAUCAAUCACUAGCUCAUAGUCUUUGAUUAGCUCGAGCCAUCUUCGUUGCCGCAAAUUCAAGUCUUUUUGACUCAUCAAAUAUUUCAAACUCUUAUGAUCAGUGAAGAUUCGGCACUUUUCACCAUACAAAUAAUGACGCCAAAUUUUUAAAGCAAAAACAAUGGCAGCCAAUUCUAAAUCAUGCGUCGGAUAAUUCUUCUCAUGCGGUUUCAACUGUCUCGAAGCAUAAGCUAUUACUUUGCCCUCUUGCAUUAACACACACCCAAGGCCAUUCAACGAUGCAUCACUGUAAAUUACAAACUCCUUCCCGGACUCAGGUUGCACCAACACUGGCGCCUCAGUCAAUAAUGCCUUCAACUUUUCAAAACUCUGUUAACAUUUAUCGGUCCAUUCAAACUUGACAUUCUUCUGCAGUAACUUAGUCAUAGGAGAAGCAAUCAUCGAGAAUCCCUUGACAAACCGUCUGUAAUACCCAGCUAAGCCCAGGAAGCUUCUAACUUCAGUCACAUUCUUUGGUGGCUCCCAAUCAACAAUUGCUGAAAUUUUGCUUGGAUCAACCCGAAUACCUUCACUUGAAACUAUAUGUCCCAAGAAUCCAACCUCACGAAGCCAAAACUCACUUUUGCUGAAUUUAGCAUACAAUUUCUUUUCUCUCAGAAUCUGCAACACAGUUCUCAAAUGUUCUGCAUGUUCCGAUUCAUCCCGAGAAUAGAUUAAAAUAUCAUCUAUGAACACCACCACGAACUUGUCUAAGUACAGCCGAAAAAUUCGGUUCAUCAAGUCCAUAAAAAUAGCUGGAGCAUUAGUCAACCCAAAAGGCAUUACCAGAAAUUCAUAGUGUCCAUACCUCGUUCUGAAGGCGAUUUUCGGCACAUCAGACUCUUUAACUCUCAACUGAUAGUAACCAGACCUCAGAUCGAUCUUGGAGAACACUGUUGCCCCUUUUAAUUGAUCAAACAAAUCAUCAAUUCUCGGCAAAGGAUACUUGUUCUUUAUGGUCACCUUAUUGAGCUGACGAUAGUCAAUACAAAGUCUCAUAGAGCCGUCCUUCUUUUUCACAAAUAACACAGGAGCACCCCAAGGAGAAAAACUCGGUCUCACAAAUCCUUUAUCUGUCAACUCUUGUAACUGAGCUUUUAAUUCCUUCAACUCAGUCGGAGCCAUUCGAUACGGUGCAAUAGAAAUCGGUGCAGUACCAGGUAACAGAUCAAUAGAAAACUCAACUUCUCUAAUCGGAGGUAACCCAGGCAAUUCCUCUGGAAAUACAUCUGGAAAUUCACAGACUACCGGCACUGAUUCAAGCUUCGACCCAGUUAUAUCAGUAUUCAACACAUAAGCAAGAUAAACUUCACAUCCCUUUCUCAAGUAUUUCUGAGCAGACAUGUGCGAAAUCACCAUAGGCAACUUAUUCGGCUCCUCUGUUUCAAUCCGGAGAAUUUCACCAUUUUCACACUUUAAUUCAAGAAUUUUCUGUCUACAAUUCACCUUGGCAUCAUGCAAUAUCAACCAAUCCAUCCCCAAAAUAACAUCGAACUCAUCAAAUGGUAACAACAUCAAAUUAGCCAGGAAACAGUGACCUUGAAUCAUCAGGGGGCAAUUCUUGCAAAUCUUAUCAACUAAGACAUACUUGCCUAAUGGAUUUGAUACUUUAACUACAUAUUCAGUGUUUUCAACAGGCAAUUUCUUACUAGAUACCAAUUUCAUGCAUACAUAUGAAUGAGUAGAGCCGGGAUCAAUCAAAGCAAUAACAUCUAUAUCAUGAAGAGAAAAUGUACCAGUAAUCACAUCGGGAGAUGAGGCAUCCUCUCGAGCACGUAUGGCAUAAGUCCUAGCAGGCGCUCUAAUUUCUGAUCCUCCAGCUGCAUCUUUCGUCACACUUUUACCACUGACUUUGCUUCCCACAUUUCUCGGCGGUCUCUCUCUACUAACAAUAUCACCCGAUCUAGCUCUUGGCAAAUUUUCUUCCUCUCUUCUCUCAGGGAAAUCUCUUACAUAAUGCUCUUGGGAACCACACCUGAAACAAGCUCGUUUAAAUCCCCAACACUCACCAAUAUGUCGCCUGCCACACUGUUGACAUUCAGGCCGGGUGUUUCCUACAUUGCCCACACUUGCUACAGAGGUAGCUCGAGUUGUAGCUCCAGAAUACGACCUCCCUCGGUCUCUGAGUGAAUACCCAACUGAACCAGUUGGUCGUGGAUCCAUCCCUUUAAACUUCUUCGAAUGAGAUUGAAAUGUUCUGCCCAUUGUCCUCUUCCUUACAUCUCGAGAUUCCAUCUCUGCCCUUCUCUUUUCUCUACUCAGUUCUUCAGCUUUACAGGCCCGAUCAACUAACACCACAAAUUCUUUUAACUCUAAAAUCCCAACAUGCAAUCUGAUGUCUUCAUUUAGCCCCUCUUCAAAUCUUUUACACAUAAUAGCCUCCGUAGGCACACAUUCCUGGGCAUAUUUACUAAGCCGAACAAACUCCCGUUCAUAUUCUGCUACGGACAUUCGGCCCUGUUUCAACCCGAGAAACUCUUUGCGUUUUUGAUCAAUAAAUCGUUGGCUUACAUAUUUCUUUCUAAAUUCUUCCUGAAAGAAGUCCCAAGUAACUCUUUCUUUUGGAACCACCGAUAUCAAUGUUUUCCACCAACGAUAUGCCGAAUCCUUCAAUAAAGACACAGCACAUUUCAAACAUUCUUCAGGGGUGCAAGAUAAUUCAUCAAAUACCCGAAUAGUAUUUUCAAGCCAAAACUCGGCUUUUUCCGGAUCAUCAUCAACAUUGGCCCUAAAAUCUUCAGCCCCAUGCUUUCGAAUUCUAUCAACAGGUGGCUUACUUGAUCUCACCAAUUCGGCACUCCGUGGAGCUACGGGGACCGGUUGAGGAAUAGGAGGGGGUGGAGGAGGAGGAACAUUCAGAUUUACACGGACAUAUUUUAUAUACCAAUCACUCAUCAUUCGGAGGAAGGCUUCCCGAGCCUCAUCCUGUCCAUGUGUCUCAUGUCUACUCUCUUCCUGCGCGGUCCCUUGCGCGAGAGCCGGCGCGUUACUUUCAACAUCAUCUGCCACACUUCGAUCAGGAUCCAUUUACUAUAUAAAACAAAAUUUUAAAUUGUCAGAAAUCAUCACACUAUCACAAUAAUUUUAUGGCAUGUAUAGACUGACUUCCACACGUAUUUUAUUGGUCCAAGAACCGACUAAACCGUAGCUCUGAUACCACUAAAAUGUAACACCCCUUACCCGUAUUCCUUACCGGAACAGAGUAUGAGGUAUUACUAAAUUUUUAAAAAUUUUCGACAGCAUUCCUACUUAUUUUUGCUUAAACCUCCUGCAAAUUUAGAACACAUUCCAAUAUACCAACCAAUUUCAUUUGUAUAAACACACAUAUAGUUUAACUAUUAAUAAACACUACAUUUAAAAGGGAACCAUAACAUAUAUUUACAUGAUGAUCCCACAUUACAUAAAGUGUCUAUACAUGCCAUAAAAUUUCGGAACACUAGUAGUAAAAUACCCCAAAUGUGAAGGAUAGUGUAGAUGAUUGUCUGACUUCGUUCCAAUUUCCGAGUUGUUGGAAGUCACUAUAACCAAGAGAAAAAUAAAAUCGAGUAAGCAUAUAGCUUAGUAAGUAAACACAUGAUAAAUAAGUAAUUACUCCCAUAACUACACCAAAAUAUAAACUUAUUCAUGAAUAACUUUAUUGUUUAGGCAAUUUCCAGCAAGCUGUUUUUCUGCGUCAUAGUCGCUAAUUUAUUUUCAUCUGGAGCUACAGGGCUCCAAAUUGAGUUCCGUAAAUUUUCCCUGAAACUAGACUCAUAUACCAUUUCACCAUAAAAAUUUCAGAAUUUUUAACCCAGCCAAUUAGUACAUUUUAUUCAUUAAACCUUACCCUGUUUCACUGCCCAACGGUUCUGACCCUUCCUCACUAAAAUUUACUUAACUCUCUGUACAAAAUUUGAAAAAUGGGUUUUAUUGUUUCUAAUAAAAAUAGACUCAAUAAGGAUUCCAGGGAUAUAAAUUUCAUGCCAUAAUUAUUUUUUUUCAAUUUUUGGUAAUUUUCCAAAGUUAGAACAGGGGAUCUCGAAAUCAAUCCAGCCCUGUUUCAGUAAAAUUCAGAUAUCUCCAAAAAUACAACUCUUUUGCUUAUUCUAUUUCUUUCAUAUGAAAAUAGACACAUUCAGCUUCAAUUUCAUAUAUUAUUCAGCUUCCCAUUCAUUUUCCACCAUUUAUGGUGAUUUUUCAAAGUUACCCAACUGCUGUUGUUCAACACAGUUUAUAAUUAAAUCGUUCCUUUUGCGUUUUUGAUAUUUUCUCCCAUCUCAUACAUGGGUCGAUUUAGUAUUCAACUCAAUAUUUACCCCAUAAAAUUUUCCACCAUAUGGAAAUAUUCAUCUUCCACACUUUUUCGUUGAACACUUGGAAUGUUAACCGUUAUUGGUGGAUCUCGCACUUAGCACCACCGCUGAAUCGGGGAAUCAGCACUUAGCAACCCCUCGGGGGAAUCAGCACAUAGCAACCCCCUUUCACAUUUCAAAGAUAUGGUGGAUAUCGCACUUAGCACCACCAAUGAACCGGGGAAUCAGCACUUAGCAACCCCUCGGGGGAAUCAGCACAUAGCAACCCCCUUUUCACAUUUCAAAGAUAUGGUGGAUCACGCACAUAGCACCACCAAUGAAUCGGGGAAUCAGCACACAGCAACCCCUUUAUAUACAACAUACUCCGGCUUAUUCCGAGUGUUCAACCCAUAAACCAUAUAUUGCAACCCUUUACCACCUUUCCCGAUUUAACAACAUUUUUAGGAUAUGGCCAAACAUUUAUUUUAAUUCCAAAUAAAUCUCAACAUAUAUCAAAUAAUAUCAAAAUAAUACAUUAAGUCACGUGUUUACUUACCUCGGUGCAAAAUAUCGUAAUUUUGCACUUUACUCCCCUAUCUUUUCUUUUCCCCGUUUGAUAUACUCUUCACGUCUUUCUUGAUCUAUAAUAGCAAAUUUAACUCGUUUAAUAUUCACAUUUAUUAAAGUAAUCCACCACCCAACUUUUUGAAAAUUACAAUUUUGCCCCCAAACUUUUGCAUAAUUACACUUUUGUCUCCAAGCUCGGAAAUUAAACUUCAUCACUUAUUCUUAAGUUUUAUAACAUGCUGAACAUUUUUCCCUUCUAUGGAAACAUCAAAUUCCCACUCCAACACAUACUUUUGAAUAUUAAUUAUUUUUACCGAUUAUGUCUAUUUACCCGUUUUCGCUUAAAAUUGCUUAGCAAAAGUUGUUUAACAUAAUCUCUAGCUUCAUAUUCCACCAUAAAACAGCAAAAUAAACACAUUUCACCUAUGGAUAUUUUUCCAAAUAUGAACCCUAACAUGAAUUAAUGGUAGAAUAAGCUAAACCAAGUUACCGGGACUCCAAAAAUACGAAGAACAUUAAAAACGAGGCUUAGAAUCACUUACUAUGGAGCUUGAAAGCUUAAAAACCCUAAAUAUGGCUUCCCCCUUGCUGAUUUCGUUCACCAUGAAGAAGAUGAGCAUAUUUUGCCAUCUUUUUCCCAUUUAAUUCUAUUUAAUAACCAAAUGACUAAAAUGCCCCCAUUUAAAAAAAUCUAUUUCACCCAUUUCUUAUGUCUAUUUUUGUCCAUCAACUAACUAAUGGUCUAAUUACCACAUAAAGACCUCCAAUUUAAAAUUUCAUAACAAUUAGACACCUCUAAGAUGUAGAACUCAACUUUUGCACUAUUUACAAUUUAGUCCUUUUGACUAAAUUGAGUGCCCAAACGUCGAAAUUUUCGAACAAAAUUUUUACGAAAAUUUUCCGUGAAAUUGUAGAUCAUAAAAAUAUAAUAAUAACCAUAUUUUCCCUCGUCGGAUUUGUGGUCCCGAAACCACUAUUCUGACUAGGCCCAGAAUCGGGCUGUUACAAACAGAAUAUGUCAAAUGUGCUGUAUCUCUUUUGAAAGAUUUGGCAUAUCAGUGGUGGAACACGUUAAUUUCUGUAAUACCGAAAGAACGGAUCACAUGAGAAUUCUUUUAGACAGAGUUUAGAAAGAAGUAUAUAAGUCAACGGUUCCUUGAUCAAAAGCGUAAAGAAUUUCUAGAGCUGAAACAGGGUCGUAUGACCAUAUCUGAAUAUGAAAGAAAGUUUGUCAGAUUGAGCAAGUGUGCCCGUGAGUGCAUUCCAACCGAGGUGGUUAUGUGUAAAGGUUUGAAGAUGGGUUGAAUGAAGACAUUAAGCUUUUAGUUGGAAUACUUGAACUGAAAGAAUUUUUUGUGUUAGUUGGUAGAGCAUACAAAGCCAAGGAGCUAGAGAUUCGAGAAAGAGAUUUAUAGGAAAGUCUCAUCGAUCAGCAUCGAAGAAAUCUAAAGAAUAUCACUAUCGUACUACUAUUUUUGCAGGGCAUUCUAAUAGAGAUAGAGAUGCGAGACACUCUAGUCCUAAACCCUAGGCUACAUCUGUAACGAGUGCGGGUAGUGUUAGAAAUGCUAGACCCGAGUGUAAAAUAAAGUGUUAAGUGUAAAGUCCCAGUUGAACUUAGGAAUAGAAGUGGAUACAAGUGACAUGUCACUAGAGACCAGUGUUACAGUGAGUCCCGGGUGCUGGGUGAUCUAGCAUGUGUUGCAGACACCUGACAGCUUGUAUGAGCAGGCCCGUGGACAUUUCCAGUGUUAUUGAUCACUGGUAGCUUCAGCUACAAUUUAGUGGUAGCUACGGCUACAUAUCAUUGGUAGCUUCGACUACAUUUCAGUGGUAGCUACGGCUACAUAUCAGUGGUAGCUUCGGCUACAUAUCAGUGUGACACUUAUGUGCUAAUUCUCUACGUAUCCGUGUAUAUUCCAAGUGUUCAACGAGAUUAAUAAUGAGUUAAAGUGAACAUGAAAUAAAGUGUGUAUACAGGUACAUUUGAAAGAAUGAGCAUAUGUGAUAAAGGUUAUGUGUAUAAAUGUAUGUGCAACUGAAUUGGUAAGAUUGUGCAUGUGUAAGUGAUUGAAAUUGCUAAGAAACGUAUUGAUUAGUUAUAUGUUAAAAAUGUUAAUUAUUAAAUGAGUACUUAUUGUUUACAUGUAAUUUACUAAGCUAUUAGUAGCUUACACCUUUCUUCAUUUCCUUUGUUUUAUAGUGUUUUGAGCUUGCUCGAAUUGGGGAUCGUCGAAGCCUCAUAUCACACUAUCAACAGACAUUUCGGUAUUAGGUGAUUUCAAAACAUUUAAAGUUAUGGCAUGUAUAGAGACUUAUUUAUUUUGAGUAUUUUCAUAUGAUAUGGCUAAAUAUUAGCUAUUGAAAUGGUUAGUAAAGAAUAUUUUUUGGUGUUAUGUAUGCUUAAAUGGUAAUGAAAACAAAGAAACUAUAAAAAGUAAAAAUUUUGCAAAGAAACAGUUUUUGGGACAGCGGUAGUGAUGUGAAAUUGAAAAAUCACCAAAAAUAGUAGAAAUAGAAUUAGAGAGUGAAUGAUAUAUAGGAUUAAAUAUUAUCAAGUCUAUUUUUACAUGAAAGAAACGGUGUAGGCAAAGGAAUUUUAUAUUUUGAGAUAUUUUAAUUUUAGUGAAACAUGGUCAGAAUGGUUUUUGAAGUCCUCUGUUCUAACUUUAGAAAUUCAUUAAAAAUUUUACAGAAAUAAUUAUGAGUCAUAAUUUAUAUGUAUAGAUUCCUUAUUGAAUAUAUUUCCUAUAUAGACAAGCGGAAACACCAUAUGAAAUCUGUACAUUGUGAUAAUUGAUUUUUAGUGAGUGGUGGUCAAAACCGUCGGACAGUGAAACAGGGGAGACUUCAAUGAAUAAACUGUACUAAUUGGCUAAACCAAAUAUUCUAAAAUUUUUACGAUAAGAAUACAUAUGAGUAUAGUUUCAUGGAAAAUUUACGGAUUUAAAUUUUUAGUUUCGUAACUCGAGUUAUAAUUAAAUUAGUGACAGUCGCACAGGUGGACAGUUUUGUUGUGAAUAGUGAAAUUAAUUCUAAAAGUAAAUUUUUAUGCUUCGAACUAGUAAGUUAAGUUAGAUAACGCCUCAUGCUCGACUCCGGAAAUGGUCUUGGGUAAGGGGUGUUACGAGCCCAAUUGGUGACUGGUUCAGUUCACUAGAUUCGGUUCAACCAAUGCGGUUCAACUGGACCUUUUUUUUCCAUAAUUAAUUAAUAAUAAUUUAUUUAGCCCAAAUUAAAUUGGAAAUAAAUUAAAAUUAAUUAUAUUAUGAAUUAACACACAUUUUUGGACCAUCUUAGGCUGGAAAUAAAUUUUUCCCGAUGCUUCAAAUUGUUUCUCGAUUUUAUUCUUCGAGCAUUGUCUGCCGAGCCAAUUUUCGCCCUUUGUGCGAAUCUAUCGAAAAUAGUAAAAAUUAAUCAAAAUUAACUAUAAAAUUAAUUAAAAUUCAUCAUGUUCAUAAUUUUAACAUAAUUUAAUUAUUUUAUAAUAUUUAAUUAUUUUUCAAAAAGAAUUUAACCGAAAUUGCAUGAUUUUAAGUUAAAAAGGGCAUGUAAAAACACAGAAAUUUUCGUGUUUCCAUGGAUGUGCAUGGCUUGGCAAUUAUGAAGAUUUUAAAGUUAGGUAAGGGUAAUUUGGUAAUUAGGUUAUUAAAGAUAAACAAAAUUAAACCUAUCAUCUUGUUGGCUUCUUCUUCAACCGAAAAUUACAGCAUAAGGGAGACUUUUUGGAGCUUCAAACAUUCAACCACUUCUUCCUUUGCAUGUAAGUGUGUUUUUGUCCCGUUUUUAUUGAUUUUCAAGGAAAACAUAAUUGAAUUUUGGUAUCGAUUUUUAUAAAGGUAUCGAUAUCAACUACGAAAGUUUCAUUUUUAGUGUUAAAACUUAUUGUUUUUUAGAUUUAAUUCUAUUAUAUGACUAAAGUUCAUAAAUAGAUCCUGAUAAGCUAUAAAAGUAACAUAUUUUAAUCUCAUUCUUAAUGCGUUUUUAGAUGAUUAAUUAUGCAAAUUAGUGAAUUUGAUGCUCUUAAUCCUUUAAAUUCAUGUUUCUCUACUUAGGAGAGCAUUUGAGAGCGAAAGGAGCAAAAAACGAGCCAAAAUCAGACAAAAAAAAGCUGCUUUUAGGAUCCACAUAGGCUGUCCACACGCCCAUGUGCCAACUCGUGCCGAUUUCGCACUUUGCUUCCCAAAUACGCAGAAAAACCCAAUUUUUAGGAUUUCUAAGCAUUCUAAAGACUAUAAAUACCAAUUAGAAUAAUAGAGAAUGGGGCAAUCAGAGAAGAUCGAAGAAAACACUCAAAGAACGCCACCGGAAUCAACUCAGAAGCGGACCUCCCUCAAGACCGAAGAUCUCCAUUUAAUUUCUUUUGAAGUUUUAUUGAGUUUCUUUAUGUCUUAUGGUUAUCCUAACUUUGAGAUGUUUCUAUUCAGGAUUAUGGACUAAAUUCCCUAGAUACCUAGGGAGGAUGAAACCUAUGAUGAGUCUUAUUAUUUGAUUUCUGAUUUACAUGAUAAAUACUUGAUUCUUGUUCUCAAUUAUGUAUGAUUAUUUCUUGUUUUAAUAUUUUCAGGAUAUUAAUUCAUGUUCAAUGUGCUUAUUUCAGUGGAGAACAAGUCUCUGUUUAAUAGUAGAUCUAGCAUAAUUGAGCGGAGUUGCAUGCAAUCCUAGAAAUAAGACGACAUAAAUCUACCGGAUUAGAGUCAAAUCUAAUAGGGGAAUCCAUAGAUCGAGUUAAUAUGACGAUAGGGGUUUUAAUUAGAAAGAGAUUUCAAUUAAUCAACCUAGAAUCAGUUGUUCUUACUCUCGAAAGAGAUAUUAACAUAAUUUAGAGAUUUCUACGAAUUAAGUCACAAGUGAAUAAAUCAUUUAAUUCAUAUUCAUAAUAAUAGGUGAAGUCUAGGUUGAUUCUUUCCUGAGUAUUGUCUAUCUCAUUGGUUAUCUUUGAUUAGUUUAGUAAUUUUAGAUUAAAACACAUCACCCUAAUUUGUCGGCUAGAUAAUAAGAAAACGGUAAUUACUAGUACUUUUAGUCCUCGUGGAGACGAUAUUCCCUACUCACCAUAGCUAUACUAUUAUUCGAUAGGUGUGCUUGCCUUUGUCGUAUUUAUAGUUAGUUUAGUGACCAUCAGAUCCCCUUGGAAUUCUAAAAUUUAAUUAUAUAUAUUAGUUUACAUGUGAUUGAUAUUUUAAAUAUUAGAGUUUUGUGUAUAAUAAAGUGAUUAUCAAUGAUCUAGCUUUGUCAUAACAUCACUUGCUCAAGUCCGCCAUCCGGGUCAGGUAAGGGGUGUUACAUCUACACCCCUGAUUGCGACCCUAAUCCAAUAUUUUGCUUAUUCGGGAUCUGCGAUGGGCUGCGGUCUUUGUCCUCGCAGAUCCUCCUAUCUUGCCACUUAUAUUUUAUUUUAACAAGAAUUUGGGUCACACAACUCUAACAAUAUGUGAAUGUGAAAGUUGAUUAGUGACUAUACAUGUUAAAGUAAAAACUAUAAGUUAUAAAGUUAAUUUAAAUGAUUUUAUGUUUUGAAAUGAAUUAAAAGUUUAAGUAUAUCAGUGAAAGAAAUUGUGUGAAUAAAUAUUAUUAAAAUUAAUAAAAUCAUAUAUAUAAAAGGUAAGAUUGAAUUCAAUUGAGUACUUACUAAACUAUUCACAUAACUUAACGCAUUUGUUUAACGUGUAGGUGAAACAAAGUAGAUUGAAAGUAUGUGGAUAACUUUUUUUCGCGAAAAUUGCUACUUCAACAAUAACAUCACUAAUCCAAGCUACAAGACUAAGUUUCUUUUUUUUGGUAUAUACAUAAAUUUUGGAUUUUAGAGAUGACAUAUACUUAGGUUUGGUAGUGUAAUAUGAACUAUAAAUGUAUAAUAGAAAUGUUGUAGUGCAGUGUAUGAAUGUGAUUUCAAAAUAUGAUUAUGUGCUUAAAUGUAACCUCUCUUACUCGAAUUUGUUAUUGGAUUGACAAUAAUUUUAAAUUUUAAUUAGUAUUCUUAAUAUAUUAUUGAAAAAAUAUUUAUAUUAAUAUUUUAUGAUAAACACAUUUUAGCGAGCUCAAACCUACAUUCUCAUGCAUUAGCAACAAAUGUCAAUGUCAAUCAAACUAAGACUUAAUCAACUAUUAAUAUUUUAAUAUUAAAUAUAUAUUAUAAGUUAUAUUUAAUAAUAAAUACUUUAUAGUAUAAAAUAUGAAUAUUUAAUUAUAUAAAUAUGAGUAAGGUAGGAUUAAACAACAAAAAGUUUUUCAAAAAAUAAUUUUCAACUUUUCAAAUGUUUGAUAAGGGUUAAAAAGAAGUCAAAGAAAAAUGUACGGUAAGUGAAGAGAAAAAACGGUGUUAUUCUCGUAAAACAACUUACCACUUUUUUUUGGUAAGUCAUUUUACAGCAACCAGCCCUUAAAUCCCAGAGGUUACCUCUAUAAACAUUUACUCUCCUCACUCAACUGUCGCCGACUUCUCUCCCUUACCGGCGACCUAAUCGGCGACCUCAUCAACUCUAUCACCGGCGGUCUGACUCCAGUCAAUUAAGUUCUGCUUGUUGUCUUUAUUUUUGUUGUUUUGCGUCAGUAUAGAGGCCGUUGAUCUCUGGAAACUCCAUUACUACCGACCUUGUUUUAUUCUUCAUCUUCUUAUAUUAUUCAGUUUUGGGUUCAAUUUUCUAGUUUCUUUAUUGUAGAUCUUUAUUAUUAUGGUUGAGAACAGAGAUCUUGAUCUCUAUGAGCCAUGGUUAAAAAAACAAAUUACAUAGUUGUUGAUCUCUAUUAGCAGUCUCCUACUAAUGAAAUGAAGGCCCCCAAUCUUCUCCACUUGUUUGCCUACAUUUGCUUCUCCUUGGGGAUUUAUCAUUUUGUCUUGAAUUUGGGUUACAAAAAAAAAAUACAGACAUCGUGAUCUCUCUUUAUGCAUUUUGCCUACGUUAACAGAGUUCUUGAUCUCUAUUAGUAGUCUCCUACUAAUUAAAACAACAUUGAAGAAUCUAAACCGCAGAUAAUACAACUCAUUAAAUGGUUUCGUUACAAGCAAAUUCGUUCUAAUUCUAAUUAGAAACUUAUACGUAAUAUAUUUAACAUUUUUUAUUAUUAAGUUUAUAUAAUAUAUUAAUUAUUAUAAAAUAAAAUUAGAUUGAUAAAUACAUUUAUGUCGAAUUUUUUUUAUUAAGAAUAACUUUAAAAAAUUAUUUUAGAAAAUUUUUUCAAAAACUAAAACAAAAUAAAAUUAUGCAGAAUUACUUAAACAUCCGAAAAAUAUUAAUAUUUUAAAAAUUAAUCAAUUUUCAGAAAUCAGUUUUUAUCGUGUUAUUUUAAAAAAAACACAACUUAGAAACGAAAUCCAUUGUCGUCCAGUGGUUAGGAUAUCUGGCUUUCACCCAGGAGACCCGGGUUCAAUUCCCGGCAAUGGAAAUAAUUUUUUAUAACUUUCAAUCUCUCCUUUUCUCGAGCGCUGAUUUUCUUCUUCUCUGUAAUUUUUUAAAUUACUUGAGAUCUCUCAUCCUGUUUGAAAAACCUUCUUCUCGAGCUCUCUGCUUUUCUUCUUCUCUGUGCUUUUCUAAAUUUCUUGAGAUCUGGACAUUUACAACAAAUUUAAGGUUUAUUUGGUGAUUUUGUUUCAUGAACUACAAUUUAUAGAUGCUAUUUCUUCUCCUCCUUUUUUUGUACAUUUCUUUCAAAAUCUAGGUUUAAAUUUUCUUUCUUUCAUCCAAAAUCUGGGUACUUUACCAAUUUAUUAAAACUUGAAAUAUUUUGGGGAGAUUAAGGUUUGCAUUUUUGUUUAUAAUUUUCACUCUUUUUUUCUACUAGUCAAUUUUGGCUGUAAAUUUACUUGCUACUGGCAAUUUUACUAAAAUAAAUAUAUUCUUUAUUAUAAAAGAAAUCACGAUAUAGCUUUUUUUUUGGUGAAAAAGAAAAUGAAUAACAUCAACUACAUAAAACAACCAUGUUCUUUAUCUUCUUGUAAUAAAUGUAUUAUUUCUUUAGGAGCCUCAUUAAGAACUUGUAAACUUGAUUUCCAGCUCAAGCUAAGUUUAGCUAGACGAUCCACUACCAAAUUACGAUUUCUUGGAAUGUGCUUAACCUUCUACGUCCCUUCUGCCCUCAUGAUACGUUGAGUCCUUCUGAGCACAGUAAUCCUAGAAUCUUCCAAAUUCAAAUUAGUCAAGAUUUGGACGACUUCAACAUUGUCAGUCAAAAUAAUGGCCCGUCUGUAACCCUUAUUUAGUAGAAUAAAAAUUCUAUCAAGGAUGCUCCAGACUUCAGCCUCAAACGGAGAACAUACUCUUAAGAAACGAGUAAAUCCCACUAUCCAAUUUCCAUCAUGAUCCCUAACCACUCCUCUUGUAGCAGCGUAUCCCAAAUCUCUGGCCACAACUCCAUCAGUGGAUAAAUAAACCCAUGAAUCAUCCGAAUUAUUUACUGAAUUCGCAUUGAGAUUAUUUCUUUUGCAUCCACCAAUAUGUGCAUCGUAUUGUCGAGCCCAGCAGCUAGAGACCUUAACCAUUUCAGUUGCUGCCCAGGAAAUAUUCUAAAAGAUAAAAAGAUUUUUAUUCUUCCAUAGGUGCCAAGCGAUUACACCAAAUAAAGAUGACCAAGUGAGCCCACUACCCUGCAAUCUUUCAUGAAAACAAAGGUUAAGUAAAAGCCAAUCCGGAAAUGAGGCAAAGAAGAACCUUUGUUUAAGCUGAUCUGGAAACACAAGCAUCCACACAUUCUUUGCGGAAGGGCAGUCUCAAAGAACAUGUGCCAAAUCCUCAACUUCAUACCCACACAAGGUGCACGAAUUUCUGUGACUGAUUUCCCUUCUUACACGCUCCGAGUUAGUGAGAAGUCUUUGCUUAAAAGCAAGCCAAAGAAAGACUCUUACUCUUUAUGGUCCCGAGUAUUUCCAAAUAGACUUUCAAUACUUAUUUUGAGAAUUCCAAGUGGGCUCCUUUAAAGUCCAAUAAGCACUACGAAUAAAGAAGGCUCCUGAUGUUGAUCGAGCCCAUAUCACCCUAUCUGGGCCAGAAUCAACAUGUGGAAAAGGGAUACUAGUAAUCCUAUAAAUCACAUUUUCAGGUAACCAGACACGAAACAGGUCCAAAUUCCAUCUUCCAUCCGAAUUGACGAACUCCCUAACACAACAAUCCAAAUCAAGGUUAGUAAAAGAUGGAAUUUUUUAGAUUAAAGAACCCAUACCUUGAAUCCAAGAAUCUUUCCAACAACGGGCAGUAGCGCUAUCUCCAAUAGACCAAUUUAAGUUCUCACGGAGUAGUGGCCAUAUCUUAGAAAGAGACCUCCAAAAAUGGGAGCAUUGGUUCCUGUUGAUAGUGUAAUACCCCCUACCCGUAUUCGUCGCCGGAAUAGGGUAUGAGGCAUUACAAGAUUUUACCGAAUAAAUUUUUCACAAAAUCCCAAAGUUUUUUUUUUGAACUCAAUAUAACCCCUUUAUAAAUAUCUAAUCUUCCUUGUAAUUUUAAACCGAGACCAAUCGAACACAACCAAUCCAUUUCAAUAUAUUUUCAAGAUAGAUUUAACAUAUUCAUAAGAUAACCUCAUCACAUACCAAAACCAAAAUUUGUUAGCCAUACCAAUGGCUAACCAUACAUUCAUUUCACAUUAACAUUUACUUUAUUAGCUUAUACAUGCCAUUGAUUUUCAAAAUAAAGUUUCUUUACAUACCGAAAUCUUGAGGUUGAUAGUGUGAUGCGUCUCUGACCAAAUCCGACCUCCGAGCUCUUAACACUACAAAACAGGGGAAAAGGAAACAGGAUAAGCACUUUGUGCUUAGUAAGCUCAUGUAACAAGAAUUAUACUUACCUAAUAUUUUCAAUACAAUGCAAUAAACAUUCAUACACCCACUCAAUACAUUAUUCUCUUAUCAUGCACAAACUCAACAUUCAAAUUAGUCCAAUAAUUUCCAUGUAUCAAUAAUAUAUACCAUGAUUGAUGAGCUCAACAAUUCCAUGAUUUCCAUUCCCUUGUUAUUUUUCCAUAUUUAUCCCGUUGAACUACUUGGAAUUUCGAUGGAUUUUCAGGGGUACACAUAAGUGUACAAAUCCGGGUCCGUCAAUUCAUAUUCAUGUACGCACAUUUCCAUUUCAGAGAGCACACUCCCGCGGGAUUACAGCGGGAUUACCAGUCCAGGCUAAAUCCCCUACAACGACAAUUACUCUAAUGAGCUUGGAUCUGAAUUACCAGUCCAGGCUAAAUUCAGACCCUAAUUCGGAUUACCCAUCCAGGCUAAAUCCAUUUUCCACAUAUUUUUCGGGAAGGCUAUAUCAGAAUAGGAUCACCCGUCCGGGCUAGAUCAUUUUUACCGUCAAUUCCUUUUUAGAGAUCCAUCAAAUUUUCCUUUCAUUCAACCUGGAUUUAUUUUCUCUUUUCAUCAAUAAUAUCAAUACUUCAUCAAUUAUCAUACAAUAAACAUCCAAAUCAUAUUCAUAUCAAUAACAAAUAUUUCAAGCAUUUAAGAAUAUAAUUCAAGUUACACGAACUUACCUCGAUACUUGUUCGUAAACAAAAAUCUACUAAUCCCGAACUUUUUCUUUUCCUCGAUCUAGCUUCAUAUUUGAAUUUUCUGGAUUUGGUGCAAAAAUUAUGAAAAAUCAGCUUGAAUAAACCCUUAGGACAUUUUUGGCUGAUGAGAGUGCAGAAAAAUAAAGAGAAUUUUAGAUAUUCCAAUUUGGUCCCAUUUUUAUCUUAGUAAAAUUUGUUAUUUUCCCCUUUUACCCUUAUUUCACCAAUUCUCCUGAUUUUUCUCAGCUUAUGCCGCCCAAAAUAUCUUCUUUUUGUCUUAUUUUCAAUUUAUGUCCCUCCUCAUUUAACAAUUGAGCUAUUUAAUUCUUCUAGUAUCUUUUACACCUUUUUCAAUUUAGUCCUUUUCACUUAAUUGACUACCCAAACAUUAAAAUUUUCUAACGAAAAUUUAAUACCAUAUUACUAACAUUUCAUAAAUAUUUAUAAAAAUAUUUCUAACUCGGUUUUACAAGAUCAAGGUCUCGAUACUUUUUUUUCAAUUUCUUCAAUAAUUUUUUUUUUCUAACUAACCACUAAAUCUGUAAAAUUUUUCUAUCGAUAUUUUCAUACGAUUUUCCUAUCAUAUCAAUAUUCAUGCAAAAAUAUUAAAAUAAAUUUCUCUUUAUAUCGGAUUUGUGGUUACGAAACCACUAUUCCGAUAACCUUGAAUUUGGGCCAUUACAGAUAGAGUCUGGAAGCUGUUCUUUCCAUCCAUACUUAAAGCGAAGGACACGAAUGCAAAGCACAUUGCUUUCAGAAACAAGGCUAAAACCAAUCUUCAUAAAAAAAGUCGUGUUUUGGUCAUUCAAGUGUCUAAAACCAAGGCCACCCUAAUCCUGUGGCUGACAAAUAGAGUCCCACCCCACUAAAGACAUCUUAGAAUGACCAUUUGUACGCCCCCAAAUAAAUUGUCUGACCAAUUUCUCAAUAUCUGAACAAACCCCUUUCGGAAUCAUCAAAGACUGCAUAAAAUAGUUAGGAAUUGAGAGAAGUAUAGAUUGAGCCAAUGUGAUUCUCCCUGCCAUAGAUAACUUCCUCGCAUCCCAAUUCUACGAUUUUCGCCUUACCUUAUCAACAACAAAACUCAAAGUAUUGUUGGUUACCCUUUUAUGAAGAAGAAGAUCACCUAAAUAAGUACCAAGAUUUUGAACUUCCUAAAUUUGAACAAUUGAGAAAUUUGAUUACGGAUAUCAGCUCCAGUAACCUUGGAAAAGAAGAUAUUUCUCUUCCUAACACUGAUUUUGUGCCCUGAAUUCUUGUAAAAUUGAUUGAGAAUGGAAUCCAGCAGCCGUGCUUGAUCCAACUGUGCUUUGCAAAAGAUCAUCAAGUCAUCAGGAAAAAACAAAUGUGAGACAGCAGGACCAGUACGGGACAACUGAAUUGGUUCCCAUUUAUCGAUAUUCAUUUCAUCCUAAAUAAUAUAUCCCAACCUUUCCAUGCAAAUAACAAAGAGAUAAUGCGAUAAAAGACAUCCCUAACGGAUUCCUCUAACUGGUUUAAACUUCUGAGUAGGCAUGUCAUUCCAAAGGAUUUGCAUAGAGGAGGAAGAUCUAACGAACAUAAUCAAUUUUUAUAAAAAGACAAGGAUCUCAGCCGCAUUCAAAGCAGUAGAAAUAAACUCUCAGCUAACUUUGUCAUAUGCUUUCUCUAAAUCCAACUUAAUAGCCAUCCAGUUCCUCCUCUUCCGCUUGCAACGCAUAGAAUGAAUGACUUCUUACGCAAGAAUAAUGUUAUCAGAUAUGUUUCGGCCCCCAUGAAACCAGCUUGUUCCUGAUAGAUCAGUUUAGAAAAAAUUUGCUUAAACCGAUUUGCAAUAACUUUCAUUACCAAUUUGUAAAGAACAAAACACAAGCUAGUGGGCCGAAAUUGGCUAAAAUCUUCGGGGAUCUCUUUUUUGGGAAUUAGAACAAUCAACCUGUUAUUCAACUCCUGCUCGAUCGACCUUCCAGCAAAUACACCUUUAACCCACUGUCCCACAUCAUCACCAAGGGUAUCCCACUGACUUUGGAAGAUAUGAACAUGAUAGCCAUCACUACCAGGCUCUUUCAGAAGCACUAUAUCGAAAAAAUCCCUUUUGAUUUCCUCAUUUGCGAUAUCAGCCUCCAAAAAAGUAAUCUCCGAAGCGGUAAGACUAGGAAAACCAAAAUUAGGAAUACUUCUCAAAGUAGGGUAAGCCUCACCAUAAAGCCUUUCAAAGAAUUUCACUGCCUUAGAUUGUAAGAUAUCUUGAUCAAAGCACCAUUCUCCAUUGUUGAUAUGUGAAGUUGUAAUAUGGUUGAAUUUCCUUCUCAUGAUCGUACACCUAUGAUAAAAUUUUGUGUUUCGAUCACCCAAGUGAAGCUAGUCACAGCGAGCCUUUUGUCUCCAAAAUAAAUCUUCAUUAUUAAGAAUGUUCUCCAAUUCAUCUCGAACUUCCAUCUCUUUCUGAGCUAAAUGGCUAGAAGGGGAGCGGUCAAGGGCCUUUUGAAUAUUUUUCAAUGAUCUCAUGAGAUGUCGCUUACGGGUACCCAAAAAGCCAUACACAUUCAUGUUCCAAUCUUUAACAAAAGAAGUAAAAUUGGUUAAUAAAUCAACCAUAUUACCUGCAAAAUUCCACUUCUCUUUGACAAAGGUGGGAAAAGUAUUAUGUUGCGUCCACCCUGCUAAAAAUCUGAAAGGCCUUCCUUUAGGCAUACCAAGAUCAGGUCUAGUAGAUAGUAAGAAAGGCCGAUGGACAGACUUAAUACGAGUGAGAUAUUGGACUAAACAUUGCUGGAACAUUGACAUCUAUUCGUCAUUAGCUAAAGCCUGAUCUAAUCUGACAAAGAUACGACCUCGUUGCCAAGUGAAAGAAGGUCCGCUAUACCCUAAGUUCUGUAAUUCACAAGAAUCAACAAAAUUACCAAAUAAUUCACAGUGUUUACCUACGAUAAAGGGACUUCUCUUAUCCGCGGGUGAAAGAAUGGCAUUGAAAUCUCCCACAAUUAGCCAAGGAAUAGAAUGAUUUGGGGAAACAGAUUUUAACCCCUCCCAAAGAAGCUUUCAUUUCAACUUGUCUGGACUACCAUACACAAAAGAUAUAAUAAGAGACUUAUUAAGAAUAAUAUUAUCAACACAAAGAAAAAUAAAUUGGGGAUGACUUCUAAUAAUUUGAAUUCGUACAGAAUCCUUCCAUCCCACCCAGAUACCACCUGAAAAACCAACAGCUUCAACCUGAUGAGAAUAAUUAAAGUCCAGUUGCUCAAUAAUAAAAUUAGUUUUUUUACCACUCACUCUUGGUUCAACCAAGCAAACUAUAUCUGGUCUAUAUUCCGCAGUAUAUUCCCGAAAGGCUCGAAUAAAGUUCUUGUUAGCACACCCUUGACAAUUCCAUGCAAAAAUUUUAAGAUUUGGUUCCAUAAAAAUAUUUUAAAUGACAGAUAAGAAAAAUAAAAAUAUAAUAUAAUAAACCCCAAAUAUCAAAAAUAAAACUCAUGAAAAGCAAAACAAACUAAAAGCUUCAGCCUUAUUGUCCAGGGAUAUUAACCCUCUCCUUCUGUUCAUCAUUGCUGGUAGAAAUCCCAGCAUCAAAAUUGACUUUAGAGAGAGCCAAAAUACUCUCCAUAAUUUGUUCUAUGGAUUAUUUCAGCGAAACACGAUGAGAUCCAGAGUUUUUGAAUCGAAUAUUGCUGCCAUGGAGAAUUUUAUUAUGCUUAUUAAUAGCACUUCUGCCUCUCAUUCUAUUCUUUUUUCCAGGGCCAGAAAACCCCUCCAGAAUCAAACCCAAAGAAUUAUUUGAAGAGGAACCCCUACUUUUGUUAAUUUCAUUUUUAUUUUCAGGGAAGACCACCACAGAGUGCUUGCCGGAGUCGAGGCUACCCACUUCCACCACCAUUUCUCCUUGGUCGCACCCAUUUAGUGUCAAGGUUGGACAAUAAGCUGAAGACUCACCUUCGAAUUAGAGGACCACCCCGUCCUUGGUGUCGCUUGCCACUUCUACCGUCGCUAGGUUUCGACUACAACUACCAGUGACAGCAGAUCCUUGCUGGGCCACUCCUUUCAAACCAUCCUAAUCCAUCAGAUCCCCGGCCUGGUUAGCUGAAAUGUCCCCAAGGCCCAAACCCUUAGUAAGAUUUUUAAAAAUUUUUAAGAUCUCAUUAGCACGAUUAGGGACCAAACUAGAACCCACAUUUGAUCCAGCAUGAUCUUUAAUGAUCGGGCCUAGACCAGUUUUAGGGCCCACCUCAUUAAACUUGCUCUUCUUAUUAUUUUUAUUUAAAUUUGUCUGGCCGUUAUAAUAGGACCCAAAUUCCUUUCUAUGCUGAUUUCCAUUAAUAAUUCCUUUCUCUUUAGAACUCCAAAAGUUGGACAAAUCUUCAUCAUAAAUUCCUUUGUUUAAAUCCCUAUUAUUUAGGCCAUUAAAACGAGAUCAUUCCUUUUCCCUCUCUGGAUUUUCAUCAGAUUUCUGAACAUUAUCUCUAGAUUUUCACCUUGAUUUCCUUUCAACGAUCAUCCACGGCCCGUAAUUUUCAUCCUUCUUCGCCGAUCCUUCCUCAACCAAAUUUUGAUUUUCUAGUGUCGUUUCAGGCGAGUCAUUGUUCUUCUCAACCGCAAGGCCAGGCUUUCUAAAGGUAUAAAGAUUUUCCACAUAACCAUACCUCCCACAGUGAAAGCAUAUAGUAGAUAAAGAUUCGUAUUCCACCUUUUGUGAUCGACCAUUGAUCAAUAUCUAGGAAACCAAAAGCUUUUCCAAAUUGACAUAAACCGCCAUUCUAGCAAAAUAUCCCCUCGCCCUACUGUCGAUGUUCAUGUCUAACUUGACCACUUUUCCAAUCAGUUCCCCAAUUUCUGUAAUGAUUUUACGGUUGUACAAAUAGCUAGGUAAAGCAGAAAAUCUGAUCCACGCCAUAACUACACUUGGGUAAACCUGUGUAGGGUUGAAAGCCAACGUCCAAGGCUAAACAGUCAAAUAUUGACUAAAUAUAGUCCAUGGUCCUUCCGAAAGCGCCUUUUCACAAUCCAGCUUGUUUUGAAAUUUGACUAAGAAAUAGCCAUUUUCAAUAUCCAUAAUGUGCAAAGGUGCUGAGGGUCUCCACAUGUUGUAAAUUUUAUUCUGCAAAAUCGAAAAUCCAAUGUUGCGAUCUAGGAGUUUUAAAAUCACAAUAUUAUCCAUACCCUAAAUGAUGAUUUGAUGAAUCUGGUCGGAGAAGGUUAUAGAAGGCACGCCAUUCACAAAUGUCUUCUGAAUGUCCUCUUCCAAAAUAUCAAUAGCUUCUUUUUCUUUCGAGCCUGUGAAGACAUCCUCUGCUGAAUGGCCGACGAGCUUAUCUCUCCAAGAGGUAGGUUGAACAGAGGACAGAUCAAUCAUCAUGCUGUUACUCGUCUCCUCCUCUUUAUCUCUGAAUCUAACCUUUUUAGGAAUCAACUCCUCCACAAUGGAUUUCCUAGAGCCAGAAUCCAUUCCAAAUAAAUUAAUUGUUGGUUUUGAUAAUACUAAGUAAUAGCGAUUCAUCACGAUUUAGCUAUUGAACUAUAUUUGUUUUCCCACUUUAGUACUUAAACUUUUUUUUUUCUAUUUUGGUACUUAAACUUUGCACCAUUACCCAUUUUGGUACCUAACAACCAACAACAUUAAAAUAGAGUUGGCCAAUCAAAAUGUGUCAUGUUACCAAUGACAUUGUAGGUUGACCGUUGAUGUGGCACAUUGAUUGGUUAUGUGGCAUGUUGAUCGGCAUUGAUUAACCGUUGAUCGGCAUUGGCUAUGUUGACCAAUUGUUGAUCGAUGUCAACCAACGUUCACCUGUUGUUGGCCUACGUUGAUCGAUCGUUGGCAAGUUAAAAAAUCAUUUAAAAUUUAUAAAAUUAUUUUAAAAAAACUUGUAAAAAUUAUAAAAAAAAAGUAAAAAUUAUUUACAUAAUUUUAAAUUUUAUUUAAAAAUAUUUAAAAAUGUUUUUCAAUAAAAUGCUUGGAGAUUUUUGGUAACUACCUUUUACAAUUAUUUUUAAAAUUAUUAUAAUUUUUUAAACAAUUUUGGUUAAUAUUUUUUACAUUUGUUUUUUUAAAAUUAUUAUAGUUUUACAAUUUUUAAAUAAUUUUUAUAAUUAUUUUUAAGAUUAUUAUGAUUUUUAAAAUUUUUAACAAUUCUUUUACAACUUUUUAAUAUAUUUAAAUAAUUUUUAUUUUUAAAAAAAUAAAUUUUAAAGUUUUCUAAAUAUUUUUACUAAUUUUUAUAUUUUUAAAGAAUUUUUACAUCUUUUUAAAUUUUCUAAAAAUUAUAUAUUUUUAUAUAUUCUAAAAUAAAAAUUUUGGAAGUUUUAAAAUAUUUUUUACUAAUUUUUAUAAUUUCUGAAAUUUUGUUAUUUUUAAAUAUUUUUAUCAGUUAACAACUUAUCAAUGUUGAUCAGCGUCAUACAACGCGGAUCAGCAAGUGAUCAACGUCCAAUUAACUAGAUCUACGUGCCACAUCAUUUAUCAAUCUGCCAUGUCAUCGAUGAUGUGAUGCGUUCUAAUUGGCCAACCCUUUUUUUAACUCCAUUAACUGUUAGGUACUAAAAUGGGACAAAAAAAAUAUUGAAGUAUCAAAGUAAAAAAUAGAUAUAAUUUAGGAGUUAAAUUAGUGAAUAAAGCCGUAAAAAUAAUAGCAUUGGAUGGAGUUAAGAUUAAGAAGAAGAAUAUAGGCCCAAGUGAAGAAAAAAAAGGAGAAUAGAGUUAACAAUAUGGGCUGCGACCUAAGACAUGUGGGGCACCAUUCGGCUCUGGGGACUCUUGUUUUGUGCCCUCGACGUUUCACUUUGUAAAAACUAAAAAUGGGAAAAAGAAAAUAGGAAUUAGGGUUUUCAUUCCAAAAUCAAAAACACAGAACAAAUUAAAAUUUUCUGCAAUUCUUGGUGUUGGACUCUUUUCUUUUUUCGGCAAUGAAGAAUCGGAAUCCCAAAGGAAAUGGAAACGGCGAAGGAAGCACAAUGGAUGGCCCAAAGCCGAUGACUAUGAAGAAGAAAAAGAACAUGAAUCGAUUGGGAGGAAGUGGAACUGGUCUUUCGCUUCAAGCAUUUGCCAAUGCCAAAUCCACUAGCAAUCACUACAAUCCCGCCUUAAUUAGUAUGUAUUUUGUAGUUUUUCUUUCAAUUUUUUAUUAUUGGGUUUUAUACUUUUAUCUCCUUGUUUAUUCGCAACUUUUGCUUUUCCCAGAGAAAAAAAAAGAGUUCUAUAAAAAUGCUAAGUAUGUUAACAAGUUUAAGAAGUCAUUAAAGCAACAAAAUCAGGGGAAAAACAGUCUUCCUUCAGCCCAAAGAACCAUAGAGGUUUGUCUUCAUUUAAUUCUAAAUUAUGAUUAACUUAAGUUUCUUUUUCUUCCUUUUCUGUUUAUAUUAUACGAGGCAUUUAGUAGCUCUAAAUUGGUUUAAGGCCUAAUAUGUUGAGAAUUUGAAAUCUGUUUUGUGGAGUUCAUUAGAUGAGUUCUAAUUUGGAGCUCUAUUCGAUGGCAUAUUGAUUCAUCUAGCCUAUACAUGAUCUAGUUCCAAAAUCUAAAACUGCUCCUUGAAUGAUUAGUUCAAAAGUUACUUCAUAUUCUAUGAAAUGCUCUGUUGGAAACAUAUAACCCGAAUCCAGAUCGAUAUCCUUGCAUGCUACUACACAUAGUCUUCAUAGAAAAGGACCGAGUUUGAUAUGCGAGGAUUGUUACAGUAUGAGAAUGAAGACAUAAACGGUAGUAGGGCAAACAACAUGAAUAAUAAGAAGAAGAAGAAUGGUUCACAGAGUUUGAGACAAGUGUACGAGAAGCAGUGGGAAGAGAAAGAAAAGGCAAGGAUGGAGAGAGAGGCAGCUAUGCAAGUAAAGAAGGAGCAGAGAGAGAAAGCUGAAGCUCAGAGGAAGGUAGAAAGGAAAGAGAUGUUCAAAAAGACACGACAUGGUCAGCCUGUAAUGAAAUACAGAAUCCAGCAUCUUUUGCAGUCCAUACAGGGUUCGUCUAGUGCUUCCAGUUAAUACAAAUUAGUGAUCUUCUUUAGUGCUUAUAGUAGCUGAGAGUAGAGAACAUGUGCAACAGUACAAUUGCCCAAAGCAGGGGAUUUACUCCAUGCUGCUGUAUACCAUAUUUCACAGCCAAUCCGAGUAUUUAGCUGCUCACUGCGAAUGUUGAUUUACUAUUUUACCUGUUUCAACUUUUAUCUGUAAUAUUUCAGGGUAAUUCUCUCUUAAUAUGUCACAAUUGUUUGUUUAUUCUCAAUUUUUUUUUCUUUGGUUCAUAAAUAAAAAAUUGUUUUUUAUUAAUUAUUAUUUUGUAAGACUAGUCCAAAGAUUGAAUUGGAAAUAGGUAUCAGCUAAAAACUUAAAUACAAACCGUAGACUUAUUUUUGAAUUAAGGUGAUUUAGCUGAACAAAUUAUUGUCACUGGAUGCACGAAACUAAGCAAAAUAAAUGGGAGUAAAUAAAUAAUGAAAUGGACAGCUUUGGGUGUGCAAAAAGGCAACUAAAAUGAUAAAUUCACGUACGUAGGGCAUAACAGAGAGGAGCAGAGGCAUUAUCAUUGUCACUGAUUAUUGAUGGUAGUAGUAAUGAUUUUUGCAGCUGAGGGGCAACUUUCAACAAUCAUAUGAUUCUCUAAUUACACCAACUUUGGUCGUUUCUGUUUCAAUGCUGCUCCUAUUUAUUAAAUAGAAAGACAGUAGUAAGAGUCAUCUACCUCUUUUCUUUUUUGCUUUUUUAUUCAAUUAAUAUUUGUGAGGAUCAUCACUUUUUACGGAACUCAACCCUCACCUGGUGGAGACAGUGUAGCGUCAAGAAUUAAAGAAUUUUUGACCCUGUGGUGUGAUAUCAUGAUGAGGAUGUUAAACAGUAAUAGAUAUAUAAAUGUAAAUAAAUGAGAGAGAUGAAAUCGGCUACCCCAAUAAUCAUACACAACACAACAUAGAAUAUUAAUGAUGAUUUUGAUGAUCCAUCUUGAAUACACGCACCCACCAUUUCACUCAUCGGGCGUCAUCCCUUGCUGAGCCAUUUCCGUUUGUUGCUUCUAAUGUCUUUUAACUUCAAACUAUAUUUAUUAUGAUUAGCUACGGUUGUUUCGAUUUCGUUUUAGCAUUAUUGUGUUACACGUACUCAACAAAUACAGUUAUAAAUGUUUGAUUUUCUAAAAAUUUUAUAUAUAAAAAAAAAAGUUUUUCUUCUAGAAAAUGAGCAUAAUAACAUAAUACACCUGAUAAAAGAGUUAAUUUUGAUGAUCCACGUUUGAAUUAAAAGCCGAAGCGGGGUGGAGUGGUGAUCAGAGAGCAGAUGAGAAAUGUAGAAAAGAAACAAAAAUUGUGGACGCUAGUCAAUGUCACCGAAUCUAUCACGUGUCACAACAGUCGAGGAGCCUCAUACACUUGGGAGAAACGAUAAUAAUAGGUGAAAGCUACCUUACCUCGACUGUUAGCCUGGGAGGGAGACCACCAUGCUAUUGCUACCCUUUUUCUUUUUAUUCUACUUUCAGAAUAAAUCAUGAGCGAGUAGCGUUGGAUUGCUCCAUUAUGAUCAAAUUUAGGAUGAGGUUAGAUUUAUAUAUCGUUUCAUAUAAUGAUUGCUCCGUACAACAUGUUUAAAAAGUCUUAAAUGCAAAAAACCUGUUUUCUGAUCAAAAGAUGGGAACUGUUGUGAUACCGCAAAAGCAGUCGUCUUUAAGCAGGGCUUUCCUUUCCUUUUUAAUUACUAAAUAUCCUCCUCAAUGCAUGCUUUGACAACCUGAUCGUAAGUAAGAGCAACCAAAGUGCAAAUACUAGGUACCAACCACGAGAGUCAAAUAAGCAUUGACACAAUAAUUAAAAAGGGAAAUACAAAUAUGCAUAAACAUCCAAAUGUCUUAAAACUAGUAAACAUGGUAGUAACAACUGGAAAACAAAUAAAUACACUUUAUUCACCAUUACGUUUGUAAUUGAUAGCUCAGCCAAGAGUAUAAGGAAUCGCAGUCGAGCUCAAGCCAGAACAAUGAGUAGGAGCAUGUACCUGAUACAUUCAUUCUUGAGAUCAAAUAAGCUCUUUCACACAGUGCCUAGUUCACAGGUGAUGUCUCAAGCAAAGUUUCAAUGCAGAAUCUUCACUGCUUCAUCCAUUGACCACACAAAAGGAGGCAUGUCAAAUCUCGGCCCAGCGACAGACCUAUAUAUGUACAGCUUAUCAACUGGGUAGCUUUCAGGUCUUGAAUCUGGAGGUUCUGUCUCGUCUAUAACUUCAACAUUCAACUUGGGCAUCUUUUGACCUAGCAGCUUACAUGCUCCGAAACUCACGGCGCAAGAAGACAUCCAAAGGGAUCGCAUUGUCUCCAGCUUUGCAGCAUUGGCCAAAAGAGCCUUGUCUCCGAAAGGGCAGUCCCUAAUCUCUAGUUUACGGAGGCUUUCACAGCCAGAAAGCACGUGAUGGAGUCCUAAAUCACUAUCUCCUGCAAAAGCCACGGACAGCAUCUCUAGCUUUUUCCCAUAUGUCCCAAUAUAUUCAAACACAUGAUCUGUGAGGAGACCAGACAAGGAAAGCCGCCUGAGAUCCUUGCAGUGCUCAACAAUGGCUCCAAAACCAGCAUCGAGUGGGUCAAGGGUCAGGUAAUCAGGUGUUUUAGGCUCAAUUAUACAUAGACGAAAACGGGUCAAGUUCGGACAAUUCUGGGCAAUGGUGACUAACGCUGCAUUAGACAUCCGUCGGCAGAAAUACAGAACUGACUGUAGCUUAGGACAACCCAAAGAAACAGCAACAAGGCCCUGUUCUGUCAAGGAUACAUUUGGCUCUACACCAAAUGGGUCAGAUGGGAACACACGUAACUCCUGUAGGUCCUUACAACUAGAAGCAAGUUCUUCAAGGCCACUAUCUUCAACAUAAUCAAGUACCUGGAUUAAAAACUUCAGCAAUCAGAAAUUCAGACCAUAAGUACAGAGAAACAAGAUUCAAUUCAGUUAUCAGAAUAUAUUAUGUGAACAGCUUAUUUUAAAUGCAAUCUUCAAACCAGUUAAUGUUCACAACAUGUUGAGGAUUGGAAUUCUAUCCCAGCAGUGCUUAAUCCUUUCACUAUAGUUAGCUAGCAAGUCAAAUGGAAAGGAGAAAAACAAACAAGAAAUUAAUUAAUAAUUAAACCAAUGGUACCUAAUAAUAAGCUUACCAAAAGGCGCUGCAACCUUGGACAGUGGCUUACAAGCUUGAUGAGAUCAGGACUUUGUAUGGUAGCAUAGCUCAAGUUCAGCGAUGUUAAUCUAGGGCAGAUAGAGUAAAGAGCUGGAAGAUAAGCUGGGACCACAUCCCAAAACCCUGACAAGCUCUUUAGCUCCUUGCAACUAGAAAAAGCUCCAGCCAAGUUUGAGAAGACAUCAGGCUGUAGCUCAGCUGCAUAGUUACCGGUGCCAAAAUCAACCAACUGUGGAGCACGGCGUAAAAUGUUGGCAAUCUUAUCAAGGGUCACUGCACGGUUGAGCUGAAGAGACCUCAGGUUAGGACAUCUAUCAACCAGGCGCUCCAAGGCAGAGAAACUAACUUCAUCAGAUCCUAAGCAAGAAAUGUUAAGGGAGACUAAGGAUGUGCAUGUCUCAGGAAAUUGAGCAAGCCAAUGCCCACUCAAAUCAUCCACUUCACUUUCCCUCAAGUCCAGCUCUCUCAGAUUCCUGCAUUAGUAAAUAGACUGGUUCAUAAAAACAGCAUACAAGACACAGAAGAAAGUGAAAAAAAAAAACCCACCUAAAUGUGAACAUAGGAAAUCAAGAAGCUCACUACUGUCAUUAUCAUUGAAAACGACUAGACUACCAGGCUAUAUUUACUUUCUUUUUUACAACUGAACUUGCAAGAAUCCCAAGAUGGAAUUUACAGCAAACAAACAAAAAAACCCAGGAAAAAGGAAAGAAAAAAUAAUGACCCAGCUUGGAAAAUUAUUCGCCUCAAACAUAAAUCAACAAAAGUUGACAAAGAAAACAUCAUUAAUAACAAUAAAUCAACGGAAAAGGAAUCUAGUUAAAGUGCAAAAAGAAGUCCACAGUCCACAGGAAUUAAACAUCCAAAAUCUGGAAAGAACCCCAAAACGAAUCUGCUUGAUGAAAACCAGCAAGGUAUCCUAGAAUGAAAGAGAACAAAGUAAUUCUCGCUGGUUUUUCCACCUUAGAUGUUCUUUUAAAAAAAUAAGUAGCGCAGCUCAGAUCUGAGUAAAGUAAAAGCCUAAAAAUAGAAGGAAGACAACUAAAACAAGAAACCAAGCUUCGAAUCUACGAGUGAAGGAUUCAAAAGCUGUUCUCCCCAAUCAAGUUACAAUCCUACGUAACAUUUAACGCAAACAAAUAUUCAUCUUUUUAGGAACAUCCCAAAAUAGAACUAUAACUACUCCAUUGUGAAAAAUCUAGUUAAAAGAAAAGCAAAUAGCAGCAAAGCUACUUCAACACCAGCAAAGACACAAAUUUUUAACUUUUUUUUCUCACUACAAAACCAAAUAAAAGGAGAAAUAAGAACACAAAAAAGAGAAAUGAAUCUAGUUCAUAAAACUAACUUGCAACUAGCAGCAAUGGCAGCAAGUCCAUCAGUUGAAAACCCUUCACAAGAAAAAAGCACCAGCACUUUGAAAUUCUUAAACGACUUAGCGAUAAGCUCUAAGCUUUCAUCCGUAACUACCAUCCGCUUAAGUCGAAUCUCCCCAAGCCAAGGAUAGGCGCCAGCCAUUUCCGCGAUCCACUGAAGAACGUAACCGCCCCAACCGUCUGGCACCAGAUUGAAGUCAGCAAAGUGUGGUUUCCCUUUCAGCUCAAUGGAUCUAACUUCCGGGAAUCGCCUGAUAACCAUCCUAGGGCUAACAGCGUAACAGUUCCCGAUAAACACCUUCCUCCGGCACCAACGUUCGAUUUCGUACCACGAUUUACACACCAGUGACACCGCGUUUCGGUCUUUAUCUGAUUGUAUGAACGAGAAGACGUGCUUCAGCACCUCAUCUGGGAACGAAUACGCCAUUUCCUUCUGCAUUAAUUAAAAAAAAUGCACGCAGGAACAAAGAUGAAACCUGUUGAUUGGAAAGACUUUAAACUUGUUUCUCUUAAUGAUUUUAGGUUUCGACGAUAUUUUAACUCUGUCAAGCUCUAGAGUUGGCUUUCAGAUCUGAAACACCAUUAACGAAGCAUACAAGGAGCUAAAGAUGGAGAAAGUGAAGUGUAAAGACAGAUACAUGAUAGGAUAAGGAGUUUUCUUUAUUUUGUGUGUGUGUGUGUGUGUGUGAGUGUGUGUUGAGAAGAAGGGUUAGAUUCUAACCAUGAUUAAAGAAGUCGAGCUAGGAGGGGUUCCAAUCUUCUUUACGUGGGGAUACUGAUGGGCGUAUAGGAUGAUUACACGUGUCAAAUGAGAGAUAUGGACCGUAGGAUGGGUUGGGGAGGGACGAUCUUAUCCGUCGGCGACGAAACUUAGCCGCAGAAAAACGGGUAGGGAGAGAGAAGAGUGAGGAACUAUUGGGGAGUGGGGGAUAGAUAUAGUGUGAUGAUGUGCAGGGAAUCUCAUGAUUCGCAUAGCAGGGCUGGAUGAUCAGAGGGAUGGUAUAUCGCGGGGACCUCUAGAAAUGGGUACGAAAUUAAAAAUAAAAAAAUAAAAAGGAGGAGGAGGAGGAGGAGGAAGGAUCUAAUGUGAAACUGGUUAACAUAGCCGUCAUUCAAAAAUAUCGGGCUCACCUGGGAUGGCCUUGAUUCAUGAUUUUAAUUAUAUUUUUAAAAUUAAUAAAAAGGGGAAUCUUGUCUAAAAUUUAAAUUAAAAUCCAACUGCAUAAGGAUAGUGUAUAGGAGGAAAUAAAAUAGAAUAUUAAAAUGAUAUUAUAAACUAUAUUUCUGCAAACACGGAAAUUUAGACGGUAAAUUGCUUAAUAUAAUAGAAUUCAAUAAGAAAGAUGAGUUGUGAGGGUGAUUAAAUGAGAUACAAGAAAUAAUUGAUUAUGGUUCUCCGGGAAUCUCUCCUGGACUUGGCGGUAUGCUUGUUACUAGUAUGCCUUUCAAUUUUACUUACCCUUCAUUUAGGGUUGAAAGAAUUUGGAUAUCCAUCUUCAAAACCAAGGAUGGAAAGUCACAAGACCUAGGGACCAAAUCUCAAGAACUUGGAACAAUUCCUUUCAUAUGUGAGUUUUCAGCCUCAACUUUUUACACACAUCUCAACCCCUCAAGUCGAACACUGAAAGAAAAGUCAUAAUAGAAAUUCAAAAAAAAAAAUUGGAAACCACCAAAAAUUGGGUUUUUUUAAUAACAAAUCCAAAAAAUAAAAAAAAAAUUAUGAAAAUGACUCUAGUACUAAAUUAUUUAGAAAAUUAAUCUAGUUUCUACAGUAUCAAAGGGUGCCUCCACUUCCGCACCACCUUAAAAAAGUGACUCAAUCAUUACUUUAUAAUUACAGAACUAAUAGGAUGAAAAAAGAAUCAUUUUUCAGUGCUGGCGGAACCCGUAUAAAUUUUUCAUAUUUUCUCGUGUAUUUUCAGAUUUAAUCGAAAAAAAUAAAAUAUAUUUUUUAUUAUUUCUUGUGCCGCCUCCCCUAAUGGAGGCACCAAAUUGGAUUAAAAAAAAUUCUGUUACCGCCUUCUUCCAUGUAGUGACCAAUAUCUGUAAAAAAAAGUAAAAAAAAUUCUCUCUAAUGACUACUUGAGAUAUGGUGGCACAAAUAUUAUUUUUGGAAUUUUUUGGUGCCGCCACUUCACAUGAUGUUUCCAAAAUAGUUUAAUUUUUUUUCCAUGGUCCCUACUAUAGAAUGAUGACAACAACCUUCACCCCUGACGGCAAAGAAGGCCACCUCAACGGUACACCCCACGACACACCCCGGGUACAACUCUAGGCUUGAAUGUAUUUUGAGUGUGGAAAUGUUUUUGAUGAAAUAUUGUAUGUAAUUUGUGUUAAUGCUUAAAUAGAAUGAUAUUAAUUUCCAUAAAUUAUGUAUUAAAUAGAUGGUCAUCUAUAAUUAAUUAAUUCCAUAGAUAUCAUAAAUUGAACAAGAUUUUAAUUUUGCAAUGACCCCAAAAAAAAGAAAGAAAAAAACUCUUAAAAAAUGUGCAAGAAGUGUUGUAACACCCCUAACCUGUAUCCGUCACCAAAAUAAGGUUACGAGAAUGCUCAGCAAGUUAACAAAAAUAAACAGGUGAAAUCAUGAUCAUUACAAUAUAAUUUCUCAAAUAUCAUAAAGUAAUUGAAUUACAAUAAUAACUUACAUUUACGAGGCUUAAAUCGAGCUUAAGGGACUAUAGAAAUAAUCUUAAAACCCUUAAGGGAAAAUUUGAAAAAAGCAAGGAAAUUUUAGGAAAAUAUGAAUUUUUUCAAAAAUAUGGGACACGCGGCCAUGUGCCCAGGCCGUGUGAGUAUUCGAAGUUGGGACACACAGCUGUGUCCCAACCCGUGUCUUAAACCGUGUAACUCAUUGACUUCAAUCACAUGGCCGUGUCGUAGGCUGUGUGUCACGCCGUGUAACUCUCUGACUUGAUACACACGACCGUGUUGCAGACUGUGUGACUCACAGACUUGAUACACACAGCCGUGUCGCAGACCAUGUAUGGCACACGGCCGUGUCGCAAACCGUGUAUGGCACACGGUCGUGUGGCAGCCCGUCUCCCAGGCUGUGUGCACCUAAAUGAACCCUAAACAUCAAGUUUACCAUUUCAAGAUUUCUUGGACACUAAACAAUCAGUUUACCAGCCAUUAGACCUAUUCAAAAUGCCAUUAAUCGUGAUCAAAUCAUACUAAUUGAUGGUUACUAAACUAACUAUAAUUACGACAAAGGCAAGUGCACCUAUUAAACAAUAGUAUAACUAUGGUGAGAAGGGAAUAUCAUAUCCACGAUGACUAAAAGUACUAGUAAUUACUGUUUUUCUAUUAUUUAGCCGAUAAAUUGAAUGAAUUGUUUUAAUUUAAAUUUACUAAUCUAAAUUAACUAAGAACACAACAGAGAGUGAAUUGGGAAAAAUAAACAAAGAUAACAAAUGAGAUAGACAAUACCCAAGAAAGAAUUCACCUAGACUUCACUUAUUAAUCUGAAUUUGAAUUAAACGAUUUAUUCACUUACGCCUUGAUCUAUAGAAAUCCCUAAAUUAUGUUAAUAUCUCUUUCGAGAGUAAGAACAACUGACUCUAGGUUGAUUAAUUGAAAUCUCUUUCUAAUUAAAACUCAUAUUGUCGCAUUAACUCGAUCUAUGGAUUCCCUUAUUAGAUUUAACUCAAAUCCGGUAGAUUUAUGUCGUUCUAUUUCUAGGAUUGCAUACAACUCCACUCAAUUAUGCUAGAUCUACUAUUAAACAGAGACUUUUGCUCCACUAAAAUAAGCAUAUUAAACUUGAAUCAAUAUCUUAGAAAUAUUAAAACAAGAAAUAAGCAUACAUAAUUGAGAACAAUAAUCAAGUAUUUAUUACAUAAUUCAAAAAUAAAAUAAUAAUAUUCAUCAUAGGUUUCAUCUUCCCUAGGUAUCUACGGAAUUUAGUUCAUAAUUUAGAAUAAAAUCAUCUCAAAGUUAGGAUAACAGCAAGAUAUAAAGAAACCCAAUAAAACUUCUAAGGAAAUUGAAUGGAGAUCUUUAAUCUUGAAGGAGAUCCGCUUCUGAGUUGAAUUCAGUGGCUUUCGUUGAGUCUUUUCUUCGUUCUUCUCUGUGUGCCCCUUUAGGUCCUCUUCUAAUAUGUAUUUAUAAACUUUAAAAUGCUCACCCUAAAAAUUGGGUUUUUUCGCGUAAAAGAGAAGCAGGGUGCGAAACUGACACUGUAACACUCCUAACCCGUAUCCGUCGCCGGAAAGGAGUUACGAGGCAUUACAGAACAUAACACGGUUCAAUACAUACAUUUAUCGACAAUUAUCACAUUAUAAUUAAUUUCAUAAAAUACUCUAAUAACAUACUUAAAACGAGCAUACUGCUAUUAAACACUCUAAAACUACAGCUAAAUAAACAUAAUUAAUUUAACACAUCACAAGGCAUUCAGUCAUACAUCUGCAACAUUUAAACAUCAAUGACCAUGACACAUAUAAUACUAUUUCAACAUCACAUUUCGAUACCAUUUAUCUUAUUCAAAUAAGCAACCAAAACUAAUUUUAUAUAUGCUCAAUUCGUAACAUAAUCAUGCAACCAUUUUUAAAUACAUUUAGCCUAAACUGAACAUACCAAAUUCGCAUGUUAAUCUCACCAAAUUAGCAACUACCAAUACUAAACACAAAUGCCAAAUCAAAUCAUACCUAAACCUCAACUAUAUCUUAUACUAAUUAUACCAAUUUCAUUUUUCACAAUAUCAACCAUAUAAACAACAAGACAUCUCUAAUAAUUUGGCCAAAUGCAUACAUCAUCAUAAAACAUAUAUAUAUUCAUACCAUAUACCAAAAUCUCAUACUUAUCAAAAUGAGCCAAAUAAAUUUUCAUCAUUCACAAACCAAUUCACAAGGCAAUUUAUACAUCAAAACAUAGGUUAAUAAUAAUUCACACCAAAUAGUCAAAUUCACAUGGCAUAGCAUAGUCAUCACAUAGCAAAUAUGAACACAUACUAACAUUAACAUCUAAUCGAAUAAUUAACCACAUGACUAUACCAAAUUUGCCGAAUCUCAAGAUAGAUUAUAAACAUCACCUACCAUUUGUCAAUUCACAAAAUAAGCUCAUUUACAUAGCCAAAUUAACUUCCAACAACUACACCAUUUACAAACCAACUUAUAUGGCUAAAACCACAACCCAAAAACAUACCACGUGAUUACAAGCCUAUACAUACCAUAUACUAUAAUUACAAGCUUCAAAAAUACCAAAAUGAUGAUCGAUAGUGUGACAACGAUUCUUGAUGAUCCCCGAGCUCGAGCUAGCUUCGAUUAUCUAAAAAAAAGGGAAAGAACACACACAAAGUAAGCUUUCAAAAACUUAGUAAGUCAUAAGCAAAUAAAUUGUCAUAAAAACAUACAUAGUCUAGUUCAAUUAAGCCAAAUAUAACUAGUCUCAAACACAUAUAGAAACACUUUUCUAGUGUAUUUCACUUUGUCUCAUUAAACAAUAUCACUUACCUUUUUCUUUCAAAGUUCAUGUCAAUUUCACACAUACCUGAAUCGUUUAUCUCUUAUACUCAUUCCAUAUCGUAUCGACUUUGCCCGUUGAACCAUUCGAAAUCGUUAAGGAUACUCGGAAACACAUAUAUCACAUACAAUGCCAUAUCCCAGGUAUGGUCUUACAUGUUAUCACAUAUCGAUGCCACUGUCCCAGACAGGGCCUUAUAUGAAAUCAUAUACGAUACUAAUGCCCCAAACAUGGUCUUAAAUGUAAUCUCAUAUCGAUGCCAAUGUCCCAGACAUGAUUUUACACGAAAUCACACAUCGGGAGUCCUAAUGUCAUGACAUUUGUAUCCUAUACUAUUCCUAAGGUUUGUACGGGACUUUUGGACGUCGUAACACUGUUAAUUCUGGCUCGUUUUCAUCUUUUCAACAUUUAAUACAAUUCAAUGAUAAUCAAACAUAAUUAACACAAUUUAAACGCAUUUAUUUUCAUAUGAACUUACCUCGGAUAAGGAACGAACGGAUCGGAUCGACUACUUAUCAACUUUCAAUUUCCCCCGAUCUAAAUCUGAUUUCUUUCUUUCUUGAUCUAUAUGUAUUCAAAAUUAACUCAUUUAAUCAUAUAAUCAUUCAAUUCAGUCCAAAAACACAUAUUUAAGCCAAUGUGCACUUUGGCCCUAAACUUUCACAUUUCUUACAAUUUAGUCUCUAUUUCACAAAUACACAAAAUUCAUAAAAUUCAACAAAACCCAUGCUUGGUCGAAUUACCAUAGUGCCCCUAGCAUCCCAUAUUUCACAUUUAUUUACACUUUUAACCCCACAUUAUCAUAUUUUCUCAAUUUAAUCCCUAAUUUGCAUUUUCAUCAAACAUCACUUUAUAAAAUAUGAAAAUCUAACAUCAAGUAUUCAUAUUUCACCAUUAAACAUCAAAGAACACAUAAGCUCAUCAAUGGAAACUAUCAAAAUCUUUAACAAUUUUGAAAUCAAAGACACGAACUAGCUAGAUUAAGCUACAACGACUCCAAAAACAUAGAAAUCAUUAAAAACGAAGCACAAAUCACUUACCAGUUAAGCAUUCAAAGUUGCCGAACCCUAGCUUCCAAAAAUAGUUUUUUUUCUUUAAUAUUUAGUUGAAAAAGAAUAAAAGAAGAUGACAAUUUGUUUGGUUUUAUUUAUUAUAACUUUAAUUACUUAAUUACCUAAUUAACCUUUAAAAUUAAACCAAAUUUCAAAAUUGCCAAGCCAAGAUCUUCCACUAACUCAUUUAUGGAAGAAUUACCACAUAAGGACUUCCACUUUAAAACCCUAUAGCUAUUUAAUACCUUUAGCGAUUAGAACUCAACUUUUAUGCUUUACGUAAUUUAGUCUUUUUUACUGAAUUAAGCAUCCAAACAGUAAAUUUUUUUUAAGAAACUUUCACCUAAUAAUUCUAUCAUGCUGUAAAAUUUAAUAUAAUAAUAAAAUUAAUAUUUUAACUUUGGAUUUGUGGUCCCAAAACCACUAUUCUGAUUUGACCCAAAAACGGGUUGUUACAACUCUCUCCCCUUAGGGAUUUUCAUCCGCGAAAAUUUUACCAGUGAAUAGGUUUGGGUUUUGCUCUCUCAUAGCAUCCUCAGUUUCCCAAGUAGCUUCUUCAACCCCGUGCCGAUACCAUAAGAUUUACACUAAAGAAAUUUUCUUAUUUCUCAGUUAUUUGACCUCACGAGCUAAUAUUCUGAUCGGUUCUUCGUUAUACGUCAUAUCAGGCUGUAAUUCAAUCUCAGAAUGAGAAAUCACAUGUGAGGGAUCAGAUCAGUAUCGUCGAAGCAUCGACACAUGAAAAAUGUUGUGAAUUUUCUCUAACUCAUUAGAUAGAGCUAACCGACAUACCACUGGACCUACACUCUCGAUGAUCUCAUACGGUUCGAUGAAUCUCAGACUCAACUUGCCUUUACGAUUGAAUCUAAGUAUUUUCUUCCAUGGAGAGACUUUCAACACCUUAUCCCCGAUCUGAAACUGAAUAUCUUUUCGUUUCAAAUCUGCGUACGAUUUUUGACGAUCUGACGCUACUUUUAGACUAUCACGAAUCACUUUCACUUUCUGUUCAGUCUCUUUGAUCAAAUCAACCCCGUGAAUCUUAUUCUCACUAAGUUUAGUCCAGUACAAAGGUUUUUGGCAUUCACGACCGUAUAAAGCUUCGUACGGUGCCAUUUUUAUACUCGAUUGAUAGUUGCUAUUAUACGCAAAUUCAAUCAAUGGUAGGUAUCGCUCCCAUGUACUUUCAAACUCAAGAAUGCAACAUUUCAACAUAUCCUCGAGUAUCUAUAUAACUCGCUCAGAUUGAUCAUUUGUAUGUGGAUGAAAAGUAGUACUAAAGUGCAGCUUUGUACCCAAUGCAUCUUGCAAUUUCUUCCAAAACCGUGAUGUGAACCUCAAAUCUCUAUCCGAAACAAUAAAAAUAGGUACUCCAUGCAAUCUCACAACCUCAGAAAUAUAUAACUCAACUAACUUAUCAAGCGAAUAGUCCGUUCGUACUGGAAUGAAAUGAGUUGAUUUCGUCAAUCUGUCAACUAUAACCCAUAUCACAUCUUUCUUUCUUGGCGAUAGGGGAAAUCCCGACACAAAAUCUAUAGUCACUUUAUCUCAUUUCCACUCGGGAAUCAUAAUCGACUGCAAUAAACCAGAUGGUACCUGAUGUUCAACUUUAACUUGCUGACAAAUCAAACAUUUAGAAACGAAUUCUGAGAUGUCACAUUUUAUACUAGACCACCAGUAAAACUGUUUCAGAUUGUUAUACAUUUUCGUGCUUCCCGGAUGACCAGACAAACGAUUACUAUGAGCUUCAUUUAGUAUCAUCUGAAUCAACUCUGAAUUUCUCGGUACACAUAUUCAGCCUCUAAAUAUUAAACAAUCAUUAGCAUCAACUCGAAACUCAAAAUCAGAAUUCAAAUCACAUUGAGCCCGUUUUGCUAACAAUUUAUUAUCAACUUUCUGAGCUUCGCAAAUCUACUACAAAAAUAACGAUCUUGCUUUCAACUCAGUUAUAAUCGAUCCAUCAUCAGAUAGAGCCAACUGAGUAUUCAUCGCAUGUAGAGCAAACAGAGAUUUCUGACUUAAAGCAUCAACAACCACAUUGGCCUUUCCCGGAUGGUAGUCAAUCACUAGUUCAUAAUCUUUUAACAAUUCUAACCAUCUUUGUUGUCGCAAAUUCAAAUCUCUCUGAGUCAUUAGAUAUUUCAAACUCUUGUGAUCAGAAUACACAUGGCAUUUCUCACCGAACAAAUAAUGGCGUUAAAUCUUCAAUGCAAACACAAUGGCUGCUAACUCUAAAUCAUGUGUCAAAUAAUUCUUUUCAUGCGGUUUCAACUGUCUCAAGGCAUAAGCUAUGACUUUGCCUUCCUGCAUCAAAACACAUCCCAAACCAUUCAACGAUGCAUCACUAUAGAUUACGAAUUAUUUACCCGAUUCUGGUUGUACUAACACUAGAGCUUCAGUCAAAAGAGCUUUCAACUGAUCAAAACUUUUCUGGCACUUAUCCGACCACUCGAACUUAACAUCCUUCUGAAGUAGUCUCGUCAACGGAGUUGCAAUCAUUGAGAAACCUUUUACAAAUCGUCUGUAAUAACCGGUGACUCCCGGAAAGCUUCAGACUUCGAAUACAUUUUUCGGAGGCUUCCAAUCUAAUAUUGCUGAAAUCUUACUCGGAUCGACUCGAAUACCUGAUACUGACACAAUAUGCCCUAAAAAACCAAAAUUUUUUUAACCAGAACUCACAUUUACUAAACUUUGCAAAUAGUUGUUUAUCUCGCAAAGUCUGUAGCACUAUUCCCAGAUGUUCAGCAUACUUAGAUUCAUCACAAGAAUAGAUCAAGAUGUCAUCUAUAAACACAACAACAAAUCUAUCCAAAUACGGUCUGAAGAUCCGAUUCAUUAGGUCCAUAAAAAUAGUAGGUGCAUUCGUUAGUCCAAAAGGCAUAACUAGAAACUCAUAAUGCAUGUAUUUCAUUCGGAAAGCAGUUUUCGGCACAUCAGAGUCUUCAACUCACAACUGAUAGUAAACUGAUCUCAAAUCUAUCUUUGAAAACACUGUAGCCCCUUUUAGUUGAUCAAACAAAUCAUCUCUUCGUGGCAGAGGAUAUUUAUUCUUGAUGGUCAUUUUAUUGAACUGUCGAUAAUCAAUGCACAUUCUCAUAGUUCUAUCUUUCUUUUUCACAAACAAAACCGGUGCACCCCAGGGAGAAUAACUCGGUCGUGUGAAACAUUUAUUUGUCAAUUCUUACAACUAAGCUUUCAACUCUUUUAAUACAGUCGUUGCCAUUCUGUACGGAGCUAUCGAUAUCGGUGUUGCUCUCGGCAUUAACUCAAUACCAAAUUCAACUUCUCUGAUCGGUGGCAAACCAAGUAACUCUUUAGGAAACACAUCCGGGUAUUUACAUACAACUGGUACUAAUUCAAUCUUCUUUUCGGUCACUUUAGAGUCGAGUACAUAGGCAAAGUAAGCUUCACAACCCUUUCUCACAUAUUUUCGAGCUAACAUCGAAGAAAUCAUUACUGGUAAACCAUUCAAAUCAUCUGAUUCAAUCUGGAUAAUCUUAUUAUUCUGACAUUUCAAAUCAAUCGUCUUCUGUUUGCAGUUUACAAUAGCAUCGUGCAGUGUUAACCAAUCCAUACCCGAAAUUAUAUCGAAUUCGUCGAAUGGGAACAACAUCAGAUCGGCAGAAAAAUAGAAAUCUCGAGUAAUCAACGGAAAUUUCUUGCAUACUUUAUCAACCAAAACACACUUGCCUAAAGGGUUCGAUACUCUAAUCAUAAAUUUUAACUACGAACGCAACAAAUAAUGAAUUGGGAAAAAUAACUAAAGACAACCAAUGAGAAAGACAAUACCCAGGAAAGAAUCCACCUAAACUUUACCUAUUAUUUUGAAUCUGAAUUAAACGAUUUAUUCACUUGUGUCUUGAUCCGUAAAAAUCCUUAAAUUAUUUUAAUAUCUCUUUCGAGAGUAAGAACAACUGACUCUAGGUUGAUUAAUUGAAAUCUCUUUCUAAUUAAAACCUCUAUCGUCGCAUUCACUCAAUCUAUGGAUUCCUCUAUUAGAUUUGACUCUAAUCCGGUAGAUUUAUGUCAUUCUAUUUCUAGGAUUGCAUACAACUCCACUCAAAUAAGAACAUUAAACAUGAAUUAAUAUCCCUAAAAUAUUAAAACGCGAAAUAAGCAUACAUAAUUGAGAACAAGAAUUAAGUAUUUAUCAUGUAAUUUAGAAAUCAAAUAAUAAGAUUCAUUAUAGGUUUUAUCUUCCCUAGGUAUCCAGGGAAUUUAGUUCAUAAUCUGAAAAGAAAACAUCUCGAAGUCGGAAAAACUACAAGACAUAAAGAAAUUCAAAUAAACUUCGAAAGAAGUUAAAAGGAGAUAUUCAAUCUUGAAGGAGAUCCGCUUCUGAGUUGAAUUCGGUGGCUUUCGUCGAGUCUUUUCAUCGUUCUUCUCUAUGUGCCCCCUUAGGUCCUAUUCUAAUAUGUAUUUAUAAACUUUACAAUGAUCGAAAACCCUAAAAAUUAGGUUUUUCGCGUAAAAGAGAAGCAGGGUGUGAAACCGACACGGGCUGGCACAGGGGCUUGUGGCCAACCCGUGUUGCUCACACGGGCGUGUGGCCAGCCCGUGUGAAAAUGCUCUGGCCUUGUGGAUGUUGAAAACAACUCUUUUUACUCGAUUUUGGCUUGUUUUUUUUGCUCAUUUUGCUCCAUUAUGCUCACCUAAGUAUAGAAACAUGAAUUUAAAGGAUUGGGAGCAUCAAAUUCACUAAUUUACAUUAUAAAUCAUCCAAAAACACAUCAAGAAUGGGAUUAAAAACAUGUUACUUUUAUGGCUUAUUAUGACCCAACAAAACAGAAAUAUGAAUUGUUGCUCUUAUUUACAUUUUAGGUUUCUACUUUUAUUUUGCAUUUUUUUCUUAAGAUAGUUAUGCCAAGCUUUACACAAUCAACUGCAACUUCUUCCCAAGAUUAUCGAGGAAAUAAAAGGAAAUGGGUUCCAGAAGAAGAUGUUACGUUGGUUGCCUGUAUGGUCGACUUGCACAAUGUUGGAACUUUUAAUACAGAUACGGAAUUCAAGACCGAUUAUUUAAAUGAGUUAGAAAUAAUGUUAGAAAAUUUUUUACCUCGUGCUAUGCUGAAGGCGAGACAUAUUCUUGAAUCAAGGAUUAAGACAUGGAAAAAUGAUUGGGCAAUCGUUUACGACAUACUCAAAGAAAAAGACAAUAGUGGCUUUGGUUGGAACGAGCAUAGGCAGAUGGUUGUUACUGAAGAUGCUGUGUGGAACUCAUACAUAAGUGUAAGAAUUAUUUAUUGUCUUUAUUAUCUUAUUUUGACCAAGCUUGUAUCUAAUGUGGAUUUUUUUUUCUCUAGAGUCAUAAAGAAUCCGAUCAAUUCAGAUAUAACAGUUUUCCUUAUUAUGACCAACUUACUUCCAUAUAUGCAAAAGAUCGAGCCAUUAGGAAAUAUGCUUAAAAAUCCGUUGAUAUUGCUGAAGAAAUAGAUGUUGAGGAUGUAACUACUACUAGGGAUGAGCGUUCGAUCGAAUCGAAUAAAAUUUUUUUGAGUUAAUCUAGUUGACGAAUCUUAUUUUAUCAUCCUAACUCGAUUUGAAAUUUUCUCGAACCGAGUCGAGUGAAAUGGAAUUCAAAUCGAAUAUAUUUUUUCGAGUUAAAUUUAAAAAAAUGAUUUUGGGUCCUUGUAACACUGUCACCCACUGUAAUCAAAUUUGUUAUUAACUUUCAUCUCCUCAUAAUUUAUUUAUUAAUAUUUUAUAUACAGGUUAGCUUUUUUACUUGCUUAGUUGCUUCAAUUAUCUUCUGAUUUUUGUCACCAUGUUUUGAAAUUAAAAAAUAUAUUAAAUAUAAAAAUGUGAUUUUUUAAUAAAAAUUAUCUUAAAGAUAAAAUGUGAAAUUGAUACUAAUAUAAAAUUUUAACACGAAUAUUUUAUGGCAUCAUCAAUAAUUCAAUUUUAAUAGAAAUUUAUAAAGAUUUAAUAUGAUUAAACAAUUCAAUAAUAUAAAUAGUACAAAAUGUGAAAUUUAAUUUAAUUUAAUAAUAUAAAUAGUAGAUAUAAAAAAAAUUAUUAUUUAAGUUUAGGGAUUUUUGGAUGAUUUGUUUUUUGGGGUAAAGGGUGAAAAAUAAAAGUUGGGAAGGAAAAUAAAAAGUUUUGAGGGUUGAAGGAGUAAAAUUUUGGGGGGAAAGUAAAUGGGGGUAGGAUGGGAGGGGAGUAAAAGUUUUUUUUUGGGGGAGGGGGGAAUGGGAGGGAGUAAAAGUAUUGGGAGAAAGUAAAAAUGUUUGGGAGUUUGGGGUAAAAAUAUAAAAUAUUAUAGUUUGGUAUUCGGUUUAUUCAAACUAUUCGAGUUAUUCAAAUUUAAAAAUUAAACUCGCUUCGAACUCGAAAUUCAAAAAAAAAUUCGAAUUGACUCGAAUAACUCUAUUCAUUUAACUCGAAAUUCGAAAUCUUCUUCUAUUUUUUUGAGUCGAAUUGAGUUUUGCUCACCCCUAGCUACUGCAAAGAAUCUUGAAGUAGGAAGCAAUUACCAUAGAUGCGAAGAUGAUGUUUCAUUGGAUGAUAUGGAUGUUUCAGGUACACAAUUGCUACCGUCGAAGCCAAACCAAAAUGAUUCCACGUUUUCAAAUAAGAAAAAAAAUAGAUUUCUGAUGAAAGUAAACAAAUUUUUACUUCACUUACUAAUGCUACCACAUUAUUGCGGGAAAACAUACGAACUGUUGGCAUUGAAUUGAGUAGGAGCAUUGCCUCCGAAGUGCUAAUUCAAGGGAAGUAAAAAAUGCUCAUUCAAGAAAGUGCCCAAAAAUUAUAUUUAGCCUGAUGUGAAGUAAAAGGAUUAAUUGAAGAUGAUCGCUUUCGUGCAUUGAACCAAAUUUCAAACUAUCCAACACAAAAGUUCAUUUUCUUUAGCCUACCUUCUUCUGUGGAAUUGGAAUGGGUAAGAAGGUUUAUUUCUACCCGUUAAAAAUCAUGGUUGUGUUAGUGAUGUUUUGGUAACUUUUUGUAUAUGUAAAUUUGGAUAGUAUAAUAACAUGAUAGAAUGCCACAGACUGUUGUAACUUUUUUAUGUUGUAAAAUUUAACAUAUAGAUUAUGGCUAUAAGCUAAUGGCAUCAUUUAACUUUUUGUUAAUGUAUCAAUAUUAUGUUUGGAUGUAAAAGAUAAUUAUCAAGCUAUUUAUUACUUCUAAUUUUUUGCUUUUUUGUUUAGAAGAUAAAAUUAUUUGUUUCGCUAAUGAUAUUCUAGCACAUUAAAUAUACAUUGUAGUUUAAAAAUAAUAAUGUAAGUUAUAUAUUAUUUUUCUAAUAUUAUAUAUUAUGAUUUUUAUUAAUUCAUAUUUUAAUAAUAUUUUAUUAAGAAUGUUAUUAAAUUAUAUAUUAUUUUAAUUAAAUUGUAUUUAAUAAUAAUUGGAUUAAAUUAUGAUUAAAUUAUUUUUUAUUAAAUUAUAUUUAAUAAUAACCCUAUUAAAAUUUAAUAACAAUUAUCAUCUACCUACAAAAAUUCUGUUAAGGGUACUCUGGUUAUUUAAGUCUUUUUUCCUUAUGCUAUUACAACAUAUAUUCCAUUCAACCAAACACAAGAAUACCAUUACAGUUUCAUUCUAUUUUAUUUAAGAAAACAAUUGAAUUACUGAUUACAACUCUAUUUUAUUACAGUCCUAUUCUAUUCCCCCCAAUCAAACGUGGUGUAAGUGUUUGAAUUGAAGUGCUUAGUUGUAGCGGCCACUUCGAUUGCCACUAUGAUGAACAACUAAAAUAGAGUAAAUAAAGGACACGAAGAGUUGUUUACGCAAUUUGAUUUCCUUAUGUUUGCGGAGCCUAUAUUGGUGAGAAAUUCCACUAUCUUUAAUCUACAAUACAACAAGUAAAUCAAACUCUAUCACUCUUCAAGUAUAAAGACCUCACUCUUGUAUAUAAAGACUUAAACACUCACGAUUGAGAAUUUAGGUUGUAAACACAAUUUGUUUACUCUUCAAAUACACUCACAAAAUAAGUUCCUCUAUGAACAAUAAGGUGCUCUCUAAGCUCAAUACAUAAACAUAUACAAAUCUUUCAAUAAAUAGAAGUUCUUUAGACUUACUAACAUACUAGAGAUCAAUUACAAUCCAAUCCCUUAAUAAUAGCAGUUACUAGAGAUUAAUGUAAAGUAAACGAUUGGAGAUUCAUUCUUCAACGGUAUGUUUAAUGUAAUCCUGGUUUGUUCUCCACAAUCCAAGGGGUUCAAUUGCUUGAUAUGAACCAAUCCAAUCUUUAAGGAUAAUUGCUUUAAAUGAAUUAAUUUUCAAAAUCGAACUUUCAUAUAUUUACAAUACCAAAGUCCAAAAAAUUAAUUUCAAUAAGCUACCAACUACAAAUAUAAUAAGUGAUAUGUUGAAUAAAAAUAACACCUUAACCACAAAUUACUUCAAAAACUUAAUCUUUUAACAUGCAUUAAUUUGUGUGAAGCCAAUUUCCAGCCAUUGUUGAAUAAUAUGCAUUUAAUCAUGGAUGCUAAAUAUCAUCUGUCACACAUUAUAUCAAAAUCAAAUCAAGCAACCAAAUAAUAAAAAUGUUGUGCUGGUUUUGUUUUUCUCUCUCCCUUCCAAUUUAUUUUGGCAACAACAGUGGCGUAGCAAAAUUAAUCAUGCAAUUCCCCUGCCCGGCCCUCAACUACUCAAAUUUCGACUUGUUACUUUAAUAUGCAUUUAAUGUGUACACUCCUUAAAUAUGCAAGAAGGAAAUAGUCGCUUUCUUUUCACCCCCAAAAAAAUUAAUUUCAUUUCUUGUUGGGUAUUUUGAAAUUAAGCACUACCAACUCCAAAUUUUAUUAUGGGUUCUGAAUUAUUAUUUUUUAAAUAUAUAUACUAUCGACUUUUUAUUUUUAAAAUAAAAAUAGAGUCGCCACCAAUCCUUUUUUAUUUAGGUGUGAUCAGAUCACCUCAAAACUCGGUUAUUUUAAUAAAACGUUGGGUUUACUAAAAUGGUAAUCUUCGGUCUACAAAGUCCAAAAAAUGGGUUCGGCAGUCGGUUACGUAUGAGGAGGGAUUAGCACCCUCAUAAUACCCAAAAUUGAUACAUAGUUGAUUACUUGUUGUUUUGAUGUCGAAAAUUGAAAGUUCAAAGAGAAUUAAAAUACGAUCUCUCUUUGCAUGAUGUUCUUUUUAAUUAAAAUCACUUAAUUAAAUUAAAUUUUAUGAAAAGACAUUAUUUUGAGUUAGUCGAGAAGAAGAGAUCAUGCCCCGUAAGUUAGGACACGAUACUUUGAAUACUCAAAAACAAGAAUAGUCACCAUUUGAUCUUUACUUAAAUAUCGUUUUUAUUAUUAUAUAUAUUUUAAAAAUAGGAUAUUCGAUUACUUUGGCCUUAGGAAGAGACCAUAAUUCAUAAGUUAGGAGCAUGACUCUUCGAAUCCCAAAAAUAAUGAACAUUGCCUUGGUUUCAAAUGUUUCCUAUACGUUGGGUAGAACGAAUGAAAAUUUUAAAACAAUAUACUUUCUAAUUUGUUUAGGCCUAGUAAUAAAAUGGAUAAAUAUAUUCUAGCACGAUGCAAGACGUGGUGAUUAACAAAAUGAAGUAAAAUAGUAGUGGAUAAAAAUGAAAUGAUGACUUUAAAAUGAUAAGCAAAUGAAUAAAUAAAUAAAUAAAUGAAGAAAAGUAAAAAAGAUGAAAUAAAGAAAUACUAUGAUAGUGGAUAAUAACAAUGCACCUAUAAUAAUAAAACAUCAAUUUUAUAAUAGUAAUAGCGAUAAUCGUGUCGUGAUUACUAGGCUAUUUUAUCAAACUAGUCCAAAAAAAUAUUAUAUUUAUAAAAAUAACCCAGGUUUAAAAACAAUCACCAAAAUAACCUAAAAUGAACAGUACCCACUCGUUUUUUGCACCCAUGAUUGCCUAAUAAUUGUGUCAGGGUUAAAAAAAUUAAUUUUUUGGGUUUUGGCAUGUCAAUGGCCGGAACCCAGGUAUUUUUUUAAAUUGUAUAAUACUAAUAUACAAAAAGAUAAAAAAAAAUAAAAACGAAAAAAAAAAAUUUUUGGUGCUGACCUGUCAAUGGCCGGCACCCAGUACAAUUAAAAAAAUAUUUUUAUUUUUUUGUGUCAGAAUUAGAUAUAAAUAUACAAAAAAAAUAAAAAAAAUUUGGGUGCUGGCCUGUCAAUGGCCGGCACCCAGCACAAUUUAAAAUUUUUUUUUCGUGUCAGAAUCAGAUAUAAAUAUACGAAAAAAAUAAAUAAUUUUUUUUAAAAUUGUACUGGGUGCCGGCCAUUGACAGGCCAACACCAAAAUUUUUUUUUUAUUUUUUUCGUAUAUUUAUUUUUUAUUCUGACACGAAAAAAAAGAUUUUUUUUUUAAUUUGUACUGGGUGCCAGCCAUUGACAGGCCAGCACCAAAUUUUUUUUUAUUUUUUCGUAUAUUUAUAUCUGAUUCUGACACGAAAAAAAGAAUUUUUUUUUUAAAAAUUUGUACUGGGUGCCGGCCAUUGACAGGCCAGCACCCAAAUUUUUGUUAUUUUUUAUUUGUAUAUUUAUAUCUGAUUCUGACACGAAAAAAAAUAAAAAUAUAUUUUUUAAAUUGUACUGGGUGCCGGCCAUUGACAAGCCAACACCAAAAUUUUUUUUUUGUUUUUCUUUUUUUCCUUUUUUCGAAUAUCAGUAUUAUACAAUUUAAAAAAAAUACCUGGGUUUCGGCCAUUGAUAGGCCAAAACCCAAAAAAUUAUUUUUUUAAAUCUGACACAAUUAUUAGGCAAUCAUAGGUGCAAAAAAUGAGUGGGUACUGUUCAUUUUAGGUUAUUUUGGUGAUUGUUUUUAAACUGGGUUAUUUUUGUAAAUAUAAUAUCUUUUUGGACUAGUUUGGUAAAAUAGCCUGAUUACUAUCAUAGUACUAAUAUGAAUAAUAAAAAUAAUAAUGAUAAAUACAAGGAUAAAAUAAAAUGUACAUAAAAAAUAUAAAUAACAUGAAUUUUAAGUGUUAAAAUAAAAUAUAUAGUAAAUAAAAAGGUAAAAUUAAAUAAAUGAGGGAUUAAGUUGAAAUUUAAACAAAACUUAAAGUAAGAAUUGUAAAAUAAAUGAAGAAAAGGGAAGUAGAGGCUAAAUUGAUAAUAGGACAGAAUUUAAUACCUAAAUUAUAAGAAAACAUAAUGUAAAGGAUUAAAUUAAAAUUAAGUAUAAAACUUUAGGGACUUCGGGCAUAAAUAAUCCCAGACCUAGCACAUGUCAUUCCAAAAGGGUCGAGAGUACAAGGACUGAUUGAAUAUAAAAAAAAACUUAAAGGCAUAAAUCGUAGAAGAAAAAAUAUAAGGGAUCCAAUUGAAACAAUGUAGAAAUCUACAAGAACCAAAUAGAUAAUUAUUCCAAACCCCAGUACAUGCCAUUCCCUUGGCAAGUCAACGCUAGGUCAAAGGACUGAAUAAUAAGAAAAUAAAAUAAAAGGCACAAAAAUAAAAUAAUAUAAAAAACAAUAUAAGGCGAAAUUGCAAGAAAGCCUAAAUACAGAAGGACUAAAAUAGAAAUUAGACCUUUUUUCAAGAAACACCGAGAUCCUAAUGGUACUCGGGUUGGGUCCUUGGAUUGCGUCAAAACGACGCCGUUCUAGGUGUCCAUUUCCAAAAAUGGUCAAUAGUCAAUGGACCAAAAUAAAAAUAAAAAUAAAAUAAAAUGGUAAAAUUAAAAAAAAAGAAAAAAAAAACUAAGUUAGGACUAUCAAGACACGCUUAAAAGUGGGAGGACCUGGGCAACAAUUAUCCCUCCUUAAAAAACACGUGGAUCUAAAGGGGGUUGGGUCGGGUUGGCGAAUCAUGUCCAAAACGAUGCCAUUUUGGGGUUUCUGAAACCAGGCCAAAACGACGUCGUACUAGUGCCCUAUUUAAGUUAAACUUUUCUGAAAAAAAUUCAUUACAUCUCUUGCUUUUUAAAAAAAACUUCCUUUCUUUUUUUUUUCUUUUCUCUCAGACCUCCCUAUGUCCGGCCACGGAGCCGUCGUUGCCCCGCAUGGCCACCGGUCAUCGACGAUGGAGACCGCCGCCUCCGGUAGGCAGAGAUUGCAAAAAAUAGACCAUUUUUAUAUUGUCUUCUCGAGAAUCCAUAUCUGGGGUCAAAAUCCCUAGAGCCCGAUCGGAGUUCAGUGACAAAAAUGGAACCUCUCGAUUCCUGGUCUUCCUCUGGUGCGGCCUUAGGCGAAUCCUUAAGGAUUCGACAGCCUCUCAGACCAGAUGAGGCACCAACGACGGCGGCAACGGUAAAAAAACUUAAUUAAUUUUUUAAUAUAUGCGUGAUUCAAAAAAAACAAAGAAAAAGAACUACCUUCUAUUAAAACUAUUGUAGUUUUCUAUUCUUUUUUUUGCUUCUCCGUAAAAAAAAUACAUCUCAAUUUUAUGGCUUUUAUAGCCUAUUACAUAUAUAUUUUCUUUUCCUUUUUGUUGUUUCUGUCAUUUUUGUCAUUUGUCUCGUUUCUUUUUUCUUUGCAGGUGUUCACGGCAAGGUCAACGACAUUGGGUAACCAUGCCUUGCCAUUUUGGUGCAAUGGUGGUAGAGGGUGCAUCAGGCCUCUAGCGGUGAGCAUGCCGAUGUGGUGGGGUGCGGCGCGAAAGGGGACUUAGGAUUUUAAGGUUUUCUAAAAAAAAUUGAGGCUGUGGGCUUGGACUUGUGUAACAUUGGGUUUGGUUUAGGUUUUGUAAAUGAACUAUGCUAUUAGGCUUAUAACUUGGACUGUUAACAAACUUUUAUUUAUUUUUGUUUUAUUUGUUUGGGUUUAUUUAUUUGUGUUAGGCAGGGCAAAAUUAGCCUAUUACAUAGACUAUAGACAUUGAUUAAAAUAUAUAAAUAUUUUUUAAGCAUAAUAAUAAAUUUAACUCUUAAUAUUUAUUCUUUUUAUCCUAUUUUUCUUUUAUCAUUUCGAUCCUAACUUUCAUGAACUUUAAUAAAAUUGUUGUUUUUUUUUGACAAAAAAAAAAAAAAACUGAUCUGUUAAGAUUUUAUCUUCAUUUACUUGGUAAUUUGUGUGAGUACCUUAUUCUUGAUGUAGAUAGUUUCUUUUCUUUUUUUCUUUUUUUAAAUACGAACCAUUUUGAAAUUGGUACUAAUCUUUUAUAUAUUUUUUUAAAUUUUUAUGAAGCAUCACGCGAGCUACUAAAUUAGUAUUAUUAUAAUUUUAAUGGUCCAUAAAAGAAGAAGAAGCAAAUUGGUUAGAUUGGAAGUAAAAAAAGAAAAAGAAAAAGGAGUAAUAUGAUAAAAAGCAAACACUAAUAUGGAGUGGAGUCAAGCUAGGUUAGAAAGUUAAUUAAGGUGAUGGAAAAAGCUAAGUUCGCUCUCAAAAUUAUAUAUGUUAAUUCCCUUCUACUUACUCCAAACCAUACAUUAUUUAACGCAAAAAUAACUAACUUUGUUACAACAUUUAGGGAAAAUAAUAAUAAAAAUUUCCAUUCAUGGACCAACAUUCGAUAUGUCACGUUACAGUAGAAAAUUUUGAUCCAUAUUUUUACCUAAUAUAUUAUAAGAAAAAGAGCUUUUAAUUAUAUAAAAAUGUAAAAUCAUUAUUUCACUUUUUAAACUAAAUAUUUGAAUGUGGAUUGUUAAAAUUUGGUUUGAAAUGAAUUAAGAAUUUUUCUAUAAUUACUUAAUUUAUAACAUCAAAUUCGAUUAUGCAGUUGUACUGCUUUUAUUUUUUAAAAUUUAAAAUCUUAAUUUUGAAUGAAAUGCUAGUCAUGAAUUUGUUAUUUUCGUAGAAUACUACAUGAUUUAGUGGGUAUAGAAUUAAAAUUUCAAAAUCCAAAAAAAAUAUAGAGAUUAAAUAUGAUGAGAUUGAAGAGUAAUGAUUAAAUUCAUAAGUUAUUAGCAAAAUUUAACCUAACCAUUUGGUUCAAAAAUGAAAAAAAUACCAAGAUUAAAUUUAACCAAAUUAAUAUCAAAAUAAUAGAACUACUUAUUUUACUAGUUUACUUUAGAUUAAAAUUUCGGAUAGUAGAUUGCUCGAAAGAUGACUAAUUUACAUUUGUUAAAAGAAUUUCUCCAAAGUAAUAAAUAAUAAUAAAAAACCCUUCAAAUUCGAGCAGUAGAUGCAUUGAUUGAAGCAAGUGUAUCUAUAUCCAAAACCAAGGUUUGAUCUACAAACCCGCUCCACCGGUUCAACAAUAGAUAUUUUUGCGCAUGGGUUGGAUAAAAGGAAUAAAAAGUUGUAUUGAUUCAACAAUAGAUGGGCGAUGGGUUCUUACCGUUUGUGAGGUAAAAGUGUGAAUUUUUGCGCAUGGCGUUGAAUGGUAGUUGAAAGGGUGAGUCAAAGAAAGAGUAGUUUAAACUUUAUGUACAUAAAUUAGAAUUAGACUAGUAGGCUUCUUGUUUUGACUAGUAAGCACAGAUCAAACACUUAUCAUCACAAUAACAACAUAAUGCGUGCAAAUAACCACUUCCAAGGCUUUCGCCUACAUAAACAAGGAUCCGCCCUUCCUAUUUUUCUUCAGCUUCUUUCUUACAUACCUGUGUUUCAACACUCGGAUUAUCUCUCCGGCAACGUCUUCCUGGUGGUGGAAGUGGUGAACACUGAAGGCUAAGUAACAAGUUAGCAAAAUGGGACCUGGAGGGCCGGGAGGAGGGCCGGGAGGACCUGGUGGACCGGGAGGAUGGGGAGGAGGACCUGGUGGUUGGGGUCCUGGCCCCGGAGGACCUGGCGGAUUUGGGCCUGGAGGUCCUGGUUGGGGUCCGGGACCUGGAGGUCCCUGGGGCCCUGGAUUUGGAGGUCCUGGUUUUUGGCCUGGUGGGUUCUUUGGCGGCUUUGCAGAUGGUUUGUGCAAUAUGAUAUCUUCCUGGUAAGCAAUCAAAUCUUUACUCAAUUCCGGUAUAGUUAAAUGCGGUUUGAUUGAGGUUAAAUUUGAUUGGGAUUGCAGCUUCUACUGUCUUUGCUGUUGUUGGCUACUACAAGACUGCUUUGGUCGACGCCCUGGCUAUGGUCCUCCCCCUUUCUAAUCAUCUGCUGGCUGCUGUUGCUAUACAUGUGUUUUCUGUAGUGCCUUGUAAUAAAUUUAAUAAUCUAGUUUUAAGCUUUUUUUCGUUGCUCUUGCUUCCGCCACUAUUUUCAUCUAUUACCAUCCAAAC
RNAcentral lists this long non-coding RNA (95544 nucleotides) under Gossypium barbadense (sea-island cotton). Its description in RNAcentral is "long non-coding RNA (GBAR_LNC020614)". The stretch from base 58417 to 58488 matches the Rfam family "tRNA". Lineage: Eukaryota; Viridiplantae; Streptophyta; Magnoliopsida; Malvales; Malvaceae. The record is from RNAcentral.